GUAAUUCUUAAAGUAGUCAAUUGAUAAUAUCCCCUAAAAUAAAUGUUCGUAAUAUGUUCUCAUUUUAAUGCAACUGAUUGUUUAAUAAAAUUGUAUUUCUUUGUUAAUCUUUUAUCAUGUGCAUGCUCAGUGAGAAUUUGACUUACUAGAACGCAAGUUUGACUCUUCAUUUAAAUGUCUCUUGUAUCAUAUCCUUCAAUGUUGAGUGUGAUUCCAAUAAAAUUGAGUAGGGAGAUCCUUAAAUACCUUUUCCUUUUUUCCAAGGGCCUGCCAAAUUGCUCUAAGUGGUUCUACCCUUUAUCAAUGAAUAAUGAAAAAAAAAUUUUUAUUAAAGCAUUUUGUUCCUUAAAUGGUGACUAAUAGUACCCCUUUUUUUUGGAGAGGAAAGCCAAACAUGCCCAAAGAGAAUCAUUUACUUUCCUCUAAUGUAUUUUCUAAUUCGUUUUGAGCCUUGAAUGUCUGUUUUGGUGCGUAUUCUCAUUCCAUGUCGAAUCUUAUCCAUAUGGACAACCCCACUUACAAAAAAGUCUAAUGAAUCUAUUGAAGUUCAUAUGAGGUUUGUGCUUUAGAUUUAGACCUCUCUCUCUCUCUCUCUCCACUUACAUGUCUUUCACUUACCUGUUUGCAUGCAUGCCCAUGCACACACUUUCAAGAUAAUACACGGUCACUCGUACUUGUGUUUUGGUUGAAUUUCUGGCUGCUAACCUCUGUAAUUCAGUUUGAAACUUGCCACCCUUAGUGCUUCACUCAAAUGGUUGGUUAGGGUGAGAUCUGUAUCGUUUUCCUGGUCUCUUUCCAAGGUUAUCUAAAGGGAUUUGGCAGUCUGAUUCUUUAGGGAAUAUCAUUGCAUAAGAUAUCUAUUUUUUGUUAAUGAAUAAUUUCUAUUUAACUGGUUAUCUAUAUAAAUUGGUAAAUUUUAACUGCAUAAUUUGCAUGCAAUAAGAUUUUAUAAGAAUCUUGUUUUCAACUCAUGACUUAGACUAAUGUGAUAUGUUGAGCAUUAAGCUACAAGAUCUGCACAUCAAAGUGCUUCACAAUGUUAAGGAGAAAGCAUCUUUUUCUGCUUCUUCAUGUGAUUUAAAGUUUCCAAGGUACUUAUCCAAUAAAAUAUCUUUCAAGACUUUGGAAAUGCUUUUAUGUAUGACUGAGAGAAACUUGUUGGGAUGGUUUUUAGCAACAGACGGAGUUAUGGACUUUGUGUCGACUUGUUAUUGAUUAAGACAGUACAUCGGCUGAUCUAUUGGCAUCAAGCAGCAGAUGCAGAAAUUAUGGGUGGCAUACCAUUGUAUCCAAAUAACAUACUACAUUGAUUUUUCUGACUUUCUGUUGGUCUCCGAGUGAAAUGCAGGCAUUUGCAGAUGAACUGGGGAUUCCUUUCCUGGAGACGAGUGCCAAAGAUGCAAUCAAUGUGGAGCAGGCUUUCUUGACCAUGGCUGGCGAGAUUAAGAUAGAGUAAAAUCACUUAACUCUUUCCUUCUUGCCGACUGUUCUUAUUUAACAAUCACCAUUAUUGCUGGUUAUAUGCAUUGUGAUGAAAAUUCUUCAAUGAGUAACUUUUUACCUAAUGUUUUCUGUUGGAACAAAUUACUCUGGUAGAAAAGCCCUACAGGGUUUGGGAAAUCCCAUGAUGUGAUGAUUGUGAGCAUUUUAGACACCGUGUGUGGGUUUAUUUUGUGACUAUAAAAUGUUAAGAUUGUUUCUAGUUUUGGUUUGUAGUGCAUAAAAGGAUUCAAAAUUUGACAUCUGUCUAAAUCAGAUUAAUAACAUGAUAAUGUACAUAUGCAAGAUGUGAGGAAUUGUUUUAUCUCACCUCUAAACUUUAAGAAAUGGAAACAUUAUUAUUCAAAAUAUUUAACAUUUCCAGAAUUGAUAGUUGUCUAUUUGAGCAGUGACUGGUGGUUAUCAUGAACUGAUGUGCGGUUGUGGUUUCAAAUCUUGGUGAAACCUGUUGUCAUAUGCUGAUUAACAUAGAUAGUCUCUGAAACAAUUUGUUGAUUCACUAAUUAUGAGUUCAAAUUUGAUGCAGAAUGGGCAACCAGCCUACUGCAAACAAAUCUUCUGGAACAGUUCAGAUGAAGGGAUAGCCAAUCCAGCAAAACAGCAACUGCUGUGGUUAGCCGAGCAUCUUAUUUUACUUCUACAUGUUAGCUGACUGAUUGUAGACAGUUUUAACUAUGUUGACUGCAUUAUCUUAUGAAUCUUUUAAUCUGUCAAAUAUUUAUUUCCUGCUUUAAGUUCUUUCCCGUUUAUAACAAAUUUAAUUUCUUGCUCCAUUGCAUUCCAAAUUCCUGUCAAUUUACAAGGGAAAAAGAAAAGAGAGACGAAAUGGGAGAAAAUGGUCAAAUUUGUUAGGGGGAGAGAGCUGUUGAAGUAGUUUUUGUUCUUGUUUAUCGUCGUGACCCUCUUGUCGCUUAUCUACGACCUGGAAGUCCGGUCAUAUCGGAUGGGUAAAGUUACCGAAACGGCACCAUUUUGGGUGAAAUAUCAUAUUUAUGUAACACUUUUGAUAAUAUUUUUAUGCAACAAAAAAAUGUUUGCAGUACCCUUUUCACAUCGGAUGAGAGCAGUCUGGAUUCUGGCAUCACAAGCUAAUGCUUUGAUUUGCUUAGUUUGUUUUUUGUUUCUGAUAUUUUCUCGGCAUCGGGUGGGAUAUUGUUUCUCUUUUUUUUUGUUUGUUAUGGAAUUUGGAGAUAGUGUAAAUGUAUGAAGAUGAAAUUGUUGAGUUGGUUUUGUUAUGGAAUUUGGUUUACUUCACUGACCAUUAAUGCGCAAAACCUCGUAAUGACCCUCAAAAAUCCCGUACAUAAUUAAAGAAUUUCAAUUUUAUAUGUACAUAAAUAAAUAACUCUCAAAUAUAUUAUUUGAUAAUCCCAAAAACAACAAUUCACUCUAAUAAAUCUCGUAGUCAAUACAUGGUCUAUAUUGUAAGUGUUUUCGAGACUAAUUCAAAAAGAAAAUACGAAGGAUAUAUAAUUGACUUUUACUUGUUAUAAAGAAUUCUAAAUAAAUUCUUAUACGCAUCGCAGCUAAUUACAGUCUUGGUACUUCAUUAGGUUUUUGUUAAUUUUCUAUACAGUUGUGCUGUGCAUAAAAGUUUUGUUAAAUGAAAUCGAUAGGUGAGGAUUAAUUAAUCAAUUAAUUAAGAUCCAGUUAAUGUAAUUAAUUUUAUUUGAUUUUUUUAAUUCGAGUUCUAAAUUAAUCAAUUAAUUUAGAUUCAUGUGAAAUUGAAGUGAAUUAGUUUCGAUUUGUUUUUCGUUCUAUGUUUGUCUGUGUUUACUCUUACUUUUUUUUUUGUUUAAAUUUUCGUUUUCUUAUUGUUUAAUUAAAAAAUUCGAAAACCCAUUAAAUACAUGUAAGGACUCACUGACGCCGAACCAUAUUAAUUUAAAUUAAUUUUCAACUGAGAUUAGAAUUUUGAAAUUACAUACACAAGCACGCCCAAUUAAAAAGUAGUAAUUAUAAAAUAUUUCAGUACUCGUUUUACCAUCCAUUUGAGUAUACACAAACACGCCCAAUUUGAAAAAAAAAAGUAGUAAUUAUAAAAUAUUUCAGUCGUCCACUGUUCAAUCACCAAAAACCAAUUUACCAUCCAUUUCAACGCCUAAUUUGAAAAAAGAAAAUACUAAUAAUAAAAUAUUCCAGUCGUCCAUCCUUUCACAAAUCAAAAAUAUCACCAAAAACCAAUUUGUCAUCUAUUUCAACAUAAGGUAUAUGGGUUAACAAGUCCCAAUAUCGUCCUCCAUCCUUUCUGCACUUCUUUUUUAUCAAUGGACAUCUCCAGAUCCGUAAUCGCAAAAGUGAGGAAGGCAGGCCCUUCUCCGGAAAGUAUUUGAGCUUGGGACAAUCACAGAGAUACAAAUGAGUGAGGUUUUGAAGAUCAACAAUUGAAGAAGGUAGGCGUUCCAGAUUUGAAAAAUUAUAAAUGCUCAGAGAUGUUAGAGAGGCAGGAAGAGGAAGCGCGGUCCCUAAUCUUUUGUCCUCUAGUGGAAAUGACACCAUGUCGUCAUCGCAUCUGCUGAUUCUAAGAUGUCGCAGAGAGGAGAAUCUGUGAAAUCCCCGUCCCCGCUCAAUCAUUGACUUCCAAAUCUCCAUAUUACCCCAAAUAUUAAGUGACUGAAGGUUGGUGGGAAGGCCAUCUUCUUCUUCAAGGCUUGCAAGCUCAACUCCUCUUACUAUUGUUAAUUCUUGAAGAGAGCUCAGAUUGUGCAAUCCCUUGGGUAAGGCCUCUAGUCUCUUACAAUCAAAUAUCGUCAGCCUCGUGAGUUUCGCACAAGGCAAUCCCCCUUCGGGAAAGGACUCCAGAUUUCCACACCUCUGUAUACUAAUCUCUCGAAGCUGGUGGAGUUUAUGUAAACCAUUCGGUAAAAUUUUCAGAUUUUCACACUCAGAAAUGUAGAUAUCUUCAAGAGAUGUGUUGUUGUCCAACCUUUCUGCUAUUGACUCCAGCUUUGAACAUCCAUUAACAUGAAGGGACUUAAGAGACGGAGGUAGAUUGCCAACUUCAAGGGACUCGAGCGUGGCAGGUAACUCGUUUUUUGAAAAUAUACAUGUCAGUGACGGACAACUGCUAAUACGCAACUGCUCAACAAGAGAUGAGGUGUACCUUCUGCUGCUGUUGCUGCUACACUGGAUGCCCUCUUCCACUGUCAAAGUCCUUAGAUUAUCACAAUUAUGGAUGUUCAACAUCUUAAGGCUCCGUGGUAGCUGGACAGCAGCAAUAUAUGUCAACGAACGACAAUCCUGAAUAGACAAGAUCUCGAGAGACGAAUUGGUGUCGCACAUCCAUGCCUCUGGUAACGAUUUCAGUGCAUCACAAUGCCUAAUCUGAAUUUUCUUCAACUUGGAAGGCAGAGCAACCUUAGGAAAGGAAACAAGGGAACUGCACUUGCAGAUUUCUAUCUCUCUCAAGGAACUGAGGCUGAACGAUGAUUGUGGCAGCUUCACAAGGCCUUCGCAAUUACUCAAUCUUAGAUAUUCAAGUCUGCAUGACAACUGGCAGAGCUGCUGUUGUUGGUCUUUCUCUUCCUCCGCGACCAAGGAUUGAAGUUUGGGACAACUUGUAAUCGUCAGACUUUUGAGAGAGCAAAUGUCUUGCAGUAAUUCGUUAUGGCUCUUCCAUAUACAUGUUUCAUUUUGAAUAUUAUUUAUCUCCAAUUCUUCCAGUUUUGGUAUUCGCGGCUUCAAUGGCCCUGCGAGAAACACUUGAUUUGAUGUAUCUCUACAAACCACUGAAUUCUGUGAGCCGAGAUGAUCAGUUGUACUUCUCCACACAACCUUUUUACAUCCACGAAUUACCAAUUUGCAAAGAGCUGGAUGACUCGCAAUUGAAAUUGACAAUUCUUCACAUUCUCCAAUAACAAGCAUCUCCAAUGCAGGAAGGCAUUCUGGCAAUGUUCCUCGCAGUUUAGAACAUCUUAAAAUGCGAAGCUCUCUCAAUUUAGGAAACCCUUCAACUCCCUGACUAGAUCUAAGAGGAAUCCAGUCUUCCCAUUCUUGCGUGUCUUCAAAAUAAAGAGUUUCCGAAGAUGGAAAAGGAAUCGGGGAAUCAUUACCAUAGAACUCUGAACCCGAACUCUUUACUCUACUCAUUCCACGCACUGCAAGAUGCUUUAGAGAGGGCAGUUGCCCCACUGACGGCAGGACAGUACACAUGCCACAAACUUCAAAAGUUAAGGUCGCUAAAUUUGAGAAUGAUGAAUCUCCCAUCCGAGUUGGACAUUCUUUACCUCCAUAGCCACUGAUACAAAAUUGUUACAGAUUUUCAUGAGGAUUUAGCAUGUCGACCACAUCCUUUUCAGUUUCUGCCUCCCUUGAAGACAAACCAUUGGUACUCCGUGUCCAUCGGAACCUUAACACUUUAAGAUUCUUCUUUCCAUCCAAUUGAGCCUCCUUCGCAUCACCAAUGUCUUUUACGUUCUCCAAUUUUGAAAUGUUAAGUGUCCCACGAAGAUGCGUCAACAAUUUUAGCUCUCGUAUCCCGGAACCACUGUCUUUUCCCACAACAAAAUUACACAGCGUCUGAAGGCAAGUCAACUUGCCAAUUCCUAGUGGCAUCUCCUCCAAUGAAUAUGUAUUUGAAUUAUUGAGAUGAUGCAAUUUGAUGAGAUUUCCCAUGUCUGCACACAACUUCUCUAGUUGAUGACAAUCUUCCAACAAAAGCGUGUGCAAAUUGUAAAGCAUGUUGACUGAUUCAGGCAGAGUUCUAAUCUCAGUUCCAGAUAGGUUGAGGUACCUUAAAUACCUCAAAUCACCAAUUGAAUCCGGUAGCUCAUAGAUGCAAUAUCCACGCAAAGAGAAGACCCUCAACCGUUGGAGUUUGAACAACUUAGGAAGAAUGCUACGAGUCAAGUGUCUAAGCGAACGAUUUGACAAUGUUACUGGUAAAAAAGUUCGCAAAUGGUGGAUAUCAUGUAAAUCCUCAAACCUUUGAACGCCAUCACAACCUCCACGAAUGAAUGACAGGUGACGAAAAUUUUUGGAAAAACUUUGUUGCUUGUUAACCUCUGAGUUAGACUCCAUUGUGAAGUAUAUCUCCCCCGCAGCCCAUUGAGCAAGGUCGUUGACAAGGUCGUGCAUCACAAAUCGUGAUUUAUUGUUGCUUGAUUGCUGGAAAAAAGAUCUUGAACGUAGCUCUUGAAAGAACUUUCGACCUAGAUCUUCAUUAGGAUUCCCUCUCUCUUUGUGAUCCAAGAAACCCGAAGCACACCAUAAUAAAAUUAUCUCCUCCUCUUCAAAUUCAUAAUCCUUUGGAAACAAUGAGCAGUAUGCAAAGCAUUGUUUCAAAGGUGCCGAAAGAUAAUAGUAGCUCACUCUAAGCGCCGGUAUAAUGGCACAUCUCUCUUCUGGUAAAUCCCAUAUCUUGCAACUGAGCACACCUUCCCAAUCACUCCGGUCAAGUUUACCACGUAAGAGACCACCAAGAGUUUUCGCAGCUAAGGGCAAGCCGUUGCAUUUGAUCACUAUCUUCUUGCCAAUUUCCUCCAAUGACUUGUUUGAACUGAAAUCUCUUGUCCCCAAAGCGUGUUGAGCGAACACAGACAGACAAUCAUCAUUUGACAACUUUUUCAAUUGAUAAGCCGGAGCAGUCCCCAUGAUGGCUGCAACCCCUUGAUUACGAGCUGUGACAAUAAUCUUACUUCCCGGUGCGCCAGCUUCAAAUGGAGGUCUGAGUCGAUCCCAAUCAUUGUAAUUCUCAUUCCAAACGUCAUCUAAAACAAGCAAAAAUUUUUUUCCAGAUAGUUGCUUAUUCAAAUCCUCUUGAAGCUUAUUCAAGUUGUGAUUAUCCACGUUCUGGUCAGGAACAAUGGAUAUCAAGAUUGUUUUUGUUAGCCCGAAAACAUCGAAAUCAUCAGAGACACAUGUCCAUGCCUUGAGAUCAAAAUGAUCCUGCACUUGCUUAUCAUUAUAGACAAGCUGAACGAGAGUGGUUUUGCCCAGCCCGCCCAUACCUAUGAUAGGAAUAACAGAGAAUUCACCAUCGUUGCUUAAAUCAUCCCUCAACAGCAGUUCUACAACAUCCUUCUUUUCUGUUUCUCUGCCAUAUACUUUGCCUUCCUUCACCAAAGAAGUUGUCUCUCGCCUUUGCCUGUCUUUUCUGGAUCUCCCAGCUGAACUUACGUUCAAACCGAGCGAGUCUUUCUGUGUUACAAUAUCUUGAAAUCUGUCGUUGAUCUCUUUGAUUUUGGACAUUAUGGCGUAAUCGAACUGAAUCGAUUGUGGAGUAAAAGUGGUGCAGCAAGUAGGAAUGAGCUUCUGAAACUUACUUGUUCUUGUACGACUGCUACUGGGUUGAUCAAGAGCAGCAGCAGGUUCUCCAUUUCCAAGCAGCAACUUCCUCCGGAAAACCUCAGUUUGAAACUCAUCCAACAGGUCCUCAACAUCAUAAGCCAAGAUCUGAAGCUCGCCAAGCCACAACUUCACAGACUGAUCAGUCGUUUUCUUCUCCUCAGCAUCAUCAAGCACCGCCUUGAUCAUCACCAACAUAUUCUUCCACUUCUUUAGGUCGGCCUGGAUUUGCUCUUGGCGUGCAAACAAUCGAAUCCCCUCUGAAGCUAACUUAUUAACCAGCAAAUCAACGGACGCCGUAAGGAUUGCCUCUCCGAUGAUUGACAUUUUUUUUUUGUUUUGCAAAGAAAGAAACAGAAUUUUGAGUUUUGAAAAGCAAAAUGAGAAAAUUGAACAAUAAGUGUGGAGGGUCAAGCAAAAUGCGCGUAACAAGUCUUCCGCUUCUUGUUUAUUCCAGGAAAGUGAGAAUAAAAACAGAGCCCACCACCCAUUAAUAAUUGAGCAAUUCACCAAUCACGAGUCACCACCACUCGUUACCAUGAAUAUAAUAAAUUGCAGGGUCCAGCAACAUUGACCCAGUGUCCGGGUAAAUGCUGAAUAAAGAGGAAAAUGGAAUGUAUCCCCUACGAACCUUCGCUUUACAAGUCUUCAAACUCAUAAACCAAGUUAAAUCAAAACGUUUAUCUCUCUCUCCCUUUUUGCCAUAUAAUUACUUUAUUUAUUGAAUUAAUUUCCAUGCUAAAACGAACACUUAAAAGUGCACUACAAUUUUUUAUAAUCACAAUGGUAAUUUCUACUAUCAUGUUAUUUUAAUGUCGUGUUAAAAUAAAUUAUUACAAAGUUUUUUUUAUGAACACUCUUUUUAUUUAUAAUUUUUUUAAUUUUUAAUAUUUUUCUUACUCUUUUAAUCUUAAUAUUUGUAUUUCGCUCUUCAAAUUUUUAUUAUUAUUUAAUUUUUAAAGAAAAAUAUGAAAAAAAAAUAAAAAAAAUAUUAUACUUAAAAAAUAGUGAAUAUUUUAUGGGUCUAAUACAAACCUGUAUUGUUUUUGACAAUGAAAGAGCACGCGAAAAAUCUCACUCAUAGAAAAUUUAGUGAAAGGCAUUUGAAUGUGUGGCCACAUUUUCCGAACGAAACGAUAAGGCUUUAGCCUUAUAAUUGCAAUUAGUUUGUCUUGUAACUAAAUUAUUGCCGACAAGCACCAUCAUGCUGACAAACCGUGCAUGCACGUCCUCAAUCACCCACGUCCUCUACUUGUGUGCAAUAUUUCCCAUUACUUCCCGUACUUUAUGCAUUAUUGUUUUGUAUGUCUUUUGGUGUUUACGGUGUAGUUAGGGAUGGUAGCGGGUUGGGUCUGGUACCGGUUUGACAUCACCAAACCCGCAUCUAAAAAAAAUUUAAUUACGUAAUUUAAAUUAUAAAUUUAUAACCGUUGCCUAAAAAAACCACAUAAAAUACUUAAUUCUACAUUUUAUCAAUGUAAAUGAGAAAUGAAAAUAUCAACAUUAAAACAAAUACAUAAAAUGUAUCAAUUUAACACCAAUUUUCAAAUUCAAUUACCAAAUAAAUAAGUACAGUGUAGCACUAAAAUAUAAUAUUUAAAUUAAAUUAAUCACAAAAAAUUAAUACAAUACAGUGUAGCACCAAACAUUGUAUAUUAUUAUUAUAAUACAGUACUAAUACAACGCAACAUAAUACAAUACACCAACAUUAAAAUAAUACAAUCUAAUAUAAUACAAUACAGUGUGCGAAAUGCACCGACAUGGUAUUACUUUGUUUGUCUCGUUAUUUACAAUUAUUUAAUCUGUAGACCCACUCAUGCUCCUUCUAUGUAACAUAGAUGCAAUUUGAGGAAGAUUAUCAAUUUUUUCUGACUAAAAAUAAUAUAUACCACUUAUUUUUUAUUGUUUUUAUAAUGUUCAACAAUUCGCUUGAGAUCAAAAAAUUAAAUGAAAAGGAGUAAAUAGAUGAUUUACUUGAUGUUGUAUCUUAGAAAUAUAAAAUAUAUUUAUUUAUUAUUAAAAAUAUUUAAAAAUAAUAAAGAGUACAUAAAAAGUAUCUUAUCCUCAACAACAAGAUCAGACGACGUCAAUUCAGCAAAAUGACUUGAAUAACUUGAAAGUCCAGCAGCCGUCACCUCUUGGCGCACACAUGGCAACGUGCGUGGCUUUGGCAAGAGGUCUCCCAAAAGGACGAUUAAGAAAGAUUGCAGGACAAAUCAUGAAAAUAGUAGUACAGAUAUGCAAUGGCUAAAUUUCCUCGAUUAAGUCCAUCACAAUCAAGUCUUAGAAAUCACACCCCUGUAUUAAUUUCCAGAAAUAUGUUUGUUCCAUAUUUAUCGUGCACGUAUAUAUUGUAUGUAUUGGGAAUAGAAAGAGUGUAUGUAAAAAAUUCUUCAUUCAUCGAUUAAAACUUAAUUUAUGUACAAGGGUUAAGUGUAGUGUUUUUAAAUUUAAAAAGGACAAGUGUCAAUCCACUUAGGCUUGCCUCAAUGGCUAGAGCCACACUCCCUCACAAAGUGGUUCGAUCUCCCACAAAUACAUUAUAGAGGUUUAAUUUAAAUUUUUUUCCUCAAAUUUUGAGUGAAGACAGUUUUUCUUCCAGAAAUAGAAUUUUUCUGAGAGUUUGACGCCCCUCAAAUAUUUGAGAUGAUUAAAAUUUGAGCGGUGCUAUAUAAAAUAUAAUGUAAACUAAUCUAAAUAAUUGUAUAAUUAUAAAUAUAAUGAACAAUAGUCUCAUACAAAAAAAUGACAAGUGUAGUAAGCCCAUUUAAAUUAACUUAUAUUUGAGGGGAAAAUCUCUAUAUAUCAUAGUAUAUAUUAUAUGGGAGCGCCUAAGUUACGAUUAAUGUAUCUUACGUCUUUUGUUUUAUUCUUCUUGGUAGAUUUCAUUUGAGUCCCUUGAUAUUUCUUUAUUUUCUAUAAUUGAGGGAGUAUUUGUCUCCUUCCAUCUCUUCUACACCUAUUUUUUAUUCUUUCCAGAGUUAUAUUUAUUUCUUUUAAUAACAACAAGUGAUUAUCAAACUCAUAUAGAUCUAUGAAUUCAGAAUAUAUUUCUGGUCCUAAAUUUAUCAAACCUAUUCUUUCUUGCUCUAAUAAAUCUAUUUUUUGAUUUAUUAAAUUUAUAUAUGUAUUUACUAUAUUUUCCCAUCCUAAAUGCAUAUGUUCCGUAUUAUUUAUUAAUUCCUGUAUUGUAUUAAUUGCUUGGUUCAUAAUGUUUCAGUUUUAUACCAAUAUAUUAAAAAUUGUAUAAAUUUAUCAAUAAAUUUCAUUUUCUUUUCUAUCAAUAUUUCUCCUCCUGUGGUAUCUAUAUUCCUUUCUAUAAGUUCUUCAGUUAAUUCAAUUUCUAUAUUUCUUAUAUUAUUUUUAUCAGUUUUCAAAGCUUUUACCAAAUUCUUUAUUUCUUCUUUAUUAUAUACCUUUAAUGUAUACAAACUAUUAACUAUUGACUGUAUUGGGUCCAUCAUUUUGUUUUUAUGGCUCUGAUACCAUCUUGCACUGUGUGCUAAAAAAAAAACUAAUAUUAACAAAUUAAUAAAAAAUAAAAAUAAACUAAAAAGGUAAAGAAUGAAAAUAUAACUAAAUAAAAAAUAAUAGAAUAACGAAUUACAGAAAACUAAAAACAUAAAACAAAAAUUUUUGUUCUAUAAGGUAUACAUAUCAUAACUAUUACUGUUAUUUCUUACAUAUAAGGCAGUAACUUGUUCUCCUUCUAUAAUCCUAGGUAUAUUAUUAAGAAAACUAGCAAAAUAAAAAUCAUAAUAAUUAUUAUUAGUUUCUAAAAUAUAUGCAGGAUUAUUAGUCAUAUCAUAAAAUAAUUCUAUCUGUAUAAAGUAUAUAUUAUUAUUUAUUAUACUAAAAUAGUAUCUAAUUUCCCUUUGGGUAUCUAUUUUUAUAAAAUAUCCUGAUUACAGGUACGUGGCUUGUUAUCCCAAAGUACAGAGGAUACUAACGCCCAAUAGGGAUCGUCUAUCCAAUUUACGUCAUGGGUUGCUUGCCGAUAUACCUUACAACCAGUUUAUUUGUUUUAUUUUACUAGAUUCCUAUAUUUCAAGUUCUUCGUUAUCCGAAUUUUCAAAGUAAUUUAUAUAUGAUGGUCCAAUUUCUCGACUUUCAUGUUCUAUAUAUGCCAAAGCUAUGUCAAUUCCUUGCUCUAUUGUUAACAUAAUUAUAUUAUGUUUUAAAUUAUCUGUUUCGAUAUGGUUUAUAAUUUUUCUUUUUAUUUCUUUUGGUAAAUUAAGAGUAUAUACUGCUUGUAGAUCUUCUGUUCUAACUAGCUCUGUUUUACUUAAAAGAUAUGAACUUUGUUUAAAAGAUCCUAAGUUAAAGUCUAUUAUCAUCAUAUAGUCAUUAUAUGUUAUUCUAGUGCUAGAGUUUAUCAUAUAUUCUUUAGAAUUCCCAAGUAAAAUAUUGUUAUUCAUGUUUAAAUUAACAGCUCUUCCUCCAUAAAUCUCCUCAUCAUCAAUCAUCAACAAACUUCCACCAACAGAUAAGGUUUGAGAAUUAUUACCCAGAGUUGUUCUUAUUUCUCUGCCUUCCGAUCCUUUUCCAGUGACCUUCAGCCUGGUUGUCCUUAUUCCCUCAACGGCCUCCUUGCCUCAACGGGAUCAGCGGACUCGAGCGGCCUUACUGUAUGGAUUUUGAUCGUUUUGCUCGAAAAUUUUGAACAAAUUUAGGUUUCUCUUUCCUUUCUAUGGUGUUGUUUUGUUUAUGAUUUCUGAUGGCUUGAUUUCUGGAUUUUGAGCUGAAGAGUUGUUUAGUUCUUCAUUUUUGAGAGAGUUUUUGGAAAAGAUUUCGUAAUGGAAGCUCUGAGAGCCUUCUUUCUUUCUUUUUCUUCUAUUUAUUCAAAAAAAAGAUUACAUUCUUGCCCUCAUAUAAUUGGGCUUCUUACGUCACUGCUGACGAUUUUACAUUAUCCUCUAUGCUUUAUUACAUUAUUGCCCUUAUAUAAUUGGGCUUCUUACGUCACUGCUGAUGUUACAUAUCACUUACUCUUAAUUUUAGCAUCUUUCUUUUUACUUUUUGACAUUUGCUUUGCUUUGUCGGGCAUCUUCUUUAUGAUGUCUGCCACUUCUUGUCGGGCAUCUUCUUUAUGUUGUCAGCCACUUCCAUGAGCUGAAAAGCUUGUUCCAUAGUUUUACUGCUACUGGGAAAACGCAUAGUGCUUAUUUCAUUAAUGAAGUCUAACAACAGAUUUGAUGGUGUAUGGCUGUCUUCAGAUGUUAUGAGAAUGUAGUUCUGGAAUUUGAUGAUGGUUCUGAAAUUUCUUUCGUAUAGAUCCUUGGCUAUGCUCCAUAUGGCUUUUAUUCCUCUGGCUCUUCGUGUUCUGAUCCAAGGUUCAUUUAUAUGUGGAACAUUUGUGUAGUCUGUCCCAACUUCGACCUUGAAAUUCUUAGUGAGAUGACCUAUAGAGAUCAUAUAAAAGGCUUGAUAUUCUACGUUCUGAUAAUAUUCUGAGCUUAUGGUGUAGAAUUUUAGGUAUAUGGGCCUUUUUUGGGCGAACCUUGAUACUUCUUUUAUUAACAAGUCAUCAAGGCUGGCUAUUUCCUGAAGAUUUAUAUCUGGAUAAACUAGAUCUAAAUACUCGUAUUUUGCUAUCUUUCCAACAAGGAGUGGGUCUGCUCCUUUUGUAGCAAUCAUUCUUGGAUACAUAUUUUUUCCUGGUGCUUUGAAAAUUGUAUUCUUGUGGGAACAAGUGGAGUAUACCCAUGUGGAGAAUUGUUUAUAUUCUUCUUCUUUUGGAUUCAGGGGUUUCUCCUCUUCUUCUGUAUAAGGAUUGUUUAUUUCUAUGAACUUUUUUGGAGGUUCUGAUUUUGGAGACUCGACUUCUAUAGAUAUGACUUUAUUAGGAACUGGGUCAGAGAUUGGUUUAUCUUCUCUGAAGGGUCCACUACUGCUUCCGAUAUUUAUUGGGUUAAUGUUUAUUGGGCUCGUGUUUAUAGAGAGAGCUUUUGUUAGGUCGUCUAUGUAUGACUCUAACAAAUUUACUCCUUUUUCAUGAGCCUCAGAAGCUUCUUUCAAAUAGUUUAUUGCAUCAAUUAUAUCAGAUGCUUCUGUUUUGAGCCUUUGUACCUCAGCUUCUAUUUUCCCGAUGAUUCUAUUAACUUCGGGAUUCAUUCUCCAAAUUCUAUGUUCCUGCUUAGGAAAUCUGCAAGAAAAUUGUUAAUUCCUUUUAUAUGCACAAUUUUGAAAUUAUAAUAUGACAGAUAAACUUGCCAUCUAUGCAAUCUUCUGUACUGGGGGUUCAUUUGGUAAAAUCCUAUUAAUAAGGGAGUUUACCCGAGAAUUAUCAGUUUCUACAGUAAAUUGUUUUUGGAGCAAAAAUAAUGAAAACUUUUUAAUCCCUUUGUAUAUUGCAAGGAGUUCUUUUUCAUGUACAGGAUAAUUAACCUGAGCUUGGUUAAACGUUCCACUAGUGUAUCGACAAAUUUCAUUUAUAUCGGUUUUAAGUAUUGCUCCCCAAUAUAGGUCAGACGCAUCUGUUUGUAUUACUAAUCUAUCUUUUUCAUCAGGUAGUCUUAAAGUCGGAAGGUUUUUACAUUCUUCUUUUAAAUUUUUUACAAUUUCUGUAUGUUCCUCAUUCCAUCCCCUAGUAUUAUUUUUUCUUAAUAAUUUUUGGAGUAUAUUUCUCUUUUUUGAUAGGUCUUUUAUAAAUCCUUCUGCAUAAUUCAAACAUCCCAAGAAUUUUUGUAUUUGUUGUUUAUUUUCUAAUUUAUCUGGAAACUCAAUUAUUUUUCUUCCUAUAUGGCUCUGGAGUUUGAUUCCUUGUUUAUCAAGUAUCAUUCCUAAAAAUUCUAUUUUCUUAUGCUCUAUUACUGCUUUUUUACUAGACAGUACUAUCCCUUCUCUAAUACAUGUAUUAGCAAAUUCUUUCAAAUGGUGUCUAUGUUCUUCUAUUGUCUCUGAAGCUAUCAAUAUAUCAUCAACAUAGACUAUAAUGUAAUUGUAGUCUUUAAAUAUUUUAUCCAUCCUACUUUGGAAAAUUUGUGGAGCAUUUUUUAAUCCAAAGGGCAUUACUAACCAUUCAUAAUGACCUUGUGGGGUACUAAAAGCUGUGUAUGGGAUACUAUCAUUUUCCAUUUUUAUUUGCCAAAAUCCUGACUUACAAUCAAAUUUUGAAUAAUAUGUUUUAUUUUUUACAAGAUUUAUCAGUACUUCCUUGUUUGGGAGAAAAUAUCCAUCAAAUUUUGUAUAUUUAUUUAGUUCUUUGUAAUUUAUUACCAUUCUUGCUUUUCCCCUAACUUGUUCUGCUCUUUUCCUAACCAUAAAAGCUGGGCUAUUAUGCGGGCUAUUACUGUUUCUAAUAAGUUUUAAAUUUAAUAAUUCUUUUAUUUGAAUUUUAAAUUAUUCUCUAUCUUCUUCUGUAUACAUCAUAGGUUUAAGUCUUAUAAUCCUAUUUUCAAUUAAUUCUAUUUUUGCUCUAGGAUGAUCUGGUUUCCAUAAUGCUAAAGGAUUCUCUUUAUAAACUUGCUCAAGCUGUGAUUUUAUUGUUUCUAAUUGUAUAUUAUAACUUUGUCCUUUUUGUAUUAAAUAAUGUUUUUCAUAAAUAUACUUAUCACCACGCUGGGCUGGCUGAACUCUGUAGGGUUUGAAUUCGCGAGGGAUGCGUAGAAUAUGAUUACAAGGGGUUUUUAAAGUGAUCAUAUAGGGUGUUUGUUGGUAAUAUUGGAACUGUUGUAUGAAGUCAUUUCCUAAAAGGAUAUCACAAUCCAUAUUAUUGUACUGGAAUAUUUGGUUAAUACGUACUACUUUACUUCCUAGUAAGAUUUCAAAGUUUAAAAUAGAUUGAUUGACAUGUUGUUUAUCUCCUGUAAUACCAAUAAUUAUUAAUUUUCCAUUUGAUUCCCAUUUAUUAGAUAAAAAGGAUUUCAUAAUGGUUAUUUCACUACCAGUGUCUAACAAAGCACAAGUAUCUAUAUCUUUUUCGGUUAUGUUUAUUUGUAUAUAUACAGACAUAGGGUAUUUUACAUAAGCUUGUUUUAACAUGUGUAACAGAUUAUUGUUUGGCCUUGGAUUAAGAAAGUUAUCUUAUUAGGUUCAAUUUUGUAAUACUCUAAAUCAUUUAAAAAACUAUUUCCCAGUACUAUAUGUUUUUCUGGGUCUGUAGUCAUGAAUGAGUCUAUAUAACAGGCUACUAUUAUUCUAAGUCCUUCUAUUAUUAUGGGGACUUUAACCUCUUGUUUACAAAUAUGUUUAUUCCCAUUGAAGUCAGUAUACUCAUAUGGAACUUCCUUUUCUUUUACUAAGAGUCCUUUAUUUUUUGUGUGAUUCAUGUAAUUAUGGCUUGUGCCAGUGUCUAAUAGUAUAGGUACUUUUGCUGUGUAAUCUAUUCCAUUAAAGUAUUGUCCAAGUAUUUUUACCACAUUAUUUGUUGGUACUGAUUUAAUUAUUUGCUUAUCAGUGUUUAAUCUUCUAGAAGAACUUCCUCUUAUUAAGGUUCUUCCAGCAAAGCUUAUAGGAAUAAUGGAGUUUUCAUUACUAUUGUUUAAAAAUUGUUUUUUAUCAUCGAUAUUUAAUUCAUAAGUUAUAGGGAUUUUGUAAUCUUGGAUUACAGGUUCUAUAAAUGUUGCAAUAUCUUCACAAUCUUUAUUUAUCUCGAUGUAAGGUUUAUUACCAUAUAUUUCUCCGUAGUUUGAAUUACAGAAACUAUAUAAAGCUGAGUAAUGUAUUGUCAUUAUUCUAUUACCUUCUUUCAUUAAAUCUUUCUUUAAUAGCUUAAAGUGUAAGCUUAAUGUUUCGUCUAUGUUUUUAUCUUUAAUGUGUACACAAUAUCUAGGAUGACAAAUAAAUAAUAAUUUAGUAUAACAUAAAUUUCCUUCUAUUGUUCCAAGAUGUCCUAUGUUAGGAUCUAUAAAUCUUUGAUCAUGCAAUGAUAAAACUAUUGGGCUAUCUAUUCCUUCUUUAAAAAGAGAUUUUAUUAAGAUUUGUAUUUCAGCAAGAUAUACAUAUUGAAUUUUUUCUUUAGUUGACUCAUUUUUUAUUUUUCUCAAAGCUAAAUCUAUGGAUCUUUUAUUUAUUAAACUAAAUCUAAUGUUUCCUUCGGCUUGUGUAAUUGUCACAGCUUUUUCUUGUUCAUAAUAUUCAUGUAAUAUUAUUCUUUUUCUUUUAAACAUAUCUCUAAAUCUAUGGAUUAUUCCAUACUCUGGUUUUUCCAUAUUUAAUUUUAAAAGUUUAUUAUAUUUUUCUUUGUUAAAAGUAGCAACAAGGCUGUAUCCACUUUUUUUUUCUUCUUUUUCUAUCUCUUCUAUUUCUUCUAUUUUUUCAUUAUCUAAUAACUCUUCUUUACUCUGAUUCAUUUUCAGAUUCUUCAGCCAUAUAAACUUCCUCUCCUAUAUAGUUAGAUAAAUUAUUUAUUUCUUCUAAGUCACUUUCUAUUUUUUCAAAAUCCUUUUUUAAGAGUUUAACUUUUUUCUUUUUUGUACAAUCUGUACUUAUGUGCCCUAUUUCUCCACAAUUCCAACAUUUACAUUUGGACUUAUCUAAUAUUUUUCUCUGGUUUUUAUAUUUUCUUUUAUAAUAUUUUCUUCCUGAUUUUUUAUAUUUUUUCUUAAAAUUAUUAUAUUUUUUAUAUCUCUUUUCUUUAUAAGAUUUUCUUCGUCUUUUAUGAGGUACAUAACAUCCCCAUUGGGUAGGCAUUUCUGUCUUUUCACAACAUAUUUUUGUUAUGUUUUUACUCUUUUUUAUUAAGCUUCUUUGGAUACAAAUUUCACUUAAUCUUGUAUUUAAAAAUCUGAUCCUAGAUCCUAAUGUAUCUGGGAUUCUACUAUCAUUAUUAUUAGUAUGUUUUUCAUAUUCAUUUAUGAAAUAUCCAUUCCAUGGAUAAGGUAAUUUAGAAUAAUACAAAUUCUUAUAAAUGUUCUGGUCUUCAUGACUCAUGAAUUGUGUAUAAUAAUAUUUACUAAAUUCACAUGUAUAUUCUUUUACAAAACACAUAUUACAGAUUGUCAGGUUUAUUAAUUUCAUUCUAGCAUUUAAUUUAUCAUGUUUUGCUUCAUUUUCUGUAUUUUGUAACCAAUCUUCUCCUAAGAAUUCACUAGCAAUGUAUUCGAUUAUUCUUUCUAUACCUAAUCCUUUAUCUUUUCCUAAUGCUAUUUUGGUUGAGUCUUUUAUUAAUUUUUGUGUAUCGUCACUUAAUCCUUUCCACCAAUUAAAUACAUUUCCUGUAAAACUUGCUAUUAGAAUAUCCGUUAAUAUAUUUAUUUUUUCUUCUUCAGUAUCUACAUUCCAAUCAUCUUUGGAUCCAUUGAAUAUAAAGAAUAAUUUCAUUUGCAUUCCCCAUUCUACUAAAGCUUUUCGGGAGUCUAUUUUACAAUCCAAGUCUAAAAAUGCACCUGCAUUGCUUAUUGCCACCAAAUGGUCAUUAUUAGGUUGGUAAUCUUUUUUCCAAGAGGUAUUUUUAACGGGCGGAUAAUAUUCAUAAAAAGGUCUAUUUUUCUUUUUAUUUGUUUCAUAUCUAUGACUAGGUUCUCCAAUAUCAGGUUUUAAUUCUGGACCUCCAGCAACAUUCAUCUUUAUUUGGUAUUCUUUUUCAAAUUCUUCUAAAUCACUAAGGUUAAUAUCACUAAAUUUUUCUGUUAAUUCUUCUAAUGUAUUUUCCAUUAUUCUGUAUCACUAGGUGUGUUUUCUUUUAUCUCUAAUUUUUCUUUUCCCUUUUCUUCUCUUUUUAAUUCUGCUUUUAACUUUUCUGACUCCUCUAAUAUUUUUGGAUGCUGAGUUUUUAUAAACCAGUCAUCAUAACUUCCUGGUUGAGGUUUUGUCAUCUGUUUUUCAAUGCUUGUCCCUAUUAUUCCUGAUUUUAUUAUUUCAAGUUUCUCAACUUUUUUAUUUUUCUUUCGGCUUAUCUGAAUUGUUGAUAAUUCUAUUUUUAUCUUUCCUAUUUCUUGUUUAAUUUCUCUCAUUUCUUCUUUAAGAUUUAAAAGUAUUUCUUUUAACUCGAUUAAUGUAGUUUCCAUAAAAUGUAGGGGUGCUAACAGAUAUUUUUAUUUUUGAGCGUAUGUUACAUCCAACGUAACAUAGGGUUAGCCUAUAUUAUAUAUCCAGUCGUGGGACCCAUAUAUGGUUCCAUGUAAUUCGCACAGUUGAACUGGAGACACUGAUUAGUUCGUUGUCUAUUUACCAACUUAUGUACAACUAAGUAAUUUCAUGCACCAUUUGCGCCUUAUCUAUCCAGCCUGCUUGCAUUGCAUUAACUAAACAUACAAUGAAAUUAACCCUUGUAAUUUCGGCCUUUGCCAUAGUCGUUUUGUUUAUUAGGUUUAUGUUUAUCAACAUGAUAUGUUGUCAACCAUAAUCACAAUCAAGUUGUUAAUUAUUUUUUAAAUAAUGUGAAGGAACAAGAUUUUGGUCUUUGAGUGUGGAGUUAAAAAUAUCUCACCUCAACAUACGGUGUUGUGCUCUCAUCAUCUUAACAUUAUUUGUUAAAAAUUAUGUCAAAGAGGAAAGCAGAUUCAAACAUUACUUCAAUUUUCUUUAAGAGCAUAAAAAUAUCGUUAAUAGGCUACUGUUAUUUGUUAGUACGAUUUCACAAAAGGAAGCUAGAGGAUGAUGAAGCUUUCAAGUCAUGUGUGCAUCAAAGUAAGAAACAGAGCUAACGAGAGAUGGACAAUUUUAAAUAUGUCAGCAUUUUGUCAGUUCUGGCCAUAUUUUGAAAGAUUAGCACCCUAAUUUUCUUUUGAAGCUCCUUUUCUGUCUAAACCUAUUUUAAUUUCCAAAAUAUCUUUUUCCAUUUUUUUAGUUUCUUUCUGAUUCCAAAAAAAAAAAAAUCAGUUUCUUAAACAACUCCAACUACAAAUAUUUUUUUUACAAAUUUUUGAAUUAUUAAAUCAUAUGUGUGUGUAUAAAUUGAAUAGAAUUAAAAGUGGACUCAAAUAGCUAUUAUGUAAUUUUUUUUAUAAUUAAAGAAAAGUUUAGAAUGCAAAAGUGUGUGUGGGAAAACAAAAAAUAUAAAUCGCCUUUGAUAUAAUUAUAUGGUUGUAAAAAGUUAGAUGGAGAAAUAUAGUAUAUAAUUAAAUUUAUUUUGCCUUAAAACGGGUAGGUUUUAUAAGAAUUUUUUUCGAGGAGUGCCAAUAUUUCAACUCUUUUUCAAAUAAAGUGAUGUCCUGGAAUAAAAUCACUACUCUAUCAUUGCUAUUAGUUUGUCUUGUAUUUCAAUAAUUGCCGACAAGUAUUAAUUGUGAAUAUUAUUAUUUUAAAAAUAUUAUUAUUAUUAUCGUCGUUAUUCUUAACAGCAAUGACUAGAAUUAUAAUAAGAACAAUAACGUUAAUACAAUAAUAUAACAACAUAAUAAUAUUUUAAUUGAGAGGAUAAGAAUGAAAUUAUGAAAUUUAGGUUGGGUAAAAAUGGUGAGUAUGAGGAAAUUAAUUUACCAUUUUUUAAGCUAAACAAUUCAUAAAUUCCACAUAUUUAAUUCUUAUUUCUCUUAUAUUUUAACAAGUUAUCAAUCGUUUUAAUAUUUUAAUUAAUAAAAACGGCAUUAACUACGGAACUAAAAGAUCCAAAAAAAAAAAAAAGAGACGCGUGUAUGUAUUGCUUGUGAGAAAUCUCACCCAUGGAAAACUUUGUGAAAGGCAUUUGAAUGUGUGGCCACAUUUAAUGAACGAAACGAUAACUUUAAAAGAAAGUAUGUACUGUGUUAAUUAUUAGGCUUUAGCCUGAUGAUUGCAAUUAGUUUUUCUUGUAAUUAAAUUAUUGCCGACAGACACUAUCACGACCCACGUCCGCUACUUGUGUGAAUGUGUGUAUAAAUAUCCGCAGCAUAUCAUCAAACCUGAAGCGUGAUCAUCUUUAAGUUUUGGUUACAAUUCAUCAUACGUUAGAAGAUAUCUUUUCUAAUUUGAAGAAGAUGGAAACUCCUUGUCCAGGUUCUUAGGCCAUGUUCAGUUGAAUGUCAUUUAUAAUUUUUAUUUUAAAAUUAUGUAUUUAUGAAUACAACUAUUGUUAUAAUUUUUUCAAGUAAGAAUGGAUGCUCUGAGGGUAACCCAAUAACUAUGUACAGUAUUAUUAAUGAUGAGAGCGUGAAUGACAAUUUGGAUUUUAUUCUCGUCCCUCAAUACGGAAGAAAUCUUGACCAUAGCGGUUAAGUGCUAUGUAAUUCUUUCGUAUUAUGUUUAAUUAAUAAUGAAAUGAUGGGUUAUUAUUACCUGUCAAUUAUGUGAGUAUCUUUGUUUGGUUUAGUUCAACUUAUAAAAUUUCUUGAGAUAUACAAGAGAUUUUCAUUAUUUAAUUUUGUGUACCGUGUCUUCUUGUAAAAAGAAAUUAAUAAAAAAAAUAUCAUUGUGUGCAAUGUAUUAACUAAGUUAGUGUAUUCAUGUUAGGUUAAUUGUGCUCUCUCUUCUUGAUAUUUAAAAAAAAAAAAAAAAAGCUCCACAUAUUGUUGGUUAGCUAAUUCUUGCAGCUAGCAAGUGAUCCUUUUCUUUCCCCUACUGCCGUAGCAUCAAAUCCUUACAAUUACAUAUCAAGUGGUAUUCGAGCCGUCAAAUGAUCCAUGGAAACAGGCAACAAAUCAAAUGCUGAAUUUUGCGAAGAGAUUCACGAAAUCCUUACUAUACAUGAGUCUAGUUUUGACCAAGUUCACGUCACCCAUCAGCUGCGGGUUUGAAUGGUACCUCGUGGAUAUUUUGUGAGUUCCCACUAAUAAAAUCACACUUGCAACAAAACUUAAAAAUUUAAAUUACGUAAUUCAAAUUAUAAAUUUAUAAUCGUAGCUUAAAAAAUCACAUAAAAUACUUAAUUCUAGAUUUUAUCAAUGUAAAUGAGAAAUGAAAGUUUUAACAUUAAAAUAAAUACAUAAAAUAUAUCAAUUUAACAUAAAUUCUCAAAUUUAAUUACCAAAUACAUAAGUCUAUCGCAACUCAAAGUGCUUUCAAUUGAAAACGAAAAAAGAGAAAGAGAAAAAAAAGAACUACAAAUCAAAGUAGCACUCAUGACCGAUUUUGCAGUCUCAUUCAAUACCACUAGCACCCAGCAACACGAUUUUUCUAAACAAAGUAUAAAGUACAAAAUUACAAUAAGCAUAUCAGACUCCAUGCUUUAAGUUAAAGAUCCUUAUAUAUUUUUAUGAAUAAUUUUUUAAUGAAAUUUUAUGAUUAAAAUUAAAAAUACAAACAUUCAAAUAAGAAUGUCGGACACUUGCACAACUAUUUACCAAAUUUUUUCUCUAUAAAAAUCGACCUGCAACUUUCAAUAGGUUUAAAUUUAUAAUAACAAACCUGAUUGCAGCUCGCAAAAAUUAUCCGUUGCGGCCAAGACUUUGGAUUUGCGAUGAUUUUGCCACCCUAAGUGUAGUUAGUAUUGUAUAUCAUGUGGCUCUUAUAAAAAGCCUAGAAGUUGUUUGAAUAACGGGGGAGACACAUAUCUCCCAAAGAUUUUCUCUUUUUCAAAUUAUUAUUUUUUCUGUAUUAUUGUAACUUCGAAUCCUUAUAAAUUGCAGAUUGGAGACAUGAACACAAUGUUUUGACAUAGUGGACUUUUGGCUUGUCCAGAGAAAUUUAAGAUAGAUUUUUACGCACUAAGGCUCUAUUUACUAUUGAGGUUUUAGAACUUUUAAGCCACACUAGAAAUUUGUAUUGUUUUGAUAGAGUUGUAGUUCUUGAUAUGUGAUUGGUAUUAAUCAAGUGUUAUGUUUACAAUAGUUAAAGGCAUAUUGAAUCAAAAUCCACUUCUAAGGGCUUGAUUGAGUGAUUGUAAAGUAGGUUUUUAGUUUGCUAGUCACUCAAGUUCAAAUAUUGGAACCACAGAGCUUUAUAGCCAAGUGAGAGAACUUGUGCCCUAAAAAUUGAGGGGUGCAUAUCGAGUUUUACCACCAAUAAAAGUUGGUGUUAAAACUUUAAUUUCCCUCCUAUUGAUGGAUAGGGGUGAUUAGUAGUUUACAUUCCCUCCUAUUAAUAGACAGGGGUUAUUAGGAAUAUUAAAAAAAAGUUCAAAUAUUGAAAAUAUAGGUAUGGGUUAUAAAAUUCAUAAUAUAAAGACACAAAAUCAAGAUAAAGAUUUAAAAAUUUAGAACCAUGAGAGCGUGACUUGUAAGUUUCAAAGAAGCAUGUGCAAAUAUAUGCAUUAUCGAUGCCUAAUUAAGGGUGGACAUUAAGAUCGGGUUAACCCGAACCGAACCGAACUUAAAAUUUAUUUUGGAUUCAAUUUGGUUAUGGUUGAAGCUUUCAACUGAGUUCAAAACUUAAAAAUGAUUGAGUUGUAUUUCUGUUCGAAUUUAACCCCAAAAGACAACUAACCCUAACUAAAAUGUUCGACCGCGGCCUCCUCGUUUUCUUUUCUUCUUCCUCCUCUCGCUCACCCCUAAUGCCCUUCAUGGAAAUCCAACAGCUCCAAACGCGUUUCGGCCGCUCGCACGUGUGAGAAAUUUUCGUUCUCAUAGGAUUAUUCGUUUCCUUCGCCUGCAUGCCAGCAGAAUAUUCAGGCCGAGGAUUUUUCCGGGCCUAGCCCAACUAUAAGCUCUCCCAAAACCCAAUCAUAAGUUCAUAACGUUUAGCGUUUGCUAUUACUAUAAUUUUUUUUAAACAAUUUUCACAUUCAUCAACAUAGGCUGACAGAUUUUGUAGAAAAUAAAAUUAAAUAAAAAUACAAGCUCACGAAAUUCCUUUUCCGAUGUGGGAAUCUAUCUACACCUUUCACGUGCCUUUUUUUUUUUUUUGUAGUGGGGGAUUCACUUGCUUUUGUUUGCAUUGCCUUAUUGGAUAAAAGUUUGUAGAACAUCGUCUGUUUGGUUAAAUCCGAGCAUGAGUGAAGAAAAAUUAAAAAUAAAUAAUUUCCCAUUAAUUUGCAACAAGUAUUAAUAAAGUGCAUGAGAAAAGACACCAAGAUAUGCCUUUUUUUAAAUGAAAAUAAAUGUGUUAAUUAGUCAAUUUAAAUGGUAUGACAUUUUGAAAUGAUAGAAGCAAUCUAAAGUUUAAAUCUUACUCACACUUAAUUUAGGGUUGGGGAUUAAUUGACGUAAUAUAUAAUAACGAAUUCGAAAGACAAUUAAAAAUUAAAAGAAAAUAAAGAAGUGCUUUCUUUUUUAUGAUGGUAAUUUGUUUAGAUGAUGAAAACUCUUAGAGUUGUAUUAUCAAUACAUAGUUUUAAGGGUUGGCAAUGUGAACAAUAUUUAAUUUCCUUUAUAUAGUUAUAUCUUAACUAACAUUUAAACAGAAGUAAGUUGUAAAAAAAAUGAACCAUUGAGAUUUGAGAGAAUGAAAAACUAAAAAAAAAAGUUAAAAAAUUAGAUCUCAAUAAAUUUACUUGAGAACUACUUUACUGAUUAAUGAAGAGAAAAUACAAAGAAUAAUGAUGUAUCUCAAUUAAUCAGAUAAUUUUUGUAUUUUUUAUUUAUUCCAGAAUCACGAAACUUCAUUUAAACUUGUUAUUUCAUUGAUAAUAUAUUAAUAUUGAACAAUUAAUGUAGGAGACAUUCCUUUCCAAUUAUGCCCAUAUAUUAAUUAAAGACCAUCAAAAAGUUCAGGGAUACUAUAAUAAUUUAAGUCAAUAAUUUCUGUGCUUGAAAUCAGCCAAUCAAACUCACUUUAGAAUAAAUUGAGAAAUCAAAAUCACAUUCUCCGAUUCCACGAUUUCAAUUCAUCUUAUUUCUUCAACUGAAAAAUUGGUUGUAUUUCGUUUUAUUUUAUUUUUAUUUUUAUUUUUAUAGAAAAAUAAAUAUAACUGUAAAAGUAAAAUAAAAAGAAGAGCACGAGUUUUAUUGAAAAUGACUCUUUUCAUCAUGUUGCCGGAGUGAAUGUAUCUGCAUAUAAACUAAAGAAGCACAUUUGUUUCCGACUCUACGCUUUAAAUUCAGCUUCAUUUCUUCAACUGAAGAAUCGGUCGUCUCUCAUUUUUUAUUUAUUAUAUAAAGAUAAAUAUAUAAAUUUAAAUGGCGAGAAGAGCGGACGAGGAAUACGAUUACUUGUUCAAAGUGGUAUUAAUCGGCGAUUCGGGAGUCGGCAAAUCGAACUUACUCUCCCGAUUUACUCGUAACGAGUUCUGUUUGGAGUCCAAAUCCACUAUUGGCGUCGAAUUCGCCACCCGCACUCUUCAAGUAACUAACUUUUCCUCUUUCACUUCUCUUCAUUUUUAUUAGUUAAUUAAGAUCCAGUUAAUGUAAUUAAUUUUAUUUAAUCUUUUAAAUAAAGUUCUAGAUUAGGCUAACUUAGAUUCAUGUGAAGUUCAAGUGAUUUACUUUCGAUCUCUUUUUCGUCCUAUGUUUAUUUGUACUUACUAUUACUUUUUUUUGGGUUAAAAUUUUCGUUUUUGAAGUGUUUACUGAAUAAAUUUCUGAGCUUUAUUUGUGUAUGCUGAUUGAUUUGUGAUUUUAAUUUUGUGACUUUUUUUUUGGAAUUUAAAUUUGAAUGCUUUUUAAGUUGAAUCUGAAUGUGUUGGGCUGCGAUUUAAUUAAGUCAUCUGUGAGCGCCAAAUUGUGAUAGCUAUAUAUUGGGGUGAAAAUUUGGGAUUUAAAGUUAUGUAUUUAAGAUGCAGUUAAUUCGCAAGUGAAAAUUAUGGGCCGGCAGAUUUUGUCAUUGGAAGACUGUUCUCCACAUGUUGAAGUUAGUGAUGCAAGUUGAAACCAAUCUGUUUAAGCUUGGGGUUUCAUGUCUUGAAUCAAGGCUGUGACUGGGUUGAGAGUAUUAUAGCUUUAGCUAUUCCUGAAGUGAUCUGUUUAGACUCACCGUGAUGAGACCGAGUGCUGUACAGUAAAAUGAAAGGAAGUUGGAAAAUAUUUACUUAGCAUUUCGCGUUACUAAUGUUGAACUAAUAAAACCUAGCCCCUAUCCUAGUGAAUUUAUGUUAAAAAGCUAUGCACGCAUUAAGUUAGUGUGCUGUGUGUUUGGCGCUGAGUAUUCUUCAUUCCACAUUUUGGGUUUUGGUUGACCUCCAGCAUGGCUCAACCCACUUGAGUUAAAAGCCCUAGAGUUACAUUCUACCCAUGAUAUUUGAGUUUAUCAAGUCACCUUAUUUUAAUACUUAUCUGGAAAAAAAAUAUAUAUGUUAAAUCAGGUAGGAAAAAUAAAAAGUUAAUUAUUGAGUUGUAAUGGUGUAACUAAGGUUUUGAAACAUUAACAUCUUUAGCCAUUAUGUUACUAUCCCGUAGUUAUUUAAGUUACAAGAGAUAGUAAAAAAUAACAUCAUAUUUUAAUUACUUACACUAAUCCUACAAAUGCUGAUGGUCUAAAGUUGCUGCUGCUUGCACUGAAUCAGUGGUCAUGGGCCAGCCAAGGUUAGGUGAGGCCAACUCAUUAGCUUGUGAAGCUUAAAGAAGUCUUAGGUUUGGAAAAGAUGGGGCACAGGUUACAAAAUUUUUUUGAGUUUUGGAUUGAAGGAACAAAAUUGUUGAUGUCUAGCUCACAAUAUUUGAAGUCACUCUGUGCUUCAUCAUGUAAAAUGGAUUGAAUUGCUGUAAGAUCAGGUCAAAUUAAAUUGUUUAAACUCAUUUUUAAGAAACGAAUUCUCAAUUGGACCAGCCUUUCACAGAAGCUUUGAGUCAGAUGCAUCCAACCAAAGCCCCUGGCCCAGAUGGUCUCCCAGCAGUAUUUUUCCAAAAGCUUUAGAAUUCAGUAAGCGAAGGAGUUAUAGCCACUUGUCUGCAUAUCCUCAAUUAUGGAGGUAAUAUUGCUCCUUUGAAUCAUACAUACAUUGCUUUAAUCCCCAAGAUAGCAAAACCUAGGACUCUGAUGGAGUAUAGACCAAUCAGCAUAUGUAAUGUAAUUUAUAGGAUCAUUGCAAAGACUAUAGCGAAUAGGCUGAAGCUAAUCUUAGAUCAUGUUAUUUCGCCAACUCAGAGUGCUUUUAUGCCAAAUAGGCUCAUAACUGAUAAUAUAAUUAUUGGGCAUGAGUGUCUUCAUAAGUGGACAAAGCUAAGUUCCAGAGGUGAGUAGGAAAUUCUCCCGCACGACGCAGCACAAACAAACUUUCCCUUUCAUUUUCUUUUCUCUUUCUCGCUCUCCAAACAGAGCAAAAGGACCAUCGCAAGAUUCUUCACUUCCAUCCAAAAUCAUGAGCAACGAAUAGUGAGCCUCCCUGUUUCCUUUUUUUGAUAUUAACAUUGUUAACAUAUACUCAUUUUAAUUUGACAAUACUUCAACUUUUUUUAUUUUUUUGCCUUCUCAUUUUUUUUGUUGAAGCAAUUAUCUGUUCAAGCUGUUGCUUAUCGGAGACUCGUACGUUGGAAAGUCCUGCCUGCUGCUCCGAUUUGCUGUCUGUUGACUUUUCCUUUCCCUUCUUAUUUUCUUUUUUUAUAUUAAUUACUUUCUAUUUUAGCUUUUUGUUCUCUGAAUUUGUGUUAUUAAAAUGAUAAUUAAGAUGAUAAAUAAUUGUUAUUCUUGUAAAUUUCGGUUUUCAUUACGUUAAUUGUUAGUUUUUAGGUUUAUUAAUGUAAUUUUUUUUUGUUUUUUUUUUUUCAAUUUUUCAGGAUGAUUCUUAUGUCACAGCUACAUCAGUACCAUUGGAGUUGAUUUUGUGUCUCUCUCUUCUAUAUAUAUGUAUAUAUGUGUAUAAGUUAUUAAAUUUAUCUAUGUACGUGUAUGUAUGUAUGUGUAUGCAUAUGUGGAAAGAAAUGUUGGCAGACUUCAGCAUUUUACUCUUUUUUUUUUUUUUUUGGCAGAAAAUAAGAACUGUGGAGCUGGAUGGGAAGACGAUCAAACUGCAGAUUGUGAGUCAAAAUUUCCUUUUAUCUUGUAUUGAGAGAAAUUCGAUUUGUCUUAUUUAGUGAAGGUUAUGUUCAAGAACCUUGUCUUAUUUUCUUUGUUUGAAGAGUGAUAUGUUGAAAUGAGUGUAUUUGUCUUAUAAACAUCAUUUAGGUAAUGUCUUGGUGAAACCUGUUGUCAUAUGCUGAUUAACAUAGCUAGUCUCGGAAAUAAUUUGUUGAUUCAAAAUUUAAAUUAUGAGUUAAAAUUUGAUGCAGAAUGGGCAACCAGCCUACUGCAAACAAAUCUUCAGGAACAGUUCAGAUGAAGGGACAGCGAAUCCAGCAAAACAGCAACUGCUGUGGUUAGCCGAGCAUGUUAUUUUACUACUACAUGUUAGCUGACUGAUUGUAGACAGUUUUAACUAUGUUGACUGCAUUAUCUUAUGAAUCUUUUAAUCUGUCAAAUAUUUAUUUCCUGCUUUAAGUUCUUUCCCGUUUAUAACAAAUUUAAUUUCUUGCUCCAUUGCAUUCCAAAUUCCUGUCAAUUUACGAGGGAAAAAGAAAAGAGAGACGAAAUGGGAGAAAAUGGUCAAAUUUGUUAGGGGGAGAGAGCUGUUGAAGUAGUUUUUGUUCUCGUUUAUCGUCGUGACCCUCUUGUCGCUUGUCUAUGACCUGGAAGUCCGGUCAUAUCGGAUGGGUUAAGUUACCGAAACGGCAUCAUUUUGGGUGAAAUAUCAUAUUUAUGUAACACUUUUGAUAAUAUUUUUAUGCAACAAAAACAUGUUUGCAGUACCCUUUUCACAUUGUGAAGCGCAUGAUCGGAUGAGAGCAGUCUGGAUUCUGGCAUCACAAGGUAAUGCUUUGAUUUGCUUAGUUUGUUUUUUGUUUCUGAUAUUUUCUCGGCAUCGGGUGGGAUGUUGUUUCUCUUUUGAGUUUCUCUUUUUUUUUUUUUUUUUAAUGGAAUUUGGAGAUAGUGUAAAUGUAUGAAGAUGAAAUUGUUGGGUUGGUUUUGUUAUGGAAUUUGGUUUACUUCACUAACCAUUAAUGAGCAAAACCUCCUAUUGACCCUCAAAAAUCCCGUACAUAAUUAAAGAAUUUCAAUUUUAUAUGUACAUAAAUAAAUAACUGUCAAAUAUAUUAUUUGAUAAUCCCAAAAACAACAAUUCACUCUAAUAAAUCUUGUAGUCAAUACAUGGUCUAUAUUGCAAGUGUUUUCGAGACUAAUUCAAAAAGAAAAUAUGAAAGACAUAUAAUUGACCUUUACCAGUUAUAAAGAACUCUAAAUAAAUUCAUAUACGCAUAGCAGCUAAUUACAGCCUUGAUACUUCAUUAGGUUUUUGUUAAUUUUCUAUACAGUUGUGUUGUGCAUUAAAGUUUUGUUGAUGAAAUCGGUAGGUGAGGAUUAAUUAAUCAAUUAAUUAAGAUCCAGUUAAUGUAAUUAAUUUUAUUUGAUUUUUUUAAUUCGAGUUCUAAAUUUAUCAAUUAAUUUAGAUUCAUGUGAAAUUGAAGUGAAUUAGUUUCGAUCUGUUUUUCGUCCUAUGUUUGUCUGUGUUUACUCUUACUUUUUUUUUUGUUUAAAUUUUUGUUUUCUUAUUGUUUACUGAAUAAAUUUCUGAGCUUUAUUUGAGUAUGAUGAUUGAUUUGUGAUUUUAAUCUAAAUAUGUUGGGCUGCGAUUUAAUUGAGUGAUGUGUGAGUGCCAAAUAUUCAAUAACUGAUAAAUUAUAUUUAUAAAUAUUAAUAGUGAUGGCACAUAAACAAUUAAUUCAAGAACUUGCCCAUAGUGAUUAAUUUAAAGAGUAUAAGUAACAUUGCAGUACAGUUAGCCCUUGCGUGUUUAAUUAGCAAUUGAAAACUACUGUUGCUGAUGAGGUAGAACAUUAUAACACUGUUGCUGAUGAGGCAGCUGGUAAUUCUUCUGGUGAAGAUAUUAAGACUAUUAAAGCUGAAAUGUAAUUAGAGAAAUAUAAUGCAUUCCCUUAGUUUGCUUUUUGUUUUUUAUAUUUGUUUGGCUAAUGCUUUGCUUAGAUUGCUUUUUGUUUUUGAGAUUUUAUUGUUAUGGGAUUUGAUUGUAGUGUACAUAUACGAAAAUUAUGUAAUCAAGUGCUUUCAAUAAAUCAUGAUCGAUUUACUAUUAAUUAAUUAAAUUAAAUUUACUCAAAUUACUCAUGUACACGAUCAAAAUAAAUUUAAUUACAUGAUAUAUAUACACGCGCGCACACAUAAACAAAAUGUAAUUAACUUUGAAAUAUAAAAUAUUUAAAAUAAUCACCUUACUAACAAUUCACAAGUUAGAUUUUAUAUAAAUAGACGAAAUAAUGUUAAUCUAGCGAAUCCAGUCAUAAUAAAUUGAUUUUCAUUUAUAUUAAUUAUGUCGAACCAUGUUAUUUUAAUAAAGAGCACUUGAGAAUAUAUAUAUCCAAUAGGUAAAAUUUCAAAACAAUAUUUGCAAAAGUCUGACUAAGAGAAUAUACACGCACGCACGUAUAUAACUGUACAACAGAAGGAUAAAUAAAAGAAAAUGAAGUUUCAACAGCUAAAUAAUGCAAACUCAUUUUUUUAACAAGCAUUUUAUUGUUUAACUAAAAAAUUCGAAAACCCAUUAAAUACAUGUAAGGACUCACCGACGCCGAACCAUAUUAAUUUAAAUUAGUUUUCAACUGAGAUUUGAAUUUUGAAAUUACAUACACAAACAAGCCCAUUUUUUUAAAAUACUAAUAAUAAAAUAUUUCAUUUUUCAUCUAUUACAACAAGAGGCAUAAUCGCAAAAGUGAAAAAUAUUUCAUUUAACAAGUCCCAAUAUUGUCCUCCAUCCUUUCUGCACUUCUCUGCUAUCAACGGACAACUCCAGAUCCAUAAUCGCAAAAGUGAGGAAGGCAGUCAUCCUCUGUUCAAUUAUCAAAAACUCCUUUUACCAUCCAUUUGAACAUACACAAACACGCCCAAUUUGAAAAAAAAAUAGUAAUUUUAAAAUAUUUCAAUCGUCCACUGUUCCGUCACCAAAAACCAAUUUACCAUCCAUUUCAACGCCUAAUUUGAAAAAAGAAAAUACUACUAAUAAUAAAAUAUUCUAGUCGUCCAUCCUUUCACAAAUAGGGAUGGCAAUUGUACCCGCAAACCCGCAAACCCGCCCAAAUCCACCCGCCAAAACCCGCCCGUUGCGGGUAAUUUUAUCCGUUGCGGGCGGGUUUAGUAUUAUAAAUUAAAACCCGCAUAUGGAUGCGGGUGGGUUUGGUAUUAACCUUAUACCCGGUGGAUACCCGCAUGGAUAUCCACCAAACCCGCAAUAAUUUUUUUCAAAUAUUUUUAAUUUAAUUUAAAUAUAAAAAUAUAUAAAGAAAAUAAUGUAAUUAAUCAAAUUACCAAAUAGCAAAAGGCUCAAAGUUGUGUAUGUGUGUAUAUGGCUCAUCUCUUAUUCUAAAGUCAUAACCUAAAGAAAACUAAAGGCAUUUCCCUUCGAAUUAGUAUUUGAAAAUAUUAAUCUUAAUUAUUAUUUUAGGCAUUGUGUUAGAUGGGUGCUUAUGGUGGUGAAUAAAAUAAAUAUAUUCUCUUUGAUCUUGUUUUAAAUGAUAAUAUGAAAUGUAAUUAUUAUUUUUAGAUAUUAGUUUGUGUUUUUUAAAUAGAUUUGUAUAAUUUAUACUUAAAUUUGAGAAUUUGUGUUGAAUUGAUGUGGAAAUUUUAAUUUUUCAUUUACACUGUUUAAAUAUAAAAUUGAAUAUGUUAUAUGGAACUUGAGGUUAUUAUUAUAAAUUUAUAUAUUAAAUAUUUGUGAUUUUAAAUACGGAAACCCGCAAAAAAUCCGUCGGAUACCAUUGCGGGUUUGGUAAUUGUUAAAACCCACUGCGGGUGGGUUUUUUAAAAAAAAUUAAAACCCGCUGCGGGUUGCGGGUGGGUUUUGUAAUUUAAAUUUUGUGCGGGUUUGGGUUUGGUAAUGGCAAACCCGCUGCGGGCGGUGCCCAUUGCCAUCCCUAUUCACAAAUCAAAAACCCAUGUAAAAUCUAUUGCAACAUCGGGUAUAUGGGUUAACAAGUCCCAAUAUUGUCCUCCAUCCUUUCUGCACUUCUCUUCUGUCAACGGACAUCCCACGAUCUGUAAUUGCAAAAGUGAGGAAGGCAGGCCCUUCUCCGGAAAGUAUUUGAGCUUGGGACAAUUAUGGAGUUUCAAUUCAGUGAGGUUUUGAAGAUCAACAAUUGAGGAAGAUAGGCGUUCCAGAUUUGGAAAAUCUUCAAUCCACAGAGAUGUUAGAGAGGCAGGAAGAGGAAGCGCGGUCCCUAAUCUUUUGUCCUCUAGUGGAAAUGACACCAUGUCGUCAUCGCAUCCUCUGAUUCUAAGUUCUCGCAGAGAGGAGAAUCUGUGGAAUCCCCGACCCCACUCAAUCGUUGACUUCCAAAUCUCCAUAUUACCCAAAAUAUAAACUGACUGAAGAUUGGUGGGAAGGCCAUCUUCUUCAAGGCUUGGAAGCGCACCUCCUAUUGUUAAGUCUUGAAGAGAGGUCAGAUUGUGCAAUCCCUUGGGUAAGGCCUCUAGUCUCUUACAAUCAGAUAUCCCCAGCCACCUGAGUUUCGCACAAGGCAAUCCCCCUUCGGGAAAGGACACCAGAUUUCCACACCACUGUAUAGUAAUCCCUCGAAGCUGCCGGAGAUUAUGUAAACCACUCGGUAAAAUUUUCAGAUUUUCACAACUAUGAAUUUCCAGAUUUUCAAGAGAUGUGUUGUUGUCCAACCUUUCUGCUAUUGACUCCAGCUUUGAACAUCCACAAACAUAAAGGGACUUAAGAGACGGAGGUAGAUUGCCAACUUCAAGGGACUCAAGCGUGGCAGGUAACUCGUUUUUUGAAAAUAUACAUUUCAGUGAUCGACAACUGUAAAUUGUUAACUUCUCAAGAAGAGAUGAGGUGUACCUUCUGCUGCUGCUGCUACUCUGGAUGCCCUCUUCCACUGUCAAAGUCCUUAUAUUAUCACAAUCGCUGAUGCUCAGCUGCUUGAGGCUCGGUGGCAGCUGGACUUCAGCAAUAUAUCUCAACGAAUGGCAAUAAUCAAUAUACAAGAUCUCGAGAGACGAAUUGGUGUCGCACAUCCAUGCCUCUGGUAAAGAUUUCAGUGCGUCACAUUCUCUAAUCUGAACUUUCUUCAACUUGGAAGGCAGAGCAACCUCAGGAAAGGAAACAAGGGAACUGCAGCCGUGGAUUUCUAUCUCUCUCAAGGAACUGAGGUUGAGCGAUGAUUGUGGCAGCUUCACAAGGCCUUCGCAAUUACUCAAUCCUAGAUAUUCAAGUCUGCAUGACAACUCGCAGAGCUGCUGUUGUUGGUCUUUCUCUUCCUCCGCGACCAAGGAUUGAAGUUUGGGACAGCUUGUAAUCGUCAGUCUUCUGAGAGAGCAAAUGUCUUGCAGUAAUUCGUUAUGACUCUUCCAUAUAUGUGUUUCAUUUUUCAUAUUAUUUAUCCCCAAUUCUCCCAGUUUUGGUAUUCGCGGCUUCAAUGGCCCUGCGAGAAACACUUGAUUUGAUGUAUCUCUACAAACCACUGAAUUCUGUGAGCCGAGAUGAUCAGUUGCACUUCUCCACACAGCCUUUUUACAUCCACCAAUUUCAAUUUUGCAAAGAGCUGGAAGACUUGCAACUGAAACUAACAAUUCUUCACAUCCUCCAAUUACAAGCAUCUCCAAUGCAGGAAGGUGUUCUGGAAAUGUUCCUUGCAGCUUAGAACAGCUUAUAAUAUGAAGCUCUCUCAAUUUAGGAAACCCUUCAACUCCCUGACCAGAUCUAAGAGGAAUCCAGUCUUCCCAUUCUUGCAUGUUUUCAAAACGAAGAGUCUCCAAGCAUGGAAAAGCAAUCGGGGAAUCAUUCCCAUAGAACUCUGAACCCAAACUCUUUACUCUACUCAUUCCACGCACUGCAAGAUGCUUUAGAGAGGAUAGUUGCCCGACUGACGGCAAGGUAGUACACACGCCGCAAUCUUCAAAUUUAAGUGUUACUAAAUUUGAGAAUGAGCAAUCUCCUAACCAUGUUGGAAAUUUUGUACCUCCAUAGCCACAGAUACCAAAUUGUUCCAGAUUUUUAUGGGGUUUGAGCAUGUCAAGCACACCCAUUUCAGUUUCUGCCUCCCUUGAAGAUGAACCGUCGGUGCUGCAAGUCCAAUUAAGCGAUAAUUCUCUAAGACUCUCCUUUACAUCCAACCGAGCCUCCUUUGCAUCACCAAUGUCUUUUACAUUCCCUAAAUUUGAAAUUUUAAGUGUCCCCUGAAGAUGUAUCAAUGACUUUAGCUCUCGUAACCCAGAACCAUUGUCUUUUCCCACAGCAAAAUUACUCAACGUCUGAAGACAAGUCAGCUUACCAAUUCCUACUGGCAUUUCCUCCAACGAAUCUGUAUUUGAAUUAUUGAGAUGAUGCAAUUUGAUGAGGUUUCCCGUGGCUGCACACAACUUCUUCAGUCGCCGACAGUCUUCCAACAGAAGGGUGUGCAAAUUGUAAAGCUUGCUGACUGAUUCAGGCAGAGUUUUAAUCUCAGUUCCAGACAGGUUAAGGUGCCUUAAAUACCUCAAAUCACCAACUGAAUCCGGCAGCUCGGAGAUGUGAUAUCCACGCAAAGAGAAGACCCUCAACCGUUGGAGUUUGAACAACUUAGGAAGAAUGCUAUGAGCCAAGUAUCCACGCGAACUAUUUGUCAACAUUACUGGUAAAAAAGUUCGCAAAUGUUGGAUAUCAUACAAGCCCUCAAACCUUUUAACGCCAUCACAUGCUCCACCAAUGUACGAUAGAUGACGAAGAUUUUUGGAAAAACUUUGUUGCUUGUUAACCUCUGAGGUAUACUCCAUUGUGAAGUACAUCUCCCCUGCAGCCCAAUGGGCAAGGUCGUUGACAAGGUCGUGCAUCACAAAUCGUGAUUUAUUGUUGCUUGAUUGCUGAAAAAAAGAUCUUGAACGUAGCUCUUGAAAGAACUUUCGACCUAGAUCUUCAUUAGGAUUCCCGCUCUCUUUGUGAUCCAAGAAACCCGAAGCACACCAUAAUAAAAUUAUCUCCUCCUCUUCAAAUUCAUAAUCCUUUGGAAACAAUGAGCAGUAUGCAAAGCAUUGUUUCAAAGGUGCCGAAAGAUAAUAGUAGCUCACUCUAAGCGCCGGUAUAAUGUCACAUCUCUCUUCUGGUAAAUCCCAUAUCUUGCAACUGAGCACACCUUCCCAAUCACUCCGGUCAAGUUUACCACGCAAGAGACCACCAAGAGUUUUCGCAGCUAAGGGCAAGCCGUUGCAUUUGAUCACUAUCUUCUUGCCAAUUUCCUCCAAUGACUUGUUUGAACUGAAAUCUCUUGUCCCCAAAGAGUGUUGAGCGAACACAGACAAACAAUUAUCAUCUGACAACUUCUCUAAUUGAUAAGCCGGAGCAGUCCCCAUGAUUUCUGCAACCCCUUGAUUACGAGCUGUGACAAUAAUCUUACUUCCCGGUGCGCCAGCUUCAAAUGGAGGUCUGAGUCGAUCCCAACCAUUGUAAUUCUCAUUCCAAACGUCAUCUAAAACAAGCAAAAAUUUCUUUUGAGAUAACUUCUUCUUCAGCUCCUCUUGAAGCAAAUUUAAAUCACUGUCAUCAGUAGUCUGCUUAGUAAUGGAUCUUAGAAUUGUUUUUGUUAGCCUGAUAACAUCAAAAUCAUCAGAGACACAAGUCCAUGCCUUGAGAUCAAAAUGACCCUGCACUCGAGCAUCAUUAUAGACAAGCUGAGCGAGAGUGGUUUUACCCAGCCCGCCCAUGCCUAUGAUAGGAAUAACAGAGAAUUCACCAUCAUUUCUCAAAUCAUCCCUCAACAACAAUUCAACAAUUUCCUUCUUUUAUGCUUCCCUGCCAAAUACCUUGGCUUCAUUCACCAAAGAGGUUGUGGGUAGUCUUUGCCUGUCUUUUUUGGACCCCCCAGUUGAACUUUCUUUCAAAUCCAGCAAGUCUUUCUGUGUCACAAUUUCUUGAAAUCUGCCGUUGAUCUCUUUGAUUUUGGACAUCAAGGCAUAAUCGAACUGAAUCUAUUGUGGAGUAAAAGUGGUGCAGCAAGUAGGAAUGAGCUUCCGAAACUUACUUGUUCUUGUACGACUGCUACUGGGUUGAUCCUGAGCCGCAGCUGGAUCUCCAUUUCCAAGCAGCAACCUCCUCCGGAAAGCCUCAGUUUGAAACUCAUCCAACAAGUCUUCAACAUCAUAAGCGAAGUUCUGAAGCUUGCCAAGCCACUUCUUCACAAACUGAUUAGUCGUCUUCUUCUCCUCAGCAUCAUCAAGCACCGCCUUGAUCAUCUCCAACAUAUUCGCCCACUUCAUCAGAUCGGCCUGGAUUUGCUCUUGGCGUGCAAAAAACAGAAUCCCCUCUGAAGCUAACUUAUUGACCAGCAAAUCAACGGACGCCGUAAGGAUUGCCUCUCCGAUGAUUGACAUUUUUUUCUUUUUUUUUUUUUGUUUUGCAAAGAAAGAAACAGAAUUUUGAGUUUUGAAAAGCAAAAUGAGAAAAUUGAACAAUAAAUGUGGAGGGUCAAGCAAAAUGCGCGUAACAAGUCUUCCGCUUGUUGUUUAUUCCAGGAAAGUGCAAAUAAAAACAGAGCCCACCACCCAUUAAUAAUUGAGCAAUUCACCAAUCACGAGUCACCACCACUCGUUACCAUGAAUAUAAUAAAUUGCACCUUGAUAUUUGCAGGGUCCAGCAACAUUGACCCAGUGUCCGGGUAAAUGCUGAAUAACGAGGAAAAUGGAAUGUAUCCCCUACGAACCUUCGCUUUACUAGUCUUCAAACUCAUAAACCAAGUUAAAUCAAAAUGUUUAUCUCUCUCACCCUUUUUGCCAUAUAAUUACUUUAUUUAUUGAAUUAAUUUCCAUGCUAAAACGAACACUUAAAAGUGCACUACAAUUUUUUAUAAUCACUACUAUCAUGUUAUCUUAAUGUCGUGUCAAAAUAAAUUAUAAUAAUUUUUUUUUUACAUAAACACUCUUUUUAUUUAUGAAUUUCUCAAUUUUUAAUAUUUUUUUCACUCUUUUAGUCUUAAUAUUUGUAUUUCUCUCUUUAAUCUUUCUUUAUUACUUAAUUUUUAAAGAAAAAUAUAAAAAAAAAGAAAAAUAUUAUACUUAAAAAAUAGUGUAUAUUUUAUGGAUCUAAUACAAACUGUAUUGUUUUUGACAAUGAAAGUCAAGCGAAAAAUCUCGCUCAUAGAAAACUUUGUGAAAGGCAUUUGAAUGUGUGGCCACAUUUUCCGAACGAAACGAUGAGGCUUUAGCCUUAUAAUUGCAAUUAGUUUGUCUUGUAACUAAAUUAUUGCCGACAAACACCAUCAUGCUGACAAACCGUGCAUGCACGUCCUCAAUCACCCACGUCCUCUACUUGUGUGAACCGUGAUUCUCAAAGACUUCGACAUCGUAUUUCCCAUUAUUUCCCGUACUUUAUGCGUUAUUGUUUUGUGGACUUGACUAGCUUACAGAAUCUGUAAGCUACAGACUGCAGCAUCAGCCGUUGGAUGUGGUUGGAUGUGGAGUGAGAAACUAAACAAUAGAAAAUCGGAUGGUGGGAUGACGGGAGAUGUUUGUUACAGAAUCUGCAGCAUAGACAGGUCCUUGUUUUGUAUGUCUUUUGGUGUUUGCGGUGUAGUUAGGGAUGGUAGCGGGUAGGGUCUGGUACGGGUUUGACAUCACCAAACCCACAUCUACAAAAAAUUUUAAUUACUAAAUUCGCUGUGGGUUAUAUUUAAUUUUAUUUUUUUUUAACGAAGCCCAUUCACUGUCGGUUUGAUUGGUGCCUAGUGGAUAUUUUGCGAGUUCCCACGUAUAAAAUCACACUUGCAACAAAAUCUAAAAAUUUAAAUUACGUAAUUCAAAUCAUAAAUUUAUAAUUGUUGCCUAAAAAACCACAUAAAAUAUUUAGUUCUACAUUUUAUUAAUGUAAAUGAGAAAUGAAAAUAUCAACAUUAAAACAAAUAUACAAAAUAUAUCCAUUUAACACGAAUUCUUAAAUUUAAUUACCAAAUAAAUAAGCCUAUCACAACUCGAAGUGUUUUCAAUUGAAAAGAAAAAAGAGAAAGAGAAAAAAACAAAGAACUACAAAUCAAAGUAGCACCCAUAACCUAUUUCAUAGGCUCAUUUGACACCAAGAUCUUAGAAUUAAGAUCUUCAAUUCACUCAUUACCACUAGCACCCAUUCAAUGUAGUUUGUCUAAACAAAAUAUAAAGUACAAAAUUACAAUAAGCAUAUGAUACUCCAUACUUUAUGUUAAAGAUCCUUAUAUAAUUUUAUGACUAUUUUUAGUGAAAUUUUAUGAUUAAAGUUAAAAAUAAAAAUAUUAAAAUAAGAACGUUGGACACCUGCGCAACUAUUUGCCAAAUUUUUUCUCUAUAAAAAUUCACUUGCAACUUGCAGCAGGUUUAAAUUUAUAAUAUCAAACUUGAUUGUAGCUCGCAAAAUUUUUAGAUUUGCGAUAAUUUUGCCACCCUAAGUGCAGUUAGUAUUGUAUAUCAUGUGUUUCCAAUUGGCUCUUAUAAAAAGCCUAGAAGUUGUUUGAAUAAUGAGGGAGACAAAUAUUUCCCAAAGAUAUUCUCUUUUUCAAUUUUUUUUCUUUUCUCUAUUAUUGUAACUUCAAAUCCUUAAAAAUUACAUAUUAUAGACAUGAACACAAUGUUUUGACAUAGUGGCUUUUGGCUUGUCCAGAGAAAUUUAGGAUAGAUUUUGAUGUACUAAGGCUCUGUUUACUAUUGAGAUUUUGGAACUUUUGAGCCACACUUGAAAUUUGUUUAAUUCUAAUAGAGUUGUAGCUUUCGAUAUGUGAUUGGUAUUAAUCAAGUGUUAUGUUUACAGCAGUUAAAGGCAUAUUGAAUCAAAGUCCACUUUUGAUUGAGAUUUUAAAGUAGGUUUUUAAUUUGAUAGCCACUCAAGUUCAAAUAUUGGAACCACAGUGCACCUUUCACUUGCUAGGCUUUAACCAAACAGACGACGUUAUACAAACUUCUAUCCAAUAAGGCAAUGCAAACAAAAGCAAGUGAAUUAAAAAUAAAUAAUUUCUCAUUAAUUUGCAACAAGUAUUAAUAAAGUGCAUGAGAAAAUAUGUCUUUUUUUAAAUGAAAAUAAAUGUGUUAAUUAGUCAAUUUAAAUGGUACGAUGUUUUGAAAUGAUAGAAGCGAUCUGGAGUUUAAAUCUUACUCUUGACGUAAUAUUUAAUAACGAAUUUGAAGAACAAUUAAAAAUUAAAAAAAAAAUGCUUUCUUUUUUAACGAUGGUAAUUUGUUGAGAUGAUGAAAAUUCUUAGAGUGGUAUAAUAAGUAUUUUUGAGUGUUGCCAUCGCGAAUAAUAUUUAAUUUCCUUUAUAUAGUUAUAUCUCAAGUAACAUUUAAACAAAAGCAAGUUGGAAAUUAAAAAAAAAAUGAACCAUUGAGAGAAUGAAAAACAAACAAAAAAAAAGUUAAAAAAUUGUAUCUCAAUAAAUUUACUUGAGAGCUACUCUACUGAUCUGUGAAGAAAAAACACAAAGAAUGAUGAUGUAUCUCAAUUAAUAGGACAGUUUUUGUAUUCUUCGUUUACUCAAUAAUCACGAAACUUCAUUUAAACUUGUUACUUCAUUGAUAAUAUAUUAACAUUGAACAAUGUAGGGAACAUUCCUUUCCAAUUAUGCCCAUAUAUUAACCAAAGGCCACCAAAAAGUUCAGGAAUACUAUAGUAAUUUAAGUCAACAAUCUCUGUGCUUGAAAUCAGCCGAUCAAACUCACUUUAGAAUAAACUGAGAAAUCAAAAUCACAUUCUCCAAUUCUACGAUUUCAAUUUAUCUUCUUUCUUCAACUGAAGAAUUGGUUGUAUCUCGUUUAGAUAAAUAUAAAAUAUAAAUGACGAGGAGACUGGAAAAGUAAAAUCAAAAGCAGAGCACGAGUUUUGUUGAAAAUGACUCUUUUUCAUCAUUUUGCCAGAGUGAAUGUAUCUACAUAUAAACUAAAGAAGCACGUUUGUUUGUAUUAGCUUUUUUAUUAUAUUUUUAAUAAUAAGUCAUUUUUCAAUGAACUUAUAUCAAUUUUUACGAAAAUAAUAGGUGUUAGUUAGUUGAUUCAAAUGGCAAAACCUCUUGGGAUAGAGCUUGUAAUUUAUUGGCUCAUGAAUUGUCUAAAUUGACACUACCGAAGCCAAAUUAUUGUAUUUGGUUAAAAAAGCUCCUGCUCAGCUUCAACUUUAUUAUUCUAUGAUGUUUGUUAAUAAAUAACAAUUUUAUUGAAAAAAAAAAAAGACCCCUUGUCCUUAUACAAAAGAUUUGGGAUCUGAAUCUGACUCGAAUUUAGCUUGAGGUUGACAUUGUUAGCAUAAUAAUUGAAGAUAGAUUUUUUUAAAUUAAAAAUCAAAAGAUAUAUAUAUUUUUUUGGUUCACACUAGUUAGUUUUAACUAUAGUGAGAUUUAAACAAAAGCGGAAUAAUAAAUCUUAACAUCCUGACUCAUGGAUAACAUCUACAUAAGAUAGUAAAAUCUAUUAUGUCUAAAAUAAGAGGUUUGAAGUUUGAAUUUCGCUUACAUAGGUAGUAAGAGAAUCAAAUUAUUGUUAGAUUAAAGUAAUUAAAACAAUUAUCUGAUGUCCAAAACAACGUAUCAACAAAAUUGAAAUAAAAGAAAAUUGAAGAGAAAAACCAUUGAGAGAACGAAAAAUUAACACAAGAUAAAUUCGAUAACUAAUUGUAUCAGUGUGCGCCAACUCCACUUAUUAAAACUUGGUUAUUUCAUUUUCAUCGAUAAUCAUUUUGACAACGAUUUUUCUUUCUAGCUAUGCCCAUGAACUAAUAAGAGAACUGCCGAAAGGGUUCGGGGAUAAUAUAGUAAUUUAAAUUAACAUUUUCUGUGCUUCAAAUCAUCAAAUCAAACUCACACUUCACAACAACAGAGAAAUCAAACUCACGGUUUCUCUCAUUUUUAAUUUGUUAUAUAAAGAUAAAUAUAUAAAUUUAAACGGCGAGAAGACCGGACGAGGAAUACGAUUACUUGUUCAAAUUGGUAUUAAUCUAAAAAUAAUAAUAUUAAAUAAAACACCUGUAACUUUAAGACAUGCAUAUUCUCAAAGCACAAGUGGAGCCGAGAGGCUGGGAGUCGUAAUGGAAAAAAAAUUAAAACACCAUUUACUAAAUGUUAAAUGUUACUUUUUGAUUAAUCUCAUAAGCAACAACAGUUUGACAUAAAUAUCUUAAAUAAAUAUUUUAAUAAACUUUUUAGACAAUGGUAUUGGAGAUUAUUAUUUUUUAAAAUCUGAGAAUCAACUACGAAUCGAUGGGUAAACUCUAAAAAGACUAAUGGUAAAAUUACCCGCCACCAAAAAUUCGUAACAAAUCCCAAGUACUUAUCAAUAAAAGCAAGCGGAAAGAAGAAGAGGCCUGGCUGGCCAUCCUAAGUACUUAUCCGGGUCAUGGGUCAUGAGUCAUUGCCGUAUAAAAAAUUUUGAAAAUUCCAAAUGAAAAGAUAUUUUGAAAUUGGGCAGCUGGCCUUUUUUCCUUGCUAUUAUCUACAAUAUUUAUUUUUGCAAUCCGCAUGCAUGCUCGGUUAUGAUCACCCACGUGAUCGGUAUUACGUUUUUUUUAUCUUCUUAUUGACAAAUUAUUUAGUGUGCGGACUCCAUUCAUGCUCCCACGUUAAUCUUUCCAAAUUUUGUGCAAUAAAAGUUCGGCCGAUCCGCUAUUCACUUUGCCACAGAAGCGAGACCUCGCAAAAGCAACUUAAUUACUUCUUGAGUUUUAAUUUGGAAAGUGGAGGUUUCUUCUGAUUUGAACAAUAUGGAAACUACCGCUGCAAGUUUUUUUUUUUUUGGGCGAAUUUCAGUUGAAUAUCAUUUAUAAUUCUUAUUUCAAUAUAUUUAUAAAUAAGUUUAAUAAUAUUAAAUUUUCACUUAAGAAUGACCGGUGGGAGGGUCAUGCAGAUGUGCCUGAUUUGGGUGUUGGAAUAUUUAUAGUGGCCCAUGUGCCACAUUAUUGAAUUAGCAAUAAUUUAAAAUUUAAAUGAUAAAAUAAAUAAUGGGCCAAAAUGGUCAAUUGGGAAAAUCUAAUUGCCCACUUUAAUGGAAAGUGGAAAUAAGAGUUUUAUUGAAAUUGAUUUUCUCUCUAUAUAUAUAUAUAUAUCGCGUUAAUUUUCGUUCCAUCAAAAAAGCAAAUCACUCUAAAGGGGUCAAGAGAUAAAAAUUAAUUUUACUAAUCUUUAAUUAUUUACCGUGAGAUUUGAUCAAGAAGAUUGUUAUGGAUCAAGAUAUGUUUUCUCUCAAUUAUGAUGAUGUGAAAAUCAUGAUAUUCUAUGAUCUUAGGGAUUGAAGUUUAUGUAAAUUAAGGUUUAUUUGCUUUAUAAGAGGUGUAAAAAUUCUCAACAACCGGUAGCAGAGCAUGGUUUAAGAAUUUAUGAUUUUCUAUUAAGAUAUGUAAUAACCCUUUCUUAAUUUUCAAUUGUCCUUACGAGUAUAUGUCAAUUUGGAUUUUUAUUCCACAUAUACAUAAUGUAUAAAGAAAGUUACUGGCAUAGAAAUUUUUUGCAAAAAAAAAAAAAAGAAUUCAAAGAUGUUUUUGACUGCUGGCGGCACAUUACAUAAAGAUGAAAUUAGGUUAUCUUUUCUAGUUUUUCAUGAGACACCCUAAGGUUUAUUUAGUUUAUGUUUUUCGCCAAAGUUUAGAAUGUUGUUUCAUUUAAGUCCAAUUGAAUUUGCAACGGCCAUCACAUGCUGUCUUCAAGCCGAAAUUUAGGAGCAAUUGCAUGUGACAUUUCAGUGUAGUCCCUGAUAUUCUAUUUUAUUAAAUUAAAGAUAUGAUUAAUUGGAUUUAGUAUGAUAAAGGCGCCGACUUUAUGUGCAUCAAGCCUUAUAAGUUUUGUUCUCAUAAUUUUGAAUGCUUCCGCUCAUUAAUUAAUGAUCUCCGAAAUUUCUUAAUGUUCCAAUUUUAAUGUUUGAAAUUUGAAUUGAUGGUUGUGGUUUUAUUUACUUUAUUAAAGAAAUUACUUUGUUAUAAAUGUUCAAUUUGACAUUCAUAUUAUGAUAAUUUGUUAGUUACUAAAGUAGCCAAAUUAAAAAGUUUUCAUAGAUGUCAAAUUAAAUUCAAUUUCAAGUUCUCAUAAUUAUUGUGAUGCGUAUCAUUUAAUGACAUGAUGAUCUUGUUGUAUGAGUAUAUUGAAAUUCAUAGAUUAUAAAAUAUUUAGGAAUUGCUCAAAGGUUGAUUAAUUAAUUUUAUAGUAUAUGAUCAUGAUUGUGGGUAAUUAGUAUGCUUGUUUAGAUAUGUUUAGUAUAUCCAAAGAUAGCAAGCAUGUCUAGUUUAUGUAUAGUUGAUUACUGAUUAUGUGAAAUUAAAGUUAAGCAUCAAUUAUGUUUAUUGCAGUGUAUUGUUGUAUCACCAAAUAAAUUAAGCUUCAUAAUUUUAUGUUAGUAAGUAUUAAUAAAUUAAUAUAGGUAACAUUAAAUAAUUUAAAUUAGCUGUAGAAAAUUUUAAAAUAUUUUAUUGAUGAUAAAAAAAUUAGCGAUUAUUAUAUCAUGAAUUAAUUGAUAUGUAAAUUAUUUAUUUAUCAAAAUUAUUUUUCAUUUAAUUAAAUAUUAAUUGAGGUUUAAAAAUUAACAUGGUAUUGUAUUUUAUGGUCCUGACCCCCAUCUCUAAAUUAGAAGCAAUUCUCAAACCCGUCCCAUCUCUAAGGAAAGUUUCGUCUUCAGCAUAAUAACUAUAUAAUAUCAUAAUUCACCCCAAUUCUGUUUUUGAGGUUUUUUGGGGCCCAUACCCGAUCCCAAUUCAUCGCGAGCCAGCACAUGAGUCCUGCUCGCGGAUUACAAAAGCAAAUAUUGUGGAUAAUAGCAAGAUAAAAAUUGUGGCGGGUACAUAACGCGAAACAAAUAAGAUUACAAUUAAAUUAAACGCGAGAAAUUACUUUUCUAGCAAAAGCUUAAUCCAACCCCUCCAUUACUUCUUUUUUUUUUUUUUGGUAAAAAGGGGCUCUAGGCAGAGCUAAAGAACAAUCGAGCGAGAAUGGGCAACCCCAUAAGCAUCCUUAAACAAAAAGGGUCUAGCACCCAACGGGGGAGUAUGGUAGAUAGUAAGACCAAGAGGAAUAGAGAAGGCUAGGCUCGCCAUAUAAUCCGCUGCGAAGUUAGCUUCUCUGUAAAUAUGGGAAACAGAAACUUGCCAAUCCAUCUUUAGAUAAUCCUUGAUAGCUCGAAUCAGAGGAGUAUAGUGAUUGAUUUCCAAUGUUGGCUUGGUCACCAACUGCAGCACACAACAACUAUCUAUUUCCACUUUAAGCUUUCUUAUACCAGAAUUCCAGGCUAGCUGCAACCCUUGAUACAAACCCCAAAGCUCCGCUACUGUAACAGAGCAGGAACCUAUCAUCAUCCCAAAACCACUUAUCCAGCGACCCAUGUGAUCGCGAAUCAAUCCCCCAGCAGAAGAAAUUCCCUCCCUGUUAUGGGCACCAUCCGUGUUCAGAGAGCACCAAGGCCAAUCUGGAGGUUUCCAAGAAAUCCAUCUCAUCACUCUUGUAUGUCCUGAGGUAAGCGGAUGAGAAUGAAUCUUAUGCAUUUCCGCAGUGCGCAUAAAAACAUCCAUUAAAACAGUAUUCGGAUCCAUAGAAACUUGAUUAAAGAUGAAUUGGUUCCUCCAAAACCAAAGUCUCCAGAGAGCAAUACCAAAGAAGAUGGCCCAAUUAGAAACACUCCCUAGCCCUCCGACCAUUCCCAGGUUCGUACGAAGCCAAUCAUGGAGCCGCCAAUUGAAGAAUUGUUGUCGUUUAUUUUCUGGGAGAAUCAGGAGCCAGAAACGCUUAACCAAAGCACAGUCCCGCAAGACAUGCAUAGCAUCCUCAGUCGCAGCCCCACACCGGUCGCAGGAGGUUGAUACCGGGAUGUGACGACGAACUAAUUCGGCCUUAGUUUUCAGACGAUCGUGAAAUGCUUGCCAUAAGAAGAUCCUCACACUUUGGGGACCCUUCCAACUCCAAACCGUACGCCAGAGCCUGUCAUCAUGCAUGGGAGUAUCAUUCGAAAAGGCCAAGUAGGCCGAGUGAGUAGUGAAACGCCCAGAUUUGGAGUGAGUCCAAAACAAAGAAUCCGUACCCUUAUCAGGGGAUGGGGGAUGAAAAGCCGCAAUCUGAAUAAUGAUAUUAGCAGGAAGAAAUUGUUCAAAACGCUCCCAGAGCCAGGAACCAUCUUCUUUAACAAAAUCAGCCACUUUACCGUUUAAGAUAUUGCUAGGAAGAUUAUUGGUUGUAUAAGCCGCAAGAGGGACAUCCUUAGUCACCCAAAGAUCCCACCAAAACCAAACGGAUUUACCAUCUCCCAAGCACCAGCGUCGGCUUGCCAAAACAUCACUCCACACAUUUCCGAUAGACUUCCACAAGUGAGAACCAUAGCGCGUUGGAAUGAUGUAUUCUUUAAUUAUUUUUCGUUAUUUUACUUCCUGUUCAUCAAGUUUGUGAUGUUUACAACAAUUAUUCAUUUGAAAAGUUAUCCAAUGAUGUCAAUACGUGAAAAUUGAGAAUAUGUAUAGCGAAAAAAGUUUUCUUCCUCCUCCCUUAUUGAUUCAAAUUAAAAAAAUUUUAUAACGGAUUUAAUGUGGUUUAAAAGUUCAAUUUUAUAUAACAUUUUAACGACAUAAACGGAACAGAUCAAUCACAUAAUCGAGCAUAAUGAUAAGAAUCUUCUUGCUAUAUGUGCAAGAUGAAUUAUAUAAUCUUGAUUUUGGAAAAUGUGAUCAGAGCUGCAAAAAUGAAGAUUAUUUAACCUUGGAUGACAAUGAUUAAUACCCGUCCAUUUCUCCUAAGCUCUGUUUCUUACUUUGAUGCGCACGUGACUUGAGAGCUUCAUCUUCCUCUAGCUUCCUUUCGUGAAACGUACUACCAAAUAACAGUAGCCUACUAACAAAUUAAGAAAUAAUCCAAUAUCUUUAGUACAAAUCCAAGUAGUCUCAUUUUGACUUUGAGCAAGCUUUUUAAUUCCACACUCAGAGACAAAAUUUUGUGAAUUCACAUUAUUUAACAAAAUAAUUAACAAAUUAAUUGUGAUUAUGGUUGACGAUCAUUUUGAUAAGCAUCAUAAACAAAAUGACUGUUGUAGAGGCCGAAAUUCCAAAAGUUUCGUUGCAUAUUUAGUGAAAUAAUGCAAGGACGAAGUAUCACUUAGCUGUAAGAAUUAGCCACCCAACAAUUUGUGGAGUUUGUUUUAGGUAAAAUAAAUAAAUAAAUAAAUAAUAGAGAGCAUAAUUAAGCCAACAUGGAUAGACUAACUUAAACAAUAUAUUGCACACAAUGAUUAUUUUUAUUAACUUUCUUUUUCAAGAAGACAUGGUACACAAAAGUAAAAAAAAAAAAUCUCUUGUAUAGCUCAAGAGAUUUUAUAAGUUGAAUUAAGCCAACAGAGACACUCACACAAUUGAUAGAUAAUGAUAACCCAUUAUUUUAUUUAACUAAUAUAAUACGGAAAGAGUAACUUGUACUUAACCAGUGUAGUCGGGAUUUCUUCCAUGUUGAGGGACAAUAAGGAGAUCCAGAUUGUCGUUCAUGCUCUCAUCAUUAAAAAUACUGAUCAGAGAUAUUAGAUCACCCUCAGACCACUCGACCUUCCCUAAAAACUCACAACAACAAUUAUAUUCAUUAAUACAUAUAUUAAAAUAAAAAUUAUAAAUGACAUUCAACUGAACAUGGCCUGAGAACCUGGAUAAGGAACUUCUAUGUUCUUCAAAUUAGAAAAGAUAUCUUCUAACUUCUGGUGAACCGUAAUCGAAAUUGAAGUUGCUUUUGUUUCUGGUUUGAUAAUAUGUUGUUGAUGUAUUUAUUUACGAGUCUUCAUAUAGUAUAGUGCUGUAUGCAAUACAGCCCCUUCAACAGUAAAAAGGAAACUUGAACAACCGAUAUUUUACCGGUUGUACAUUUAAUAAAUUUUUAAAAAUUAUUUUUAAUGCAGAAAAAUAAAAUAAAACGGAAAAAAUUAAGGAAAAUUUGUAAAUAUUUAACACAAACAAUAUUUGAGAAAAAAAUAUUUUUUAAUUUCAACAAAAGUUAAAAAAAUAAAAAUAAGCAUGUCUCGACUCUUUUGUUUUAAUGUCAAUAUAUUAGGUGACAUUCCAAGUUAAUUUCACAUAUACCUAAUUUUGAUUAAACUUUCUCACUAGUUGGUUUGCUUAUCUCCACUUUCCGAUCCACUAGUUUUAUGUUUAAUAUUCCCACUAAACUCGUUAAAUACUAAUAUUUUAGGUCAAAAUCCAAUUAAAUUUAUUUCUCGUUAGACAAGUAUCAAUAUUCCGUUAAACUUUCUCCACAUUUGGUUCAUGUGUUUCAACGAUUAUUCUACUAGUUUUUCAUUUAAUAUUUCAACUAGUUUAUCAAGAUUCCAAUUAUAUGGGCUAGAUAUUGAUAUCACUUUUUUUUGUUUGAUUAGUUCUAAAUUUUGGUAAUAGUUUUCCAUCUAUAGGUUCACAUGUUUCAACUUAUUGGUCCACUAAUUUUACAUUUGAUAUUUCUACUAAAUUUGUCAAGUACCAAUAUUUAUUGUUAGCUUCCAAGUAAUUAACAUUAUUCGUUGGAUAAGUUUCAAGUUUUGGUUGUUCUUUCUCUCUUAAUGGUUCACGUGUUUCCUCUAAUUUUUUCCCUAAUUUUGCGUUGAAAAUUGCCAUUAAUUGGUUGAGAUUCCAAUUACUAAGGUUAUGUACUAGGUUUGUUUUCUAUAACUUUAUUUUUUGUUUUGUAGGUCUCUAAUUUUGGUUGUGCUUUCCCCAUUUUUGGUUGACGUAUUUCAAUUGUAAUUCCACAGGUUUUGUGUUCGUUAUUCCAACUAACUUGGUAAAAUUCUAAUUAUAUGGGUUAAAUAUCAAUAUUAAUUUUGCUUGGUUUGAUUAGUCUCAAGUUUUGGUUAUACUUUUUUAUCUUUUGGUUCACAUGUUUCAACUUAUUGGUCCACUGGUUUUGCAUUUCAUAUUUCUAUAAAGUUCGUUAGGUACUAGUAUCAUGGGUUAGAUUCCAAGUAAAUAUCAUUUUUUGUUAAAUGAGUUUCUAAUUUUCAUCAAACUUUCUCUUCUAAUGGUUCACGUGUUUCAUCUAAUUUUUCCCUAAUUUUGUGUUAAAUAUCCCCAUUAACUGGUUGAGAUUCCCAUUACUGAGGUUAGGUACCAAGUUUGUUUUCUAUAACUUUAUUUUUGGUUUUGUAGUUAUCUAAUUUUGGUUGUGCUUUUCUCUAUUUUUUGUUGACGUAUUUCAUUUGUAAUUCCACAAAUUUUGCGUUCGUUAUUUCAACUUAUUCCACAUGUUUUGCGUUCGUUAUUAGAAUAAAAGCAACAUGUUCCAUCAAAAUUUAAGAAUGAUUACUAGUGCUUUCAUGCUCGUGGAGGUGAGAAUGGGAGACGCUUGUUGUCUUAAGUGACUAUUCUUACCCCACUAAAUUUAAUUAAUUUAAUAAUUUAAUAAAUUUAAUCAUUCCUUCUCUAUAUGGUGUUUCCAGCCCUAACGAUUAUUUUCUUAAUAUUAAAAUUGUCAAUAAUAAUAAUUACAAUUAUUAUAACAAAUAGUAAUAAUGAUAAUAAUUGAUUGAGGAUAAAUUAAUAAUUUAUAAUAACUCAUUCUAAUUUAUGUUCACAAAGUAAACAUAUUAAUAGCGAUAUAGAAUAUUCCAAUUGUGUUUCAUUCAUCCAACAAAUAUCAUAUUUUGUUUGUUAUUCUUCAUUUUUAUUGUAGCCCAUUCUAAUUCUAUUUUUUUUUAAAUUUUUGUAAAUUUCAAUUAUUUAUUAGUGAACACAUCAAAAAUUUAAUAAAAAUCAAAUUUCACAUUAGAAAGAGCAUGCAAGGUAGACUUUUGUAGGGUUUGCAAAUCAUAUUGUAGGUAUUUGGAAAUUCACAAAAAGUAAAUAAUGUUAUGUACAUAAAUAAGUUCUUGUUUAUAACGUUUUGCUGUAUUUCACAAAAAGUAAAUAAUGUCGUGUUUGGAUGCUAGGAUUAAGUAUGGGAUUGGACUAAUUUUGGGAUUAAAUAUUUAUCCAAUGUUUGUCAAGCUUAGUUGGAUUGGAUUAAGGGGGUAGUAAUUUAAAUUUAAUCCUAAAAUCAUGGGAUUAAUAAUCCUAAUUUACGCAUGGAUUUAGUUGGGAUAAGAUUAAUGAAAAAAGUUGUCCAUUUAUGAGAUUUUUAUUUAUAUCAUUUUUUUAUUUGCACCUAAUAUUAAAUAAUUAAUUAAUUUUUAUUAUGAUUUACUUAAAACUUAUUUUUAUUUAUUAGCUAUGAUCUAAUUAAAUUAAUAUCUUUACUUGUAUUAACUCUAGAGAUUAAAUUUUCACCACUUAUAUAUUUAGUAAUUUACCGAUAAAAUUAAAUGUUUAAUUAUUUAUUUCGCAAACACACCAAUAUUACAUAAUUUCCCUAUUAUUGCCAUCGGUUCCCAAACAUCCAAGAGCCGGUCGGCAACAAGAGAAAAAAUAGGGGUGACAUAACGACGACUAUGUAAUCAUGGCCAAUAAAUUAUUUCACAGUACCUAAUUAUAGCAACGAUUAAAUGCAACCUGAAAUAUGUUGUUGAAGUCAUAGUUAUGGAAAAUUUUACAAACUUCAAAUAAGACCAAAAAAUUACAAAGAGUAAUGUUAAAUAUCCCAAUUAAAAUUGUGCCACUAUUCAAUCACAAAUGUAGGAUAGGUGACUAUAAUUUUUCUAUAAGUAAUGCUUUGGUACUUUUAACAGUGUGAUGAGUAAACGUUAAUUUUUAUAUUUUAACUCAUGAUCGUUAAGAGAAAUUAAAUUUGGGGUGUGUUUUUCAAAUAAACGUGACACUUCAAAAAUAUAUAUCUCAUCCUUCUCCCCGUUCCUCAUCAAAAACCACUUUUUCCAAUUUUCUCCCACAGGAUGCAGGAAUGAAGAAUGCAUGGAAGGAGAAAUUACCUAUCCAAACAUCCAUAUAUGGAAAUCAUCAACACAAACCACAAAAUUAAGCUAUCUUAUGAAAAAUGACCAUAAUGCAUAAUCAAAAUAUAACAAGUAUUGACAAAUUUGAAAACAAAAUACAUAAUAAUCAUAAUUUCUGGGCAUAAAACCAUGGGAUAAUCACUAAGGAGGUGGUGGAGAUGAAGAUGAGGAUGGCGGCGAAAUCCCAAGAGUGCGGUAGAUGAGCUGCUGGUCAUCUAGAAUCUGCUGUUGCUGUGCAAAAAUACUCUGCUGCUCAGAAUGGAAGUGAUAGUGGAACGCUGCAAACCGUGCCUGAAGUUCGUUUGGUUGUAUAGAUAUGGAACGGAUUAAAACCGUCCCUUUAUAUAGGUAAUGAGUAACUACCUUAUCUUUUUAAUAAUUAAAAGAAAAGUAUUCCUUUAAUUAUUGGUAGAAUAUAUUUUCCAAUUCACUAUAAAAAAUAAAUACUACUAGGGUGAAGAAUAUAAGUAUAAAUUGAAAUACAAAAUUUUUUCACUUUAAGCGUUUUCUCAAAUUUUUUCCCAUAAGAAACUCAAAAAUGUAUUAAUGAAUAAGUUGUAAAACAGAAAGUGGACAAGCCGUCCGCUUAAAAAACAAAGUCUAACACUAUUUGUGCCAUACGAAAGUGUACCCAAUCACCCCUAAAGUGUUUUUUCAACUUUUUCUCGUAUUUGUCUUUUAAGAAUACUUAAUAGAUUAGAUAUUGUAAUAUAAAAAUUGAAGACAAAAACAAACAUGAAUGAUGUAUCAAUAAAUUAAUGGAGAUCUAUUACUACAUUUGGAGUAAAAUUAUGAAUAAAUUAACAUAGAUAAUGAAUUUAUGCCUGUACUCUAUAAUGCAAAUAAUAUUAUGUUUUUAAUUCAAUUUAGCACCCUACAAGAAGAGAUUACCUUAUCGCUUCCAAUCCUUCCUCUAGAUCUAAGCCACUUCAUGAACUUCUUGAUCCUUGAUUCGUUCCAAAAUGUGAUAGGAAGUAUAUUCCUAUAAGGCUGAAUGUUGUCAUAUGCAACAUUAUGGAGAUAAAAGAUCUGCAUGAGCAACUUAUAAUUAAUAAGAAUAAUAUUAUUCAUGGUAAGCAUAUGCUCAGCUUUAGUUGCAGAAACUAUGUCACCUGUAGGAAGUGCAAACAAAUUCCAAUGUAUGCUGCUUGUUGUUUCCAUUAUUUCAUUGUCACCAGAAUGUGAGUUUGAAUUACCCAUCCUUUUAUCUCUCUUUUUGUACCUUGCCUUUUGUUCGGGAGGAAGUUCUUUGUUCCCAAUAUUUUUUCGUAACUGUCAAAAUGAUAAUGAAUAUGUCUUAAAACAUAAAAAACCCACAAAAUAAUAUCUGUACAUGCUACAUUUAAUGAAUAUACUAACCCCAAUCGUAAGGACAAAUCUAAAUUUUCACUUCUCAAACGCUUAACUUCUUCAUUGCUGCAAAAACAUAACAUCUAAUUACUGAUAUUUGGUAUGGGCGUGUUUCUUUCCCGAUAGGUAAAUCACAACGACUAUUUACAAGUAAGAGACAAAUCCAUAAGUUGAAGAAGUUGGAACUGCAUCCUGACCAUUUGCUUUUAGAAUAAGAGCACUUUUUUUUCUGUAAGCCCCCUGGUAGUUGUUUACGCUUUCGUCGGUGACUGUCCAAGAAAAAUUUUAAAUAAUUAAGUGAAGGAUAAUUAUUCCAUCAAUAUGUGUUAAUGUUUUUUAAAAAAAUGAGCUCCCCCACCUGCUAUUCAAAGUCACUGUGUAGUCCUUACUUUUUAAUCUAUUAAACAUUCCAUAUAUGGUGGAAUUCAAGCACAAAUUAUAAUUUUAUUUUCCUCAUUUAUACCAAAGAAAAAGAUGAUAAGAAUAACAAAGGAAAGAUCUUUAUUUUUGCCCAAGACUAAGACCUCUCACACACUCACAAUAAAUGAAUGACAGAGUGAAAAAAAUUGUAUAUAAUAAAGGGAUGGGAUCAAGAGCUCUCAUUUCUUACUACAAAAUUUACGAAAUCUAAAUAUUUCAACAACAUAAAAUUUAAUGGAUAAUGAUCUUUGCUGCAUACAUUAAAAUCAUGACUAUUACCGUGCCCUCAACUUUGCAUCAUACAAACAAAUUUCAUCAUAAAACAAAGUACAAUGCUUUUUUUUUUAAUAAAGAAAUACAUUAAAGGUGUUAUGGCAAAACGUGUUACUUCCCUUUCUUGAACAAGAAUUAAGCAACCCACAAAACCAGAGCUUACAGAAACAAGAUUAAGAAAGAAAAGAACAAAGAAGAAUCAAGCAUUCAAAGACUCACUACACACCAAGAACUAACGUGGUUCAGCUCCACAAAGGAACCUACAUCCACGGCUGUAAAAGCCAGCAAGGGCAGAAGCUUUAUUGAACUUGAAGAUGAUGGAUUACAAUUGAGUCACCACUACAGAUUAAACCUUUCUAAGCUUUAGCGUUUUUCUCUCUGUAAUACUUAAGUGUUUCUCUCUUGUGUGUACCCUCGUAGGCUAGCUUAGAGACAGCUUAUAUACAUGUAUGCUCCUCACGUGUGUAUCCACUUGCAACAAAUCAGUCUGUUAUUUAACUAACUAAUUCUCUCUGCUUUUGGAUCCCACUUACGCCAGCUCACCUGCCACAUCAUAAAGCCCAUAACAGAUUAUAACUAACUUCGGCUUCACAAAAGGCUGCUGUGAAUGAGUAGGGGAUGAUGGGUUGUAACCAAGAUCAAAAUCAAUGCAUUGAAACCAAUAUGACAAACUCCAUACUAUGAAUUAUUAUAAACACCUAAUAAAGGGUUAGUAUAUCAGAGGGAUUGGUACCUAGAAUGUACUUCAGCAAAACAGGACCCCUGAAAAUAAGAAAGAAAAGUUUUGCUCAACAUUCCAAAAAAAUAGAAGAAAGUAGAGCAUCUUGUCAGCUCUUUUUAAAAAAUUAUAUCGUUGUAACUUACACAAAAUUCCACUUAGCGCAAUCGUAAGAUUAAGAUAAAGGCCUGCUUGCUGCACCAGCUUGAUAAACUUCAGCAGAUCAGAAUUCCCCUCCAAGUAAUACUAAAACUAAUUAAAACAAAAACAAAAACAAAAAAACAAAAAUAGCAAAACAUUUACUAAAGAACUUAUUUAAAAUAUUACCCUAGAUUUGAGACUACAAGCAAACAGGGCCUUCUGAUAAAAACAAAUUACAUGCCAUAAAUAAAAUUAUUACAAGCCCACCAAAGAAAUUUUCAGGGUUAUAGUGAUUACAAACCUUCCCUAACUUUAUUUAUCUUCACCAAUGAAAAUAGGUCAACAUUUAACAUUCUUUUACAACCAAGUACACCAAGUCUUACAAUUAAAGGUUUAAGGUUACAAAGCAUAGUUACUUAAGACUCUUAGCUUUAUCGUAAGGCACCUUAGAAAAUUCUAUUACCACACAAAAACCUGGGCCUAUUUCUUAUAAACACGGCAAGAAUCACAUCCAAGGUCAAGCAAAUUCAACAACAAGCCCAUACGGCAUAUACCCAGCACAUACAUUGGCCGAUUUGAGGCACAAUACAAUAGAAUAUUAUCAUAAAACCACCACAAUAUCACUGGAUUCGAAUACAGGAACAAUAGAAAUUUAAUUGUUCAAUUAAAUCAUUACCCCAAAUCACGAAUACCAGCGAGACUACAUUAAUUCAUGCCACUGGCAGCAGCACAUUCUUUAAUAAAAUCCUUCAAACAUAAAAAAUCAGCUACAUGCGAAUCUAGAAUUUAAAAGGAAAUAUACAAUAAUUUUUUGAAGAGAAGAAAUGCCUUUCCACUUAUAUUCAAGAUAAUUCAAGAAAAUGACAGGCCCCAAUUCGCAGCUCAUCAAAACAAACCCCAUUACUUGCAGUUGCUUGAUGCUCGAUAAUGUUACCUCUCUCUUUUUUUUUUCAAUUUAUAAUUUUUUCUUUUUUGUGAAUAACGGAAUCUCAAGAUAAAAUAUUGCAGUAUGACUUAAUUGUAACUCUAUCGGUUCAAAAAUAAAAAUGAGAAGCCCUAGCAAUUAUCAUUCGAUUAUCAAUCCCUAGAAAUCAUCUCAAUAUUUCAAGUAAUAAUUUCUCAAUUGCAAAAUCAAAUUAUUGAAACUGAAAUUUCAAGUAAUAUUAAUAAACUAAACUGAAACUUCAAGCAUAUUUAAAUGACAUAAUAAGAUUCUUAAUCAUAUAUUAAAUUAGAGAGAGAGCUCACCGAAACUAUUGGAUGACAUAAGAGAGAGAUACAGCAAGAGAGAUGAUUUACGACAGUGAAAAUUUGAAGCUAUGACUGACGAAAUGAAGCUGAACGCGAGAAAUUGAGCGACGAAUUGAAGCGAGAGUGACAGAUCGAGUAAGCCUGAGUAAAUGGCACUCUUUCGACUACAUCUUUGCUCUUUGCUGUGAUGGGUGGUGAAUAUUCUUGAAUACCAAGUUCAUUGAUCCAAAAUUCUGGAUGUAGGAGAAAACAAUAGCAGAGAGAAUACGAAGGCUGUUAUUUUGAGGAGGAGAGAGAGGCAUCACAAUCCAACGGUUGUGAUUUUUUAGAUAAGUCAAGUGAUGACAUAAUAACUUAAAAGCUUCAUCUUCCUCUAGCUUCCUUUCGUGAAACCCGAAGCAAUUCCUUCCAUCUCUACGAUAUUAACAAAAGCCAAAAUUUUCAACCAUAAUUACAAUUAAUUUGCUACUUAAACAACGUGAAGUUACAAAAUUUUGGUUUCUGAAUGCGGAGUUAAAAACCUCUAACAUCAAUAUAUUGGGAAUUGUGCCCUCAUCGUCUUAAGAUUAUUUGUUAAUUAUUAUGUAGAAAGGAAAAAAGAUGGAUGAUUUCAAUUUCCACCAAUCGAUAUGCAUGCACGAGUCUGAACUGAGACUGAGAAGACUAUUAGUACAGAGACGGAGGAAAAUAAUCUGCUGAAGCACCGAGUGGCCUAUUUGGAUUUUUCGGAGAAGGUUGAUCUUUAAAGUUCAUUGUUUAUUCAACCAAUCAUAAACAAUCUUUUGUAUUAAAAAAAAAAAAUUAAAAGUUCCAGAUGAAAUGGUAUUUUGAAUAUUAUCUGCAAUAUUCACGUGAUUGGUACCACGUUUUUUAUUUUCUUAUUAACAAAAUUAUUUAUUUCGUAGGGACCGUAUUCUCGCUUCCAAGUUUCUCAUACAUAUGCAAUUUAACCAUUGCGGUUAAUUAGCAUUUGAGUUUUGACUUGGGAAGCGGUAGGGAUGGGAAUAAAAUUCGGAUCCGCAUGUUAAAAAAUGCAGAUUCACAUGUAAGAAAUUAAAUCUGCACGGAUCCGAAUCCGGAUUCAAAUACAAGUGCAUUCAGAAAAUCAGAUAUCCGGAUCCGGCUAAUUUUUUUAUUAAAUUAAAAAAUAUAUAUUAACUUUAACUUAAAAACAAAUUUAACCCAACUCUCACAUUCACACGCGCUUACAACACUUUACCAGCAGCCACAUCCCACAAACCCCUAACACCCAAAUACCCCCAAUUCCGUAGGAUGUCGCCGUCUGCCUCACGGCCUGGCCUAAGCCUCGUGUCCAAGCCUCGAUCUAAGUCGGUCUAUGUCGUUGCGCGCUGAACGCCUCGAUCUGAGUCGGUCGCUGCCGCUGCACGCUGCACGCCUCGAUCUGAGUAAGUUGCUGCCGCUACACGCUCGAUCUGAGUCAGUUGCUGUCGAAUCCUCGCCAUCGAAGAAGCCUCUUGCUGUCGAAUCCUCGCCAUCGGAGAAGCCUCGUCUAAGCACUUUAAUUAAAAUGGUAUUGGCAAGCCUUGUUGAAUCCUUUGGCCUUUGUUGAUUCAAUUUAGUUUAAUUUUGAAUAAAUUUCUUUGCUGAUUCGUUUCAUCACUUUAAUUAAAUGCAUUAAUUUUCAAUAUAAUGUAAAUGUUUAAUAGGUUUUGGGAUUAAGUUUUAAUUUGGAAAAUUGUUGAAUUUUUAAAUUAAAAAUUUAAAUCAAAUCUUGGUGAAACCUGUUGUCAUAUGCUGAUACGUCACUGUACAGUAAAAUUUGUUUAUUCAAAAUUUAAAUUAUGAGUUCGAAUUUGAUGCAGAAUGGGCAACCAGCCUACUGCAAACAAAUCUUCUGGAACAGUUCAGAUGAAGGGACAGCCAAUCCAGCAAAACAGCAACUGUUGUGGUUAGCAGAUCAUGUUAUUUUACUACUACAUGUUAACUAUGUUGACUGCAUUAUCUUAUGAAUCUUUUAAUCUGUCAAAUAUUUAUUUCCUGCUUUAAGUUUUUUCCCGUUUAUAACAAAUUUAAUUUCUUGCUCCAUUGCAUUCCAAAUUCCUGUCAAUUUACGAGGGAAAAAGAAAAGAGAGACGAAAUGGGAGAAAAUGGUCAAAUUUGUUAGGGGGGAGAGAGCUGUUCAAGUAGUUUUUGUUCUCGUUUAUUGUCGUGACCCUCUUGUCGCUUCUCUAUGACCUGGAAGUCCGGUCAUAUCGGAUGGGUAAAGUUACCAAAACGGCAUAAUUUUGGGUGAAAUAUCAUAUUUAUGUAACACUUUUGAUAAUAUUUUUAUGCAACAAAAAAAUGUUCGCUGUACCCUUUUCACAUUGUGAAGCGCAUGAUCGGAUGAGAGCAGUCUGGAUUCUGGCAUCACAAGCGAAUGCUUUGAUUUGCUUAGUUUGUUUUUUGUUUCUGAUAUUUUCUUGGCAUUGGGUGGGAUAUUGUUUCUCUUUUGAGUUUCCCUUUUUUUUUUAUUAUUAUGGAAUUUGGAGAUAGUGUACAUGUAUGAAGAAGACGUAAUCAAGUUGUUUUGAUAAAUUCCCCUGGUCGGUUUACUUCACUAACCAUUAAUGCGCAAAACCUCCUAAUGACCCUAAAAAAUCCCGUACAUAAUUAAAGAAUUUCAAUUUAAUAUGUACAAAAAUAAAUAACUCUCAAAUAUAUUAUUUGAUAAUUCUAAAAACAACAAUUCGCUCUAAUAAAUCUCGUAGGAAAUAUAUAGUCUAUAUUGUAAGUCUUUUCGAGACUAAUUCAAAGAGAAAAUACGAAGGACAUAUAAUUGACCUUCAUCUGUCAUUAAGAACUCUAAAUAAAUUCAUAUACGCAUCGCAACUAAUUACAGUCCUGAUACUUCAUUUGGUUUUUGUUAAUUUUCUAUACAGUUGUGCUGUGCAUAAAAGUUUUGUUAAAUGAAAUCGGCAGGUGAGGAUUAAUUAAUCAGUUAAUUAAGAUCCAGUUAAUGUAAUUAAUUUUAUUUGAUUUUUUUAAUUCGAGUUCUAAAUUAAUCAAUUAAUUUAGAUUCAUGUGAAAUUGAAGUGAAUUAGUUUUGAUCUGUUUUUCGUCCUAUGUUUGUCUGUGUUUACUCUUACUUUUUUUUUGUUUAAAUUUUCGUUUUCUUAUUGUUUACUGAAUAAAUUUAUGAGUUUUAUUUGAGUAUGAUGAUUGAUUUGUGAUUAUAAUUUGUGACUUUUUUUUUUGGAAUUUAAAUCUGAAUGCUUUUUAAGUUGAAUCUAAAUGUGUUGGGCUGCGAUUUAAUUGAGUGAUGUGUGAGCGCCAAAUAUUCAAUAACUGAUAAAUUAUAUUUAUAAAUAUUAAUAGCGAUGGCACAUAAACAAUUAAUUCAAGAACUUGCCCAUAGUGAUUAAUUUAAAGAGUAUAAGUAACAUCGCAAUACAGUCUAGCCCUUACAUGUUUAAUUAGCAAUUGAAAACUACUGUUGCUGAUGAGUUAGAACAUUAUAACACUGUUGCUGAUGAGGCAGCUGGUAAUUCUUCUGGUGAAGAUAUUAAGACUAUUAAAGCUUAAAUGUAAUUAGAGAAAUAUAAUGCAUUCCCUUAGUUUGCUUUUUGUUUUUUAUAUUUGUUUUGCUAAUGCGUUGCUUAGAUUGCUUUUUGUUUUUUGAGAUUUUAUUGGCUUAGUCAUGGGGUAUUGUUUUCUCUUCUAAUUUCUAUUUUUGUUGUUAUGGGAUUUGAUUGUAGUGUACAUAUACGAAAAUUAUGUAAUCAAGUGCUUUCAAUAAAUCAUGAUCGAUUUACUAUUAAUUAAUCAAAUUUAAUUUACUCAAAUUACUCAUGUACACGAUCAAAAUAAAUUUAAUUACAUGACAUAUAUACACGCGCGCACACAUAAACAAAAUGUAAUUAACUUUGAAAUAUAAAAUAUUUAAAAUAAUCACCGUACUAACAAUUCACAAGUUAGAUUUUAUAUAAAUAGACGAAAUAAUGUUAAUCUAGCGAAUCCAGUCAUAAUAAAUUGAUUUUCAUUUAUAUUAAUUAUGUCGAACCAUGUUAUUUUAAUAAAGAGCACUUGAGAAUAUAUAUAUCCAACAGGUAAAAUUUCAAAACAAUAUUUGCCAAAGUCUGACUAAGAGAAUAUACAUGCACGCACGUAUAUAACCGUACAACAGAAGGAUAAAUAAAAGAAAAUGAAGUUUCAACAGCUAAAUAAUGCAAACUCAUUUUUUUAACAAGCAUUUUAUUGUUUAAUUAAAAAAUUUGAAAACCCAUUAAAUACAUGUAAGGACUCACCGACGCCGAACCAUAUUAAUUUAAAUUAGUUUUCAACUGAGAUUUGAAUUUUGAAAUUACAUACACAAACAAGCCCUUUUUUUAAAAUACUAAUAAUAAAAUAUUUCAUUUUUCAUCUAUUACUACAAGAGGUAUAAUCGCAAAAGUGAGGAAGGCAGUCAUCCUCUGUUCAAUUAUCAAAAACUCCUUUUACCAUCCAUUUGAACAUACACAAUCACGCCCAAUUUGAAAAAAAAAAGUAGUAAUUUUAAAAUAUUUCAAUCGUCCACUGUUCAGUCACCAAAAACCAAUUUACCAUCCAUUUCAACACCUAAUUUCAAAAAAGAAAAUACUAAUAAUAAUAAAAUAUUCUAGUCGUCCAUCCUUUUACAAAUAAAAAAUAUCACCAAAAACCAAUUUCCAAUCUAUUUCAAAACAAAUUUUGCCAAAGUCCUCCUCGGCUAAUUAAUUCAUACAUUAAUACAGUCCUCCUCUGCUGAAUAAUGCAAACCCGUUACGUUAUUCUACCAUUUCUUUUUAAAGCAUUCCCCCCAUUUAAUAAAAAAAUUCGAAAACCCAUUAUAUGCAAUACAAAAUGCCCACCGACACCAAACCAUAUUAAUUUAAAAUAGUUUUCAAUUGAGUUUUGAAUUUUAAAAUUACAUACACAAACACACCCGAUUUAAAAAUAAUAAUAAUAAUGCUAACAAUAAAAUAUUUCAGCCGUCCUAUGUGUUAUCGCCAAAAACGGAUUUCCAAUCUAUUACAACAUAAGGUAUAUGGGUUAACAAGUCCCAAUAUUGUCCUCCAUCCUUUCUGCACUUCUCUGCUAUCAACGGACAUUCGUCGAUGUAUAAUCGCAAAAGUGAGGAAGGCAGGCCCUUCUCCGGAAAGUAUUUGAGCUUGGGACAAUCCCCGAGAUACAAUUCAGUGAGGUUUUGAAGAUCAACAAUUGAAGAAGAUAGGCGUUCCAGAUUUGGAAAAUUGAAAAUCUCCAGAGACGUUAGAGAGGCAGGAAGAGGAAGCGCGGUCCCUAAUCUUUUGUCCUCUAGUGGAAAUGACACCAUGUCCUCAUCGCAUCUGCUGAUUGUAAGACGUCGCAGAGAGGAGAAUCUGUGAAAUCCCCGUCCCCGCUCAAUCAUUGACUUCCAAAUCUCCAUAUUACCCCAAAUAUCAAGUGACUGAAGGUUGGUGGGAAGGCCAUCUUCUUCUUCAAGGCUUGGAAGCGCACCUCCUUUUCCUAUUGUUAAUUCUUGAAGAGAGCUCAGAUUGUGCAAUCCCUUGGGUAAGGCCUCCAGUCUCUUACAAUUAGAUAUCGCCAGCCUCCUGAGUUUCGCACAAGGCAAUCCCCCUUCGGGAAAGGACACCAGAUUUCCACACCUCCCUAUACUGAUUGUUUCAAGAGAUGUGUUGUUGUCCAACCUUUCUGCUAUUGACUCCAGCUUUGAACAUCCCCAAACAACGAGGGACUUAAGAGACGAAGGUAGAUUGCCAACUUCAAGGGACUCAAGCGUGGCAGGUAACUCGUUUUUUGAAAAUAUACAUGUCAGAGAUCGACAGCUGCCAAUAUGCAAUUCCUCAGGAAGAGAUGAGGUGUACCUUCUGCUGCUGUUGCUGCUACACUGGAUACCCUCUUCCGCUGUCAAAGUCCUUAUAUUAUCGCAAUUGUAAAUCUCCAACUGCUUAAGGCUCGGUGGUAGCUGGACCGCAGCAAUAUAUGUCAACGAACGGCAACCAUGAAUACUCAAGAUCUCGAGAGACGAAUUGGUGUCGCACAUCCAUGCCUCUGGUAACGAUUUCAGUGCAUCACAUUCUCCAAUAUGAAUUUUCUUCAACUUGGAAGGCAGAGCAACCUCAGGAAAGGAAACAAGGGAACUGCACUUGCAGAUUUCUAUCUCUCUCAAGGAACUGAGGCUGAACGAUGAUUGUGGCAGCUUCACAAGGCCUUCGCAUUCGCUCAAUCUUAGAUAUUCAAGUCUGCAUGACAACUCGCAGAGCUGCUGUUGUUGGUCUUUCUCUUCCUCCGCCACCAAGGAUUGAAUUUUGGGACACCGUCUAAUCGUCAGUCUUUUGAGAGAGCAAAUGUCUUGCAGUAAUUCGUUAUGACUCUUCCAUAUAUGUGUUUCAUUUUUCAUAUUAUUUAUCUCCAAUUCUUCCAGUUUUGGUAUUUGCGGCUUCAAUGGCCCUGCGAGAAACACUUGAUUUGAUGUAUCUCUACAAACCACUGAAUUCUGUGAGCCGAGAUGAUCAGUUGCACUUCUCCACACAACCUUUUUACAUCCACCAAUUUCAAAUUUGCAAAGAGCUGGAAGACUCGUAACUGAAACUGACAAUUCUUCACAUCCUUCAAUUACAAGCAUCUCCAAUGCAGGAAGGUGUUCUGGAAAUGUUCCUUGCAGCUUAGAACAACUUAUAAUAUGAAGCUCUCUCAAUUUAGGAAACCCUUCAACCCCCUGACUAGAUCCAUGAGGAAUCCAGUCUUCCCAUUCUCGCAUGUUUUCAAAAUGAAGAGUCUCCAAGCAUGGAAAAGGAAUCGGGGAAUCAUUCCCAUAGAACUCUGAACCCAAACUCUUUACUCUACUCAUUCCACGCACUGCAAGAUGCUUUAGAGAGGGUAGUUGCCCGACUGACGGCAAGGUAGUACACACGCCGCAAUCUUCAAAAUUUAAGGACGCUAAAUUUGAGAAUGUGGAAUCUCCCAACCAAGUUGGAAAUUCUUUACCUCCAUAGCCACUGAUACAAAAUUGUUCCAAAUUUUCAUGAGGUUUUAGCAUGUCGAGCACAUCCUUUUCGGUUUCUGCCUCCGUUGAAGACAAACCAUUGGUACUCCGUGUCCAUCGGAACCUUAACACUUUAAGAUUCUUCUUUCCAUCCAAUUGAGCCUCCUUCGCAUCACCAAUGUCUUUUACGUUCUCCAAUUUUGAAAUGUUAAGUGUCCCACGAAGAUGCGUCAACAAUUUUAGCUCUCGUAUCCCGGAACCACUGUCUUUUCCCACAACAAAAUUACACAGCGUCUGAAGGCAAGUCAACUUACCAAUUCCUAGUGGCAUCUCCUCCAACGAACCUGUAUCUAAAUUAUCGAGAUGAUGCAAUUUGAUGAGGUUUCCCAUGUCUGCACACAACUUCUUCAGUCGCCGACAGCCCUCCAGCAGAAGAGUGUGCAAAUUGUAAAGCUUGUUGACUGAUUCAGGCAGAGUUCUAAUCUCAGUUAGAGAUAGGUUAAGGUACCUUAAAUACCUCAAAUCACCAAUUGAAUCCGGUAGCUCAGAGAUUUGAUAUCCAUGCAGUGAGAAGACCCUCAACCGUUGGAGUUUGAACAACAUAGGAAGAAUGCUACGAGCCAAGAAUCCAAGCGAACGAUUUGACAAUGUUACUGGUAAAAAAGUUCGCAAAUGGUGGAUAUCAUGCAAGUCCUCAAACCUUUGAACGCCAUCACAAAAUCCACGAAUGUAUGACAGGUGACGAAAAUUUUUGGAAAAACUUUGUUGCUUGUUAACCUCUGAGUUAGACUCCAUUGUGAAGUAUAUCUCCCCCGCAGCCCAUUGAGCAAGGUCGUUGACAAGGUCGUGCAUCACAAAUCGUGAUUUAUUGUUGCUUGAUUGCUGGAAAAAAGAUCUUGAACGUAGCUCUUGAAAGAACUUUCGACCUAGAUCUUCAUUAGGAUUCCCUCUCUCUUUGUGAUCCAAGAAACCCGAAGCACACCAUAAUAAAAUUAUCUCCUCCUCUUCAAAUUCAUAAUCCUUUGGAAACAAUGAGCAGUAUGCAAAGCAUUGUUUCAAAGGUGCCGAAAGAUAAUAGUAGCUCACUCUAAGCGCCGGUAUAAUGUCACAUCUCUCUUCUGGUAAAUCCCAUAUCUUGCAACUGAGCACCCCUUCCCAAUCACUCCGGUCAAGUUUGCCACGUAAGAGUCCACCAAGAGUUUUCGCAGCUAAGGGCAAGCCGUUGCAUUUGAUCACUAUCUUCUUGCCAAUUUCCUCCAAUGACUUGUUUGAACUGAAAUCUCUUGUCCCCAAAGAGUGUUGAGCGAACACAGACAGACAAUCAUCAUUUGACAGCUUUUUCAAAUGAUAAUCCCGAGCAGUCCCCAUGAUGGCUGCAACCUCUUGAUUACGAGCUGUGACAAUAAUCUUACUCCCCGGUGCGCCAGCUUCAAAUGGACGGCUCAUGUCAACCCAGUCAUUGUAAUUCUCAUUCCAAACGUCAUCUAAAACAAGCAAAAAUUUCUUUUGAGAUAACUUCUUCUUCAGCUCCUCUUGAAGCAAAUUUAAAUCACUGUCAUCAGUAGUCUGCUUAGUAAUGGAUCUUAGAAUUGUUUUUGUUAGCCUGAUAACAUCAAAAUCAUCAGAGACACAAGUCCAUGCUUUGAGAUCAAAAUGACCCUGCACUCGAGCAUCAUUAUAGACAAGCUGAGCGAGAGUGGUUUUACCCAGCCCGCCCAUGCCUAUGAUAGGAAUAACAGAGAAUUCACCAUCAUUUCUCAAAUCAUCCCUCAACAACAAUUCAACAAUUUCCUUCUUUUCUGCUUCCCUGCCAAAUACCUUGGCUUCAUUCACCAAAGAGGUUGUGGGUAGUCUUUGCCUGUCUUUUUUGGACCCCCCAGUUGAACUUUCUUUCAAAUCCAGCAAGUCUUUCUGUGUCACAAUUUCAUGAAAUCUGCCGUUGAUCUCUUUGAUUUUGGACAUCAAGGCAUAAUCGAACUGAAUCGAUUGUGGAGUAAAAGUGGUGCAGCAAGUAGGAAUGAGCUUCCGAAACUUACUUGUUCUUGUACGACUGCUACUGGGUUGAUCCUGAGCCGCAGCUGGAUCUCCAUUUCCAAGCAGCAACCUCCUCCGGAAAGCCUCAGUUUGAAACUCAUCCAACAAGUCUUCAACAUCAUAAGCGAAGUUCUGAAGCUUGCCAAGCCACUUCUUCACAAACUGAUUAGUCGUCUUCUUCUCCUCAGCAUCAUCAAGCACCGCCUUGAUCAUCUCCAACAUAUUCGCCCACUUCAUCAGAUCGGCCUGGAUUUGCUCUUGGCGUGCAAAAAACAGAAUCCCCUCUGAAGCUAACUUAUUGACCAGCAAAUCAACGGACGCUGUAAGGAUUGCCUCUCCGAUGAUUGACAUUUUUUUCUUUUUUUUUCUUGUUUUGCAAAGAAAGAAACAGAAUUUUGAGUUUUGAAAAGCAAAAUGAGAAAAUUGAACAAUAAGUGUGGAGGGUCAAGCAAAAUGCGCGUAACAAGUCUUCCGCUUCUUGUUUAUUCCAGGAAAGUGCAAAUAAAAACAGAGCCCACCACCCAUUAAUAAUUGAGCAAUGCACCAAUCACGAGUCACCACCACUCGUUACCAUGAAUAUAAUAAAUUGCACCUUGAUAUUUGCAGGGUCCAGCAACAUUGACCCAGUGUCCGGGUAAAUGCUGAAUAACGAGGAAAAUGGAAUGUAUCCACUACGAACCUUCGCUUUACAAGUCUUCAAACUCAUAAACCAAAAUAAAUCAAAACGUUUAUCUCUUCUCUCUCUUUUUGCCAUAUAAUUACUUUAUUUAUUGAAUUAAUUUCCAUGCUAAAAGGAAGACUUAAAAGUGCACUACAAUUUUUUAUAAUCACAAUGAUAAUUCCUACUAUCAUGUUAUUUUAAUAUCGUGUCAAAAUAAAUUAUAACAAAGUUUUUUUCUGUAUGAACACUCUUUUUAUUUAUGAAUUUUUUAAUUUUUAAUAUUUUUCUCACUCUUUUAGUCUUAAUAUUUGUAUAUCUCUCUUCAAACUUUCUUUAUUAUUUAAUUUUUAAAAAAAAUAUAAAAAAAAAAGAAAAGAAAAAUAUUAUACUUAAAAAAUAAUAAAUAUUUUAUGAGUCUAAUACAAGCCUGUAUUGUUUUUUACAAUGAAAGAGCACGCGAAAAAUCUCACUCAUAGAAAACUUUGUGAAAGGCAUUUGAAUGUGUGGCCACAUUUUCCGAACGAAACGAUAAGGCUUUAGCCUUAUAAUUGCAAUUAGUUUGUCUUGUAACUAAAUUAUUGCCGACAAACACCAUCGUGCUGACAAACCGGGCAUGCACGUCCUCAAAGACAUUGACAUUGUGGACAAAGUGGUUGCAAGGGAUGGGGAUUAACAUGUCUCCAAACGACAAGCAGCCAUGCAUGUAAUUAGUCACAAGUUGCUUUGAAAUAAAUAGGUACUUGACAUUUGGCUCACUGAUUAUGUGUGCAAUAUUCCCGUAUUUCCCAUUACUUCCCGUACUUUAUGCAUUAUUGUUUUGUAUGUCUUUUGGUGUUUGUCUAAAAAACCACAUAAAAUAUUUAAUUCUACAUUUUAUUAAUGUAAAUGAGAAAUGAAAAUAUCAACAUUAAAACAAAUAUACAAAAUAUAUCAAUUUAACACGAAUUCUUAAAUUCAAUUACCAAAUAAAUAAGUCUAUCACAACUCGAAGUGCUUUCAAUUUAAAAAGAAAAAAGAGAAAGAGUAAAAAAUAAAGAACUACAAAUCAAAGUAGCACCCAUAACCUAUUUCAUAGGCUCAUUCAACACCAAGAUCUUAGAAUUAAAAUCUUCAAUUCAUUCAUUACCACUAGCACCCAUUCAACGUGGUUUUUCUAAGCAAAAUAUAAAGUACAAAAUUACAAUAAGCAUAUGAUACUCCAUGCUUUAAGAUCCUUAUAUAAUUUUAUGAAUAAUUUUUUAGUGAAAUUUUAUGAUUAAAGUUAAAAAUACAAAUAUUAAAAUAAGAAUGUUGGACACCUGCACAACUAUUUGCCAAUUUUUUUCUCUAUAAAAAUUCACUUGCAACUUGCAGCAGGUUUAAAUUUAUAAUAUCAAACUUGAUUGUAGCUCGCAAAAUUUUUAGAUUUGCGAUAAUUUUUCCACCCUAAGUGUAGUUAGUAUUAUUUAUCGUGUGUUUCCAAUUGGCUCUUAUAAAAAGCCUAGGAAUUGUUUGAAUAAUAAUGGAGACAAAUUUUUCCCAAAGAUAUUCUCUUUUUCAAAUUCUUUUCUUUUCUCUAUUAUUGUAACUUCAAAUCCUUACAAAUUACACAUUACAGACAUGAACACAAUGUUUUGACUUUUGUCUUGUCCAGAGAAAUUUAGGAUAGAUUUUGAUGUACUAAGGUUCUGUUUACUAUUGAGAUUUUGGAACUUUUGAGCCACACUUGAAAUUUGUAUUAUUCUAAUAGAGUUGUAGCAUUCGAUAUGUGAUUGGUAUUAAUCACGUGUUAUGUUUACAGCAGUUAAAGGUAUAUUGAAUCAAAAUCCACUUUUGAUCGAGAUUUUAAAGUAGAUUUUUAAUUUGAUAGCCACUCAAGUUCAAAUAUUGGAACCACUGUUCUUUAUAACCAAGUGAGAGAACUUGUGUCCUAAAAGUUGAGGGUUGCAGAUCGAGUUUUACUACCAACAACAAAAGUUGGUGUUAAGACUUUAGUUCCCCUCCUACUGAUGGGUAAGGAUAAUUAGGACUUUACAUCCCCUCCUAUUAAUAGACAUGGGUUAUUAGGAAUAUUAAAAAAAGGUUCAAAUAUUGAAAAACUAAGUAUGAGUUAUAAAAUUCAUAAUACAAGAACACGAAAUCAAGAUAAAAUUUUAAAAAUUUAGAACCAUGAGAGCGUAACUUGUAAGUUUCAAAUAAGCAUGUGCAACAUAUGCGUAUCGAUACUCAUUAGGGGUGAGCGUUAAGAUCGGGUUAACCCAAACCAAACCUUAAAUUUAUUUUGGGUUCAAUUUGAUUUUAGUUGAAGCUUUCAACUGAGUACAAAACUUAAAAACAAUUACGUUGUAUUUCUAUUCGAAUUUAACAACAAACUAAGCAACCUAAUCAACUUAAGUAAGCAAAUUUUAAAAAAAAUUCCCAUAAAAUUAAAUCUAACCCUAAUUAAAAAAAUUCAACUGCGGCCUUCUCGUCGUCUUCUUUUCUUCUUCUUCCUCUUGCUCACCCCUAAUGCCCCAUUAAUGGAAAUCCAACAGCUCCAAACACGUUUCAGCCGCUUGCGCGUGUGAGAAAUUUUCCUUCCCAUAGGAUUGUUCGUUUCCUUGGCUUGCAUCCCAGCAGGAUAUUCAGGCCGGGCAUUUUUCCGGGCCUAUCCCACCUAUAAGUUUUACCAAAACCCAAUCAUAAGUUCAUAAUGUUUAGUGGUUACUAUAGAUAUAUAUAUAUAUAUUCACAAUUAUUAAUAUAGCCCAACAGAUUUUUCCAAAAAAUAAAAUUAAAUAAAAUUACAAGCCCACGAAAUUCCUUUUCCGAUUUUGGAAUCUACCUGCACCUUUCACUUGCUAGGCUUUAACCAAACAGACGACGUUAUACAAACUUCUAUACAAUAAGGCAAUGCAAACAAAAGCAAGUGAAUUAAAAAUAAAUAAUUUCUCAUUAAUUUGCAACAGUAUUAAUAAAGUGCAUCAGAAAAUAUGCAUUUUUUUUAAAAUGAAAAUAAAUGUGUUAAUUAGUCAAUUUAAAUGGUACGAUGUUUUGAAAUGAUAAAAGCGAUCUGAAGUUUAAAUCUUACUCUUGACGUAAUAUUUAAUAACGAAUUUGAAGAACAAUUAAUAAUUAACAGAAAAGAAAAAGUGCUUUCUUUGUUAACGAUGAUAAUUUAUUCAGACGAUGAAAAUUCUUGAGUGGAAUAAUAAGUAUUUUCGAGUGUUGCCAUCACGAAUAAUAUUUAAUUUCCUUUAUAUAGUUAUAUCUCAACUAACAUUUAAACAGAAGCAAGUUGGAAAUUAAAAAAAAAAAACCAUUGAGAGAAUGAAAAACUAACAAAAAAAAAGUUCAAAAAUUAUAUCUCAAUAAAUUUACUUGAGAGCUACUCUACUGAUCUGUGAAGAGAAAACACAAAGAAUAAUGAUAUAUCCCAAUUAAUAGGACAAUUUUUGUAUUUUUUGUUUAUUCAAGAAUCACGAAACUUCAUUUAAACUUGUUAUUUCAUUGAUAAUAUAUUAACAUUGAACAAUGUAGGGGACAUUCCUGUCCAAUUAUGCCCAUAAAUUAAUUAAAGACCACCAAAAAGUUCAGGGAUACUAUAGUAAUUUAAGUCAACAAUUUCUGUGCUUGAAAUCAGUCGAUCAAACUCACUUUAGAGUAAAUUGAGAAAUCAAAAUCACAUUCCCCAAUUCUACGAUUUCAAUUCAUCUUUUUUCAUCAACUGAAGAAUUGGUUGUAUCUCGUUUAGAUAAAUAUAAAAUAUAAAUGACGAGGAGACUGGAAAAAUAAAAUCAAAAGAAGAGCACGAGUUUUGUUGAAAAUGACUCUUUUUUAUCAUUUUGCUGGAGUGCAUGUAUCUACAUAUAAACUAAAGAAGCACGUUUAUUUGUAUUAGCUUUUUAUUGUAUUUUUAAUAAUAAGUCAUUUUUCAAUGAACUUAUAUCAAUUUUUACGAAAAUGAUAGGUGUUAGUUAGUUGAUUCAAAGGGCAAAACCUCUUGGGAUAGAGCUUGUAAUUUAUUGGCUCAUGAAUUGUCUAAAUUGACACUACCGAAGCCAAAUUAUUAUAUUUGGUUCAAAAAGCUCCUGUUGAGCUUCAACUUUAUUAUUCUAUGAUGUUUAUUAACAAAUAACAAUUUUAUUAAAAAAAAGACCUCUUGAAAUGAUAUAAAAGAUUUGGGACCUGAAUCUCACUGGAAUUUAGCUUGAGGUUGGCAUUGUUAGCAUAAUAUUUGAAGAUAGAUUUUUAAAAAUUAAAAAUCAAAAGAGUUUUUUUUUUUUUUUGGUUCACACUAGUUAGUUUUACUCAUAGUGAGAUUUAAACAAAAGCGGAAUAAUAAAUCUUGAUAUCCUGACUUAUGGAUAACAUCUACAUAAGAUUGUAAAAUCUAUUGUACCGAAAAUAAGAGGUCUGAAAUUUAAAUUUCGCUCACAUAGUAGUAAGAGAAUUAAAUUAUUGUUAGAUUGAAUUAAUUAAAAAGAUUAUCUGAUAUCCAAAACAACAUAUCAACAAAAUUGAAAUUAAAAAAAUUGAAGAGAAAAACCAUUGAGAGAACGAAAAAUUAACACAAGAAAAUUUCGAUAACUAAUUGUAUCAGUGUGCGCCAACUUCACUUAUUAAAACUUGGUUAUUUCAUUUUCAUUGAUAAUCAUUUUGACAACGAUUUUUCUUUCCAGCUAUGCCCAUUAACUAAUAAAAGAACCGCCGAAAGGGUUCGGGGAUAAUAUAGUAAUUUAAAUUAACAGUUUCUGUGCUUCAAAUCAUCAAAUCAAACUCACACUUCACAACAACAGAGAAAUUAUCUCAUUUUUUUAUUUAUUAUAUCCAACUCUAAAAAUAAUAAUAUUAAAUAAAACACCUGUAACUUUAAGACAUACAUAUUCCCAAAGUACAAGUGGAGCCGAGAGGCUGGGAGUCGUAAUGAAAAGAAGAAUACAAUAAAAUUGGGGACCAUAAUGAAAACUGGUAGAACCUACAAGGGCUAAAAUCAGAACAACGAUAUCUCAAGGUCGCCGAAACAUAAAUAAUUAAUCUUAUCUUUCAAUUGAUUUUUGUGGAGACAGAGACAAUUAAACCCGAACAGCAAAUAGCCAUAAAUGAUAGGACAAUUAAAUUGGAACUCUCCGCAGACCCACGAUUUAAUAUCUUUAGAUUGUAACGGUUUAACCCAAAAAAAAAAAAAAUAGUAAAAGAUUUCUUAAAAAAAUGAAAAAAAAUUGUUGAAAAGAAGAACAAAAUUGUGGCCCACGUGUCAUUUCAAAAUAGGUUGCUGGCAUAAACAACCGGCUCCAUCCCGGACAGAUGUUAUGUGAGUGGUUGGUACGCGUUUCCACUUUUUUGUUUUAGAUGCAACAACUCAUGCACUAAAAAUAUAUAUUAGAUAUUUAAAGCAUAAAAAAUAUAUGUUGAUUUGAUGAAAUUUGAUUUAGGAAAGACGACUAAAAAAAGAGCAGUGUAACGUCAUUUUAUUUAUAUCUAAAUAGCUUAAACACGAUCUCUAUUUAUACAUAUAUUUAUACCAUAUUAUUUGGGUUGUUAUUUUUUUAUAAUACUCCUUCAUUCAUGACAAUUAGAUCAAAUAAUCGAAUCCCUACUAUAGCUAAUUAGCUUAUUGACCAGCAACUUAAAAAAGGAUGCCAUAAGGACUGCCUCUUUGAUGAUUGACAUUUCUCUUCUUUUUUUUUUUGGUUUUUUUUUGGGGGGGAGAAAGAAACCGAAUUAUGAGUUUAUGGAAAUUAAAGCAAAUAAGAAAGUGAAUUACAGCAGAAUGAGUUUGUGAUUGUGAUAGGUCGAGCAAGUCUAGAAAUCAAUUAGGCAAAACCCACCACGAAAGUUAAAAGCCAAAAAUAGCGUCCACCACAAAUAUAAAAUUGGAGGAGGUCAGGAUCAUGCCUUUGCUUUACAUAUUAAAUUAAGUAAAAGCCACCAAGAAUCUUGCUUUUGCUUAACAUGAUUAAUUAGGCACUAAUUCAGAAAGAACACGAAAAUAAUAAACCCUUUUAUUAAUCUUAAAUGUCAGGAAUAAAGCUACAUUUUCUCCUCUUACCGUCUCUUCAGGUUCAUUUCAAAAGUUUGAAGAGAGUUAUCCAUUCUUCCAAAUUAAGAAAAUCAACAUUCUUGCUCUCUUCAAAUGUUGAAUAAAGAAAAAUAGAUUGUUGAAUAAGAAGGAAAUUAGAAUGUAUCUACCUUCGCUAACUAAAAAUAAAAAAAAAAUAAUCUCUCUUUUAUUACUAAAAUACACUAUUUUUUUAAUAAUUGUAUUGACAGUGACAAUAUAUAUCAUCGAUUAUAUUCUUGUUGUGUUGAAAUAAGAUAUAAAAAUUUUUUGAUCAAGAGGAAUUCGACUCAUUUGUUAAAGGUACAUAUUUAAUAUACUAAAAACAAAAAUUAACAUAACACGAUUAUUACACUAAAGUGAAAUGAAAGCCAGUACCCACCAGUUCACCAACAGUUAUUUAGCAAACUUUGCAUUCUCGUAUUUGAGGAAAUGGACAUUGGUGAAUUAACCAAAGGACGAAUGAAAGAAUUUUAAAUAACAAAAUAGAGACUACACAUGUUUUUUCUUUUUUUUUUUUCCAUAUAAUUGUUCAGGAAAUGGAACUAAUUUUGAGACAUUUUCAAAUAAACUUAUUUUCAAAAGCAAUACAAAAUGAUUUCGUUUUAUUUUGAAACAUUUCAUGGAAUCAAGUAGCAGUAAAAUAAAUAGAAAAGUAGUAAUUCUCUCAUUCUAUCAUUUUCUUUUUUAAAAGGAGAUGAUGGGGUUGGGUUGUUCACAAAAUUAUUGGUGCGGGGGUCUAUUUGUUUUUGUUUUAAUUUUAUUAAUUAAUUACCGAAGCAAACAUGUAAUGAUUUGUAAAAGGAUCACUAGCAUCAGAUUAUUGGGAGGUAUUAUGGAGAAGUCACACUUAGUAUUUACAAUUCAUGUAAGAUGAAUUUGUAAGACUUAUUAAUUUUGAUGAAAAUGCAGAUUUAUUAAGUUACUAAUUCAUUAAGUUAACUUGAGAUAUUAAUAUUCACUAAUUGUGGAGAUUAAUUUAUUUAACUUGUCAUGAUUUUCAAUUAAGAAUGAAGGUCAGUCAAUUUAUGGAAAGAAGGAUAAUUUUUUUUUCAGAUUUUUAAUUCUUAGGAUUUGAUUUCACUUUGUUUCGAUUGUCGAUGUUGCUGAAGAGGCAGUGAAAGUUUGUUGAAUGCCAUCAAAUGCUUGUAUCUUAUCUCACAAAAUGUCAAUAUCAGUUUGUUUCCUAUAGGCGCAGCCAUCGCGAAUUGAAAGUAACAACGUGAUGAGCAUAUAACAUAUACAUAUUUUACCAUUAAUUAUAUAAUUGUUAGUUAUUUUUAUUUGUUAUUUUUAAUUAAUUAAAUUAUUUUGUUGAAUAGGAAAUUAAUUGGAGAUUAUGGAUAAAAAGGGCAUGAAGAAGUUUAAUUUGGGAAGCAAUAAAAAUUAAAUUGAGAGAUAAAAAUACAGACAAGGAUUAAUGGAAUCCAAACCGAAAAAAAAAUCAAAGCACAAGGAUUUUCUUAAUGUCAUUAUUUAGGCAAGUGUUUUGAUGCAACGGAAGUUUACAGUUCCAAUAUUCCGUUGAUUUUUAGAAAAAACCAAAAUAAAUGAACAAACUAAAUUCACGUUGAUUCAAAAGAAUUAUGCGAAUUUAAGAGUUUUGAAUCAACGUGAAUUUAGGAGUUAAGACUCAUUGAUUCCGCAGAAUACCAAUAAUUAACUAAUUCAAAUACUCCCACAGAGUUUUGAAAACUGGAAUGUUAUUGAACUUAAAAUCUUUGCUUGUAAAACCUUUAAUAAGUUACAUAAUUAUAUAAAGUGUGUAUAAACUAAUGUGAUAUAAAGAGAUUGGUUGUAUUAAACUAUCAUGAACCCAUAUAAUUGAAAAAAAUAACUGUUAUUACUUUUUAGUUAAUUUUUUUAUGUCACACCAGUUUGUACAUAUUAGUUUGUACAAAACUGUUUGUAUCUCUAUUAUUAUUGUUAUAUAAAUCGUUCAAUUUUCUCAAAAAUAUGAAUAUGGGCAGGGUAUUCAUUCCUAUUUCAUCAUAAAUAAAUAAAUAAAAUUGCAUUGUUUAUCUUAUCAACCACUUGAGAGUACGGAGGUUGGUUAAUUCCAUUCGUAUGAAUUAUCUACGUGUAUAUCGACUGAAUUAAAGGCACUUAUUGCCAGAAGUUAUUUUUUAUUUUUUAUUUUUUUGGUUUCCCUUAUUAACAUAUAACCUCAAAUGCACUAUGCAAUAAAAAUAUAAAUAUAGAUAGAGCAAUCUGCUACUAAGGCUUUAGGUUGUUAGCCAGAUGCUAAGGCCUUGUCUUGAAUAAGCCCAGCAAUUCAAGCUUAAGAUCACACUAUAAAAAGGGGGCGCAAAGGCAAAGAAAGUGGCACGUCAAGUGGAGCAAAUGAAGCGAAGGAGAGCAUGUCACGCUGAGAUAACGUGUCUGAUAAUUGGCUCCGCUUCUACCCUUUAAACACCUCGAAAGAAGCAUCAAGGAAGUGGUCUUGUCAUCAUCUUCUUCCAGUACAUCAAUGGAGAAGCAACAUUCGAACACAUGGAAAUAAGAAAAAUCAUUCAAAAUGACAGAAACUUGCCCCAAAGAUAAAAAUACACAACAAUAAAAGCUAUACAAACUUUCCAAAAUCAGGACAUUAGAUUCAUUUGGAAAGAACAAAAAUUUUCCCCCAACAAAUAAAUACCGUUGAUACGCAGAAUAGAAGCCUGUCAUGCAGACAAACACCGCAUAGAAUUGUAGAGCCACCAAAGUUGUAGCUCCACAGUGAAGGGUUACUUUGUUUUCUUUAAAUAACACAUGCUUUGAACUUCAAUUCUUCUCAUAUCAAUUUCUGCUUCCUAUGGUGAAUAAAUACAUGGGCAGGCAAACUCUACAUUUGAUAAUGCUAAAGGGAAUUGCACUACUUAAGCGACCAAACUGGAUCUAUUCUAAUUGAAUUCUUCAACUUCUCUGCGAAGGCUUCAACUCUUUGCGAAGGCUACAAGAAAGAAGUUGAAGAAAUGAGAUAAUUUUAGUAAUGCUUAGACCCAGUUACUUAACUGAACAAACUAAAGAUUAACUACCUUCAAGCAAGUAAAUGGAUUCAAGACGGCAAAUAAUGUAAUUAAAAAAGAAGCAAAUAAUAAGAAAAAAACCAAAAAAAUUUAAAACUAGAUGCAAUUCAGUGUCAGAACUGAAUUCUGAAGUUGAAAGAACAGAAUAAGAAGCAAAUAUAAGCGGGUGAUUACUUUGUUUUCUUCAAAAAUUUCUCGAUUUUAUUUAUUUAUUUUUAUUUUACUCUAUAAUACAAUGCGGCAUAAAUCCAACCCUCCUGGUGAGCUUGGUUUAUGCAUAUUUCACCGUAUUAAUUUGUAAGUUAAUGAAAUACCGUGUGAGUGAGUUGACUUUGGAGCCAAACACAUGAAUUAUCAUUAAGUUAAUGUGAAAUAGUAUUUUUAUUGCAUAUUAAAGAACUCAAGCGAUUACAAGCAUACUCCAAAUUAAUUUUAAAGCAUACCUCAAAGUAAUUAAUCUCCAAAUAGUCAUGUGACAAAAUCAAAAGGAUCAGUUGGCAUUAAUUAAUGCAAAUCACAAAAGAAAAUAAGCCAAAGAAACUGCUAGACGACCAAAUAAGGUGGCAUCAAAUCAUUUAUCAUGCAGACAAACCUUGUACAUUUGAUGACCCAAAAGGGGAAGAUUAUUAAUCGUAGAAUGACCCAAGAUAUUGCAAAUAAUCCAAAGAUCACAGUUGCUCCAAGUUCAUUCUCAAAAUACUUAAAAACUUUGGCAACUUCCAUAAAAACAUCACUUGCAUCAUGCAAAGCAAGAAUAAUAGAGCCAAUCUGGAAAAACCUCCCCAAAAAAAAAAAAAAAUUGUUUACUCUCACUAUAUAUCUUUUGAGAAAAAUAUCAAUCAUUUUUACUCAUCAGGUUAUCCUGCUCUAAAACACAAAUUGUUAAGGGUUGAGAACUCUGAAACUCUCAAGGGCCCAAUAUUGCAUAACGAAAGUUCUAAGUUCUAUGUUAUGUUAAUGACUUAAUGUUCAUAUGCUAAUAUAAGGAGUAGAAAUAAAAUCCAACUAAUAGUGGAGCUCUUUAUAAGAAUGUUUCAUUUAACAUGUCACCUUGAAUUAUUUUGCAGUUUGAAAUGAGAAUAAGGGGUCAUGAAUAUGAUACACCCAAUGAAGAAUUAAGGUAAACAUCUUUACAAUAACAGUGAAGCGAUAAUAAUUAAAAUAUUCCAAAUAGCUUAAGAAACCACACUUGUAUUCUAUGACACAUAACAUAACUCAUAAACUACUAAAUUUAAAUGAUUAAGUGAACCCAGAAUAUUUAAUGCCACAAGUUAGAAAAGAGUUUCCCAGAGGCACAGUGAAGACUAGGGAGUUACAGAAAAUAGUUUACACUUGUCUGAAAACUGAGAUGCAGGAACAAGACAGAAAGCUUCCAAGCAUGAGUUGAUAUUUUUAUUAAAGAGAAACUCCCAAAUUUAUAACUCGUAUGCCAGAAAAGAAGGCAAUCCAUAUCAAAACAUAAGUUUGAAUGAGAUGCCACUAAAAGCUAGAGAGCAUUUUUAUCUCUGAUUCUCUAUAUUUUCAUGCUGCAAGCAGCAGUAAAGUAAUGAGAGUAACAAGAUUGGAAUCUAUUGAUUUAAGAAUAAUCAUCACUAGUGCUCUCUGGUGAUUAUAUGAAAGUAGAUUCCAAAAGCAUAUUAGGAAAGUAAGCUUUUGUAAAUAUGCUCUAGAAAAUAUCAACCACAGAAAUAAUGUUUUUCCUCUUUCUUCCAAAGCACUGAUUAUUCUUUUGGCUAAAUAAAACACUAUCAACAACUUUGCUUAAAAAAGCUAUUCAAUUUUUAAUUUCUAGUACAAUUAUGAUUCUUGAGAUAAAAUUUCAAAUACUUAAAUAAGAUCAAUUAUUUUUGGGUAUCACUGAAUAGAAAAGAGUGUCAAAAGUAUAUGCAAAAGGAAGAGAGAGGUGUUUAAAGAAGAGAAAUAAAGAGGAAAAAAAGUUGGAAAUUAGGAUAGCAUGCACAUUGAUUAUCAAUAGAGUAGCAUCACCAUUCAGCAUCUCAUUUCUUAAACAAACACUGUCCCACAUUGAAGAAACUAACAGAAUUAUAGAGGCAUCAAAAACAGAAAGCCAAAGAGUAAAAAAUAAAAAUUUAUUCCAUAUAAAAAUCCAAAGCCAAAUCCAAGUUAAUAAGUGCCUACAAUAACUAUAUAUAUCGAAUAUAGAAUACAAGAAUAAUAAGACACAAAACAAAUCAACUGGCUUACUUAUAAUAUGAGUUCCAGGUAUAAACAGAGACAUUACAUUACCUUACAAAUGUUGGUUGCCAUAUUCUAAUCCCUUGUAGUUUUGGGGCCAAAUAACAAAGGUAAUAUCCGGAAAUGUUGCAUAGAUAACAUGACAAUUACAAUCCACUUCUGAAAGUGUUAAUUAAAAACCUUUUCAUGUAGUCACUUUAUCAAAGAUGUAGGUUCAACCUACAAAAAUUACAAAUUAAAAUGAAAGAUUCAACAGAAUAUGCCACAAAAUAAAAAUUAAGGCAAUUCUUUUUCUUUAAUGCAUUCCAUCAAACACCUAGUGGGCUUCUUUAGAAACUAUUAUUUCGUCUAAUUUUUCUUUUCAGUCCAGAAAAUACCAAUAUUAGCCUCAAAAAAGAAAAAAAAACUGCUGAAUAAUAUCAUCAAAAUGCAAAGUUCAUACGUUCAAGAUGCAUUCAGCAUAGACAUAAGCACAUGAAUGUACAUGAACAUUUAAUAGCUUAAGCUUUAGCAUGUCAGUAGAGAUAAUUUGAGAAACAACCAUGAAUCCAACCCAAAAAUCAGAAAAAGGAAAAAAAUUGACAAAAUUUAGAAGACCUAACAACUUAAUCAAUUUAAAAUCUAUUUACAAUCUCACAUAUUUCUCUGAGAAUCUAAAUUCAAAUCCACCAAAAAAAAAAAGAAGGAAAUCGCUAGCACAAUCUCAAAACAAAAAUCAACAUAUAUGAAAAUGAAUUUGCUCGAUCUCCUAUUAUGAAAAGCAAUGCAAGUCCUAUGAACAGAAAGUUUACCUCAGAGCAGUGGCGGCUUGGCCUGGCUUUGAGCGACAGUGAUGCGGAGUUGUGGUGACAUGGAAGCGUAACUUGGUGAGACUUGUAGCCUGGUUUUGCGCGUGCAUCAUCGUCGUAGUCGUCGUCAGUGUUCUAACGGCAGAACACUAUUUGAACAGCGGCAAAGAUGCGGGAUUGAUUUCUAGGGUUUGGCAAGCGUGUUGUUUCGCAGUGUUAGUUGAUGAGUGGUAUGCGUUAUAAGUGACCAAGUGAGUUCGGAGACGAGAAAAUUUUAUGUCUUAGUCUAAACGCCCCGUUUUGAUUUUAUCAUUUAUAUGUAUUUUUUUUAUAAAUUAUUUGUCAAUUUGAAAUGGGCAAUUUUUCUUUUCUUUUAAUAAAAUAUUAAUUUAAAAUUUGGUCAAACACGGUCAAUGUUAAAAUUCUAUCACAAAAUUUUUGAUAGAGUAUAUUCCUAUCACUAUCCUAUUAAAAAUUCUCAAUAGACACAAAUUAUAUCAUAAGUAAAUCAUUAAUCAUUUGAUGGAUAAUAAUUUUAUCACAAUCAUGUCAUACUUUUAUGAUAUAGUAAUUUCUAUCAUAAAGUAUCAGUCAUUUAUUAUCAUUUUUCUUACAGCUUCAAAAAACCCAAAGUAGAAAGCAGAAGCAUUAAUUAACGGGUAAAUUUCUUUUUGGUCCUUAAGAGUGUUAAUCAUCAAUUCUCAGUUUGUUCAUGUGUUUCAAGGAAAAAAAAAAUUAAAACACGCAUUUACUAAAUGUUAAAUGUUACUUUUUGAUUAAUCUCAUAAGCAACAACAGUUUGAAAUAAAUAUCUUAAAUAAAUAUUUUAAUAAACGUUUUAGACAAUGGUAUUGGAGAUUAUUAUUUUUUAAAAUCUGAGAAUCAAAUACGAAUCGAUGGGUAAAACUCUAAAAAGACUAAUGGUAAAUUUACCCGCCACCAAAAAUUCGUAACAAAUCCUAAGUACUUAUCAAUAAAAGCAAGCGGAAAGAAGAAGAGGCCUGGCUGGCCAUCCUAAGUACUUAUCCGGGUCAUGGGUCAUGAGUCAUUGCCGUAUACAAAAUUUUGAAAAUUCCAAAUGAAAAGAUAUUUUGAAAUUGGGCAGCUCUGGCCUUUUUUCCUUGCUAUUAUCUACAAUAUUUAUUUUUGCAAUCCGCAUGCAUGCUCGGUUAUGAUCACCCACGUGAUCGGUAUUACGUUUUUUUAUCUUCUUAUUAACAAAUUAUUUAGUGUGCGGACUCCAUUCAUGCUCCCACGUUAAUCUUCUUAUUAACAAAUGCUCCCGCUAUUCACUUUGCCACAGUCGGCUACUUCAUUCUAUUUGUUUACUGCAUAUGAAUCAUUAAUCAUAUCAAACCAGAAGCGAGACCUCACAAAAGCAACUUAAUUACUUCGUGAGUUUUAAUUUGGGAAGUGGAGGUUUCUUCUGAUUUGAACAAUAUGGAAACUACCUGUCCAAGUUUUUUUUUUUUUUUGGCGAAUUUCAGUUGAAUAUCAUUUAUAAUUCUUAUUUCAAUAUAUUUGUAAAUAAGUUUAAUAAUAUUAAAUUUUCACUUAAGAAUGACCGGUGGGAGGGUUAAGCAGAUAUGCCUGAUUUGGGUGUUGGAAUAUUUAUAGUGGCCCAUGUGCCACAUUAUUGAAUUAGUAAUAAUUUAAAAUUUAAAUGAUAAAAUAAAUAAUGGGCCAAAAUCCUAUUGGUCAAUUGGGAAAAUCUAAUUGUCCACUUUGAUGGAAAGUGGAAAUAAGAGAUUUAUUGAAAUUGAUUUUUUCUCUCUCUCUCUAUAUAUAUAUCACAUUAAUUUUCGCUCCAUCAAAAAAGCGAAUCACUCUAAAGGGGUCAAGAGAUAAAAAUUAAUUUUACAAAUCUUUAAUUAUUUACCGUGAGAUUUGAUCAAGAAGAUUGCUAUGAAUCAAGAUAUGUUUUCUCUCAAUUAUGAUGAUGUGAAAAUCUUGAUAUUCUAUUGUUAAGUAAAUACAAGCACCAGGUCGGUCAUGCUAUUAUUUCCACCCCGGCGUGGAUCACCUUAGCCUAUGGUACGAGCCGAACACAGGGACAAGCAUAAACCGACCAGAGGGGAACCCCUGACAAGCAUAAACCGACCAGAGGGGAACCCCUGCUAGGGGAAUGUACCGACUAGAGGUAUACACCGAGCCGAUACCUGUCCCCCAGAAAGCGGGAACACGAUCCCACAGAACCGCGGCCGUUACGCUGUUCCCAGAACACAGAAUCGCGGCCGUUACGCUUUUCCCAGAACACAGAAUCGCGGCCGUUACGCUUUUCCCAGAACACAGAAUCGCGGCCGUUAUGCUUUUCACAGAACACAGAAUUGCAACCGUUACGCUUUUCCCAGAACCGUUGAAGGACACGUAAGUCCCCACGUUUGCGACAAUGCAACGGUUAGAGUCCCGUGAGGGGCUGCCACUACCCGGAAAAGGGGGGGAUAAAGGGCAAAUGGAAAGGUGGGGACAGCGGAUAUAAAAGGGGAGGAACUCAACGGAGAAAGGGACAGAAAAACUGAGAGAGGGAAAACGCUGCCAAAUUGCAACCAGAUCAUUGUCCUACGAAUUUCAGAUAAACUUCUUGAACCCAAAUCACAUUGUUUUCCCGUAAACACCUUGAGCUAACUUAGGCAUCGGAGGGUUUACGCCGGCAAAACCACCGGCGUCUCUGAUCCGUUUUUAGUGAGCGCAGGUCUAUUGAGAGGAAGGGGGACGAUUCCAGUUCCAGUGAACGAGCAACAACAGAUAACACAAACGUUGGUGAAAGAAUCUGGUCGGUCAAAGGGCGAGCAGAUUUCAGCAUCAACAUUUUGGCGCCGUCUGUGAGGACCUGGAUAAAAAGCUACCACCGAAUUAGCACUUACCGGAGAGACAGAGAACAAGUAGACAUGGAUUUGUCAAGGAAGGACGCUUUGAGGGAGGAUAACGAAUCGGGGGAAACAAUCACCCUUCGGAAAAUUGCAAAUGAAGCCUGAGAGAGGGUGACGCAAGAUCGAUUGGAACGGAUGGAGAGGCAAAUGGAGACUCUUGCCACCAUACUGAAUGAGCUAAGAGAUGAGCGGAGAAGGGAUCGCGAAAUCCCCGUGGGGAGAGAUGAUGUGGGAGCAGAGCCCAACAUCCGGAGCCAUAGAGUCGAGGAGAUCCCUCCGCCAGCGGACCAACCUUAUGGGGUUCAUCCCCACGGAAGCAUUGGUUGGAUUCCUGGAGAACAAGUAGACGAAGGGAGGAACCAACCUCGCCCCAGGCAAGUACCGGGAGCUGAUGGCCGAGGAGUCAACGCUGAUGAAGGAGAGCUCAGACAGCGGUUGCAAAAUGCCGAGCAGGAGCGAGAUCAGAUAGCUGCACGUGAUCCUGACCGUGCUGUAGAAUUGGAGGGAGAGGUGCGCAGACUAGCGCAAGUGAUAGAGGAGAUACAGGGUAAGAGGAAACCCCCGAGCUGGAGGAUAAUGCUAGAUGAAGAAUCUCCGCUAUCAGCUGAGAUCAUGGGUACCAUAAUCCCAAGAGAUUUCCGCUUCCCCGACCUCAAAUACUCCGGGCGAAGUGAUCCACUGGUGCACAUUGAGCGUUUCAACGACAUGACAGGUGUGCAGGGGCUGACACCAGCUCAGAGGUGCAGGGCGUUCCCGUUGACGCUAGAGGGACGAGCUCGAGAAUGGUACCGCAGGCUGCCCCGAGGAAGUAUAAAGGGGUAUGAGCAGAUGUGUCAGGAGUUGGCCGAGCAGUUCCGAGGGGCAGUAGCCCCAGAGGACGACAUGAUGGAACUGAUGGGGAUGAAACAGGAGGAGCACGAGUCCCUACGGGAUUUUGUAAAGUGAUACCACCGAGCCGUACUUGAUUUGAGAGCUUUCAAUCACCCGCAGGCGUUGAGGGGUUUAAAGGAGGGUGUGAGGAUAGGCCGGCUAUGGUAUAACCUGAGAAGCCCCCUGGUGCAGAAUUAUUCAGCAGGGUAUGAGCAGGCGAGAUGAGAUAUUGAAAUUGAAGAGGAGAAAUCAGCAAGACUAAAAAGUGAACAGCUAGAAGAGCUAAGGCGGAAGGAGCGGAGAGCCCCGAAAGGGAGCGGGUUGAGAAAGCGAACUGGAGAAUCUUCAGGGAUGGGUGGAACAUCAACUCGGUCCCGCCCUUACCCCAUAACUCCGAGAGCACAACAGUUCUAACACAGCCGGGCUUAACCUCCACGCCCCCCAAUCCCAGAGCGGCAGCGAGAAUUCCGGCAGAUGGCUGCCCACCCCUAUCACAACACUCCCAGAACAUUACAUGCAACCGAUUCCAGGACUAGUCGACUAGAUCAAUUAGCAACUGGGACAGCCCGAGGUGACAUUCAUGAUAGCCGAUCAGUUCAGCUAAUAGAUCAGAGCUCGGCCUAUAGACAAUACACUCCAUUAAAGAUCUCCAUGGAGGAACUAUAUGAGAGGAUCGAGGGAAGAGGCCUGCUAUACCCUCCAGCCCCAAUAACAAAACCGGCUCAUCGACGGGAUAAGAACAGAUUCUGCAAAUUCCACGAUACUCACGGUCACACAAUCAGCCAAUGUCGUGACCUGAAGAUUCAGGUGGAAGAUUUAGUAAGGAACCGAUACUUGGAUGAGUAUGUAGACGGAGUGUCCCCUGUCAUUGAGUCAGAGUACAUACGAGAUGAAGGAGUUGAGAGGAGUCUAGAACGAGAACAGCCGACCAUCCGUGUGAUAGCAGGAGGGCCAACAUUGGCCGGGGAUUCAAACAGAGCACGGAAGAACUAUGGGAGAUACGCCAUGGCUGGCAAAGAGGUGCUUCUGAAUUUACCGGCAGCCAAAAGAGCAAAAGUGCGGCAAGUUCCUAUUAUGUGGACGGAAGAUGACGAAGAGGGUAUUUUGUAUCCUCAUGAGGAUGCCUUGGUGAUUAAGGCAAAGGUGGCCGGUACAGAAUUGCAGCGAAUACUGGUAGACACGGGCAGCUCAGUAGACAUCCUGUUUAAGCCGGCCCUAGAUGAUAUGGGGAUUUCAGAUUUGAAGCUGGAGCGGAAAAAUACUUCCUUGAAAGGAUUUGGAGGGGGACGGUUAACUCCCUUGGGGAUCAUUGAACUCCCGAUUACUGUGGGGACAAAGCCGUUUGAACGAACGAUGAUGCUGGACUUCGUCGUGGUAGAGGAAAGAAGCCCUUACCAGAUGAUAUUGGGGAGACCGUUCAUGAGGAUAAGCCAAUGUGUAAUGUCCACGCAUUAUCUAGCGCUGAAGUACAGAGUAAAUGGAGUUGUGGGUGUAGUAAAGGGCGACUAGAGGAUGGCCAGGAGCUGCUAUGCUACAGCGGCCAAGGAAACGUUGCAGGUCACCUCUCUAAAUAACCGGGGGGAGUCAAAAAACGGUCGCCAGGAACCUGUUGAGAAGCUGGAGGAAGUUAUUGUUAGCAGGAGUGACCCGAGCAGAGUGGUUAAAGUCGGAUCGGAAUUGGGUGAAGAAAUAAAAGGCGAGCUGGUGAAGUGUCUACAGUCCCAUGCGGACAUAUUUGCCUGGUCUCAUGAGGAUAUGCCAGGUAUUGAUCGAGGGGUAGCUUGUCAUAAGCUGGCAGUUAGGAAAGGGGCAAGGCCGGUGAGGCAGAAAAGGAGGUGCUUCAAUCAGGAACGGUACGAGGCCAUAAAUGCGGAAGUAGAAAAACUGCUGAAAGCGGGAUUUAUAAGGGAAGCCAAGUACCCGGAGUGGAUUUCCAAUGUAGUACUGGUAAAGAAGGCCAAUGGGAAGUGGAGAAUGUGUGUAGACUUCACGGACCUCAACAAGGCAUGCCCGAAAGACAGCUUCCCCCUACCAAAAAUAGAUCAGUUGGUGGACUCAACCGCGGGUCAUAGUCUGCUCAGUUUCAUGGAUGCCUUCUCCGGAUACAACCAGAUACCCAUGAACGAGCAGGAUGAGGAAAGCACGACCUUUAUAACUAACAUGGGUUUGUUUUGCUACAGGGUGAUGCCUUUCGGCCUGAAAAAUGCAGGAGCUACCUAUCAAAGGUUGGUGAACAAGAUCUUCAAGCCAUUAAUCGGACAUACAAUGGAGGUAUAUGUGGACGAUAUGAUCACAAAGUCCAAAGAACCAAGGGAUCACGUGAAGCAUCUUGAGGAAACCUUUGAAUUAUUGAGGAAGUACGAGAUGAAGCUAAACCCGGAGAAAUGUGCAUUUGGGGUCAGCUCGGGCAAAUUUCUGGGAUUCCUGGUGAGCCAUCGAGGGAUUGAGGCCAACCCGGAAAAGAUACGAGCAGUGAUAGAAAUGAGGUCGCCACGAACAGUAAAGGAGGUGCAGAGCCUUACGGGGAGGUUGGCAGCAUUGAACCGAUUUAUUUCGCGAGCCACUGAUAAGUGUCACCCUUUCUUCCAAGUCAUAAAGAAAGGGAGGAAGAUGGACUGGACACCGGAAUGCGAGGAGGCAUUUGGACAGUUGAAGGAAUAUCUAGCCCGCGCCCCGUUACUAUCAAUUCCGAGAGAGGGUGACCAGCUGUUUUUGUACUUAGCAAUCUCUAAGUGGGCUACCAGCUCGGUUUUAGUCAGGGAAGAAGAAGGGAAGCAACGCCCGGUAUAUUACACAAGCAAGGCCCUAGUGGACGCAGAAACCAGAUAUCCGCUAAUGGAGAAAUGGGCGCUAGCUCUGAUAACGGCGGCACGCAAACUCCGACCAUAUUUCCAAGCCCACCAGAUUGUUGUGAUGACCGACCAACCCCUUCGGCAAGUACUUCAAAAACCGGACGCGUCAGGUCGGUUAGUAAAAUGGUCGGUGGAGUUGAGCGAAUUUGACCUGUCGUACAGGCCCCGAGGGGCAAUCAAGGCCCAAGCCGUGGUAGAUUUUAUGGUGGACCGCAUUGAACCAGGGGAAGGGGUCCAGGAGGGACAACCAGCAGAACAGGAGGAUUCGAAGGGGAUAUGGUUGGUGAUGGUUGAUGGUUCACGUAGUGAACAGGGAUCCGGGGCAGGAGUUAUAAUACGAAGCCCAGAAGGUGUUGAGGUAUCCUACGCUGUAAAGUUCGAAUUCCAGCUUACGAACAACCAAGCUGAAUAUGAGGCCUUCAUUAUUGGUCUCGGUCUUGCUCAUACGCUACGAGCAGAAAGGAUUGAAAUCCGAGCAGACUCCCAUCUAGUAUGCAACCAGCUCAGCGAUCAAUUCCAGGUAAGGGAAGAGAAAUUGGGAUUUUAUGUAAAGAAGGUGAGGCAGAUGGUCGAACUAUUCAAAGAAGUAGAGGUGAAGCAGAUAUCCCGGAACGAAAAUUACCGAGCUGACAUGUUAGCUAGGAUGGCCGCAACUGUAGAUCCCAAAUUACCUAAAUCAGUUCCACUAGAGGUGAGGACCUCGCCGAGUAUAGGAGAAGAAGUAGAGGUAAUGAGAGUAAGCACUGAAGAAUCCUGGAUGGACCCGAUCCUUGCAUACAUCCGCGAUGGAGUUUUACCAGAGGACAAAAGGCAAGCGAGAAAGCUAAAAUGCCGAGCAGCGAGGUACACAUUACUCGAUGGAGUACUCUAUCGCCGAUGAUUCACUUUGCCCCUGUUGAGAUGUGUGGAUGAUGAGGAGGCAGAUUAUGUAUUAAGGGAAAUUCAUGAAGGAAUUUGCGGCAAUCACUCGGGAGCGAGAACUUUAGCCUUCAAGGCACUCCGACAAUGAUACUUCUGGCCAACCAUGCAUCAGGAUGCGAAAAGGAUGGCAAAAAACUGUAAAACCUGCCAAAGCUUCUCCGAGGUUCCUGCACAACCCCCAGAGAAGUUGACCACCAUGACAUCCCCGUGGCCUUUCGCUCAAUGGGGAAUCGACUUGAUCGGACCGUUACCUAAGGGCCGAGGAGCGGCGACACAUGCAAUUGUGGCGAUAGACUAUUUCACCAAGUGGGUGGAAGUGGGAGUCCUCAGCCAAAUCACGGAGAAGAAGACAACAGAUUUUAUUUGGAGAAAUAUCAUCUGUAGAUACGGGAUCCCCUAUGCCAUCGUUACAGACAAUGGGAGACAGUUUGACAACGGCAACUUCAGGGAAUUUUGCCGAAAUUUGGGGGUGGACCUGAAAUUCUGCACCCCCGCACACCCCCAGGCAAACGGACAAGUGGAAGCGGCCAACAAAGUGAUAAAGAAGCUCCUGAAAACUAGACUGGGAGAGAAGAAGGGGGCCUGGGUUGACGAGUUACCAGGAGUGUUAUGGGCUUAUCGGACAACUCACAAGACCGCCACAGGGGAAACUCCGUUCGCCUUAGCAUUUGGUCAUGAGGCAGUAGUCCCAGCAGAAAUUGGAGUGGGGACACAUCGAACGGAAUAUUUCAACGAGGAGCAAAAUGACGAGCAGAUAUGCUUAAACCUAGACUUGCUUGAGGAGAAGAGGGUAGGGGCAUCGCAGAAAGUGGCCCAGUGUCAGCAAAGGAUGAUGCGUUAUUACAACAAGAACGUACGCGUGAGGCAAUUCCGAGCAGGAGAUUGGGUACUUAGGAAGGUGAACCAAAACACCAGGGAACCUAACCAUGGCGCCCUUGGCCCGAAGUGGGAAGGCCCGUACAGGGUGAUACGCGCCACUGGACCAGGAGCUUAUAAGUUAGCAUACCAGGAUGGGCGAGACGUGAAAAGGUCGUGGAACGCCGAGCACUUGAAGAAAUAUUUCCAGUAAGCAAAAUGCUCUACUGAAUUCUCGUUCUGACAAGUUAUUUCUGUUAAAUGCAUGAUAGCCUGUUGUACAUGCAUAUGUUCUAUGUUUUUUGUAAGGCAUUCGAAUUUCAAUAAAGAUGAAUGUUGAUGCUGAAAUCUGCUCGCCCUUUGACCGACCAGAUUCUUUCACCAACGUUUGUGUUAUCUGUUGUUGCUCGUUCACUGGAACUGGAAUCGUCCCCCUUCCUCUCAAUAGACCUGCGCUCACUAAAAACGGAUCAGAGACGCCGGUGGUUUUGCCGGCGUAAAUCCUCCGAUGCCUAAGUUAGCUCAAGGUGUUUACGGGAAAACAAUGUGAUUUGGGUUCAAGAAGUUUAUCUGAAAUUCGUAGGACAAUGAUCUGGUUGCAAUUUGGUAGCGUUUUCCCUCUCUUAGUUUUUCUGUCCCUUUCUCCGUUGAGUUCCUCCCCUUUUAUAUCCGCUGUCCCCACCUUUCCGUUUGCCCUUUAUCCCCCCCUUUUCCGGGUAGUGGCAGCCCCUCACGGGACUCUAACCGUUGCAUUGUCGCAAACGUGGGGACUUACGUGUCCUUCAACGGUUCUGGGAAAAGCGUAACGGUUGCAAUUCUGUGUUCUGUGAAAAGCGUAACGGCCGCGAUUCUGUGUUCUGGGAAAAGCGUAACGGCCGCGAUUCUGUGUUCUGGGAACAGCGUAACGGCCGCGGUUCUGUGGGAUCGUGUUCCCGCUUUCUGGGGGACAGGUAUCGGCUCGGUGUAUACCUCUGGUCGGUACAUUCCCCUAGCAGGGGUUCCCCUAUGGUCGGUUUAUGCUUGUCAGGGGUUCCCCUCUGGUCGGUUUAUGCUUGUCCCUGUGUUCGGCUCGUACCAUAGGCUGAGGUGAUCCACGCCGGGGUGGAAAUAAUAGCAUGACCGACCUGGUGCUUGUAUUUACUUAACACCAGUCCCCCAGUUUCUGGUCUUGCGAGUGAAAUGAGUCAAGAGUAGAAAUUGAUAGUCGGAUCUUAUCCAUUCUGGGGUUUUUCCUCUGGUCUUCUGUCUAAUGGGACGGAUCUGAGAUAUCAUUUUUCUUCUGAGGAGAUUCCGACCUGAGCAUGGGCCUAAAUGAACACACGCCCAUUGCAUAUCUGGGCUUACAUCUACCCUAGCCUUUUGUAACGGUUAGUGACGUGGCAUCUCCAGACUCUUCGUAUUUGAAAUUUGAAACGACGGGUUAUCUGUCCUCGAUGUACGGUGAGUGAGCUGGCGUCUCCACCACUUUAAAUGCCUUCGUUUCCCCCUUUUCGUUUCAAAUCCCUAGACUCACAUCGUCAUCGUUUUGUUACUCGUCUCUCCGUCGUUACUUAACCCCCUCUCUGAACUUUACUUACACUUCUUGUGUCUGGAGUAUCCACUUGCUGGAUUUUUUCUCUAUCACGGCCGCGCCAUCAGUGACAGUUCAAUCCAGGUAUUGCUUUUAACUUCUCCUCUGGUUGUUGUUGAUUGGGUUCUGUGUUGCCCUCUUUGUGUCCAUAUACUCGAGUUUUCUCUAUUUUCUUUUGGGAUUCCGAUAUGUCAAACCGGAGAGGAAAGUUGAUUGCUGAUGAGAGUGAUGAAGAAUCGGAGAGUUCAGGCCUCAACGUGCCAAUACCCACCGACUUCUUAGGUCCCUCCAGUAGUGUAGGUCCUUCCCAUGGGAGGGAUACCCUUGAGUAUCCACGCCCCUUAGUUGUCUUUCCCUCCCCCGAAAUAGAGCUUGUAGGUAAUAGAGGCGGACCUGCUUCGGGCUCUGGUGAGAACCACAGCUAUGGUGGGGUUAGGGUUCCUGAAGGAGUCAGUGAUGGUGAGGGGAGCAGCUCCGGACCGAGCAGACCUCCUCAAAGAAGGCAUCUUGGUCAUAGGGCAGAGGCGGAUUCUUACCCUAUUGACUACACAGCUUGUGCUACCACCGAAACCGAUAUGUUUAAGCUGAGGAACCUUUACGACAUUCCUUCAGAGGUUCUCCUGGUAGUUCCAGGAAAAGGUGACGUCCCCAGUCGGCCUCCGCGGGGGUAUGUGACGAUGCACCUGGAGAGUUUCAAAUUAGGAGCUCGGCUGCCCCUUCAACGUUAUUUUGCUAAGAUAUUGGGUGGUAUGCACCUGGCCCCAGGUCAGCUACAUCCCAAUGGAUGGAGGGUUCUCUCAGCUAUGUAUGUGUUGUGGAAGAGGUGUGAAUCAGAGGAGCCCUCCCUUGUUGAAGUGAAGCAUCUAUAUCAGCUGAGGAGUAGCCCGAGGGAAGCAGGCUGGUAUUAUUUCAUGUCGAGCUCUGCGAAGAGGAAACCAAUCACCGGCUUCCCCUCCUCGUGCAAAAAUUGGAAGAACAAAUUCUUCUUUGCUGGGGGGAAUUGGUGUCCAACAGCUCACUCGCUGGGUGGUGAUAUUUACCUUCCAACGAAUUUUGUCACCCCAGGUCGUUCAUUUUUGCCUAUAUUAUUGAUAAAAUUGCUACUUAUUGGGUUCUUUAACCUUUUGUGCUAUUUCAGAAUCGUGGGGUCUGAUUGGGGGGCUUGAAGAUCGGCCUUUGCUUCAGGUGGAAACGGCUCUAUUGAACGCGUCUACCUGCCAAGACCUUCUGUCACCAACAAGUCUGGUCGGCUCGGGCUUAGUGGAUAUAGCUGCCGGGAUGGAUAACAAGAUUCUCAGUGCUAUGACCAGAAAGCGUGGUCGAGCUUCAGGCAGCUCCAGCAACCCACCUCCUCCUCCGAAGAAAACCAGCGUAGGCCCAUCCAAGGCUCCUGUUCCUGCUCUGCCCCCUCCCCCGCCCCGUAAGAGUGGUGGGGAGAGAACUUCUGACAAGAGUCCCGAGGUCAGCCUCCAGUCUGGGGACCGAUCCUCCCCUCUGCCAUCUCGGGAACAAGGCGACUACCUGAGCUUGUAUCAGAAGGAUUACAAAAGAUCGGUGGGGCCCAAGAUGGUGAAGGACAUUGAGAGUAUGGACCUCUCAGAGUUGGCUGCUUCUGUUCAGAGAGUAUCCUUCAGGCUGGCCACCAUGGUUUCGUGUUACAAGGCCAGGGCCGCGCGCCAUGAGAGGAAGCUUCAAGCUGACAAUCAGGAGCUGAAGAAGAAAGCUGACUCUGCUGAUCGUUCCAAGGAGAAGCUGGCCGAACUAAAUCAGCAGAUGUUGGAGCUGGCGGAGAAGGUUGCGGUUGCUGAGUCCACCUCCUCCAAUCUUGAGGACGAGUUGGGUGGCCUAAAGUCUGACCUUCAAGUUGCUCAAAGUGAAAGGGAUACUUUGAGGACCGCCCUUGAGGGAGAGAUCAAAUCCCUGAGUGACCGGCUGGCUGAAGAGAAAGGCAAAUCCGCUGAUGUGGAUGAUCGGUUGGAUGCUGAGUACAACUCCGGGGUUGCUUUCAGCUACAAGUGUAUCAUGUCUGUACUCAAGGAAGAAUACCCCGAGCUCGACAUGAGCAAGCUGGAAUCUGGGGUGGAGAGGUAUAUGGCUGGGGCCAGCCAGGGAGAUAAGGAGCAGGGUGAGCAGGAUCAGGUGGAGGCUCCUUUGGAUAGGGCGCAGGAGGAGGAAAUUGGGGGACGUGCUUUCGAAGUAGGUCAAGGGUCCGUGCCUGGACCUCCCGGUAAUACUGAUCUCUCACCUUCUGAGAUUGCUGACCCUUUACCUCCCGAGGUCGCUGAUCUUUCAGCUGCUGGAGCCGCUGACUCUCAUAAUCUUUAGGCCCCCUUUUUUUUUGUAUGAACUCUUGAGUUGUAUUCGUUUGAUAAAGAAUUGAACAUUUAUGAGAUUUCCAGAUACUUUCUAUUGGAUCUCUUGUCUGGUGUUUACUUGCAUUUAGAAAAAUUUUUCGAAAAAUUAGCAGCUGGUCUUUCGUUGACCGAGCAGAAGCAGACACUCAUUUGCCUUAAUAAAAUUUACGAAAAAUUAGUUGCUGGUCCUUUGUUGACCGAGCAGAAGCAGGCACUUAUUUGCCUUAAUAAAAUUUACGAAAAAUUAGCUGCUGGUCCUUUGUUGACCGAGCAGAAGCAGGCACUUAUUUGCCUUAAUAAAAUUUACGAAAAAUUAGCUGCUGGUCAUUUGUUGACCGAGCAGAAGCAGGCACUUUGUUGCCUUCGUAGAAUUUUCGUAGCUUUAGCUGCUGGUCUUUUGUUGACCGAGCAGAAACAGGCAUUUUCAUGCCUUAGCGAAACUUUCGAGAAUUUAGCUGCUGGUCUUCGUUGACCGAGCAGAAGCAGGCAUUUUGUUGCCUUAGUAACAUCUUCAUAAAUUUAGCUGCUGGACCUCGUUGACCAAGCAGAAGCAGACACUUACUUGCCUUAGUGACACUUUCGAGAAAUUAGCUGCUGGUCUUCGUUGACCGAGCAGAAGCAGGCAUUUCGUUGCCUUAGUAACAUCUUCAUAAAUUUAGCUGCUGGACCUCGUUGACCGAGCAGAAGCAGGCACUUACUUGCCUUAGUAAAAUUUUUGAGAAAUUAGCUGCUGGUCUUUCGUUGACCGAGCAGAGGCAGGCACUUACUUGCUUUCGUAGAUUAGCUGCUGGUCUUUCGUUGACCGAGCAGAAGCAAGCACUCACUUGCCUUCGUAGAUUAGCUGCUGGUCUUUCGUUGACCGAGCAGAAGCAAGCACUCACUUGCCUUCGUAGGAUUUUCGUAGGAUUAGCUGCUGGUCUUUCGUUUGACCGAGCAGAGGCAGGCACUCACUUGCCUUCGUAGAUUAGCUGCUGGUCUUUCAUUGACCGAACAGAGGCAGGCACUCACUUGCCUUCGUAGAUUAGCUGCUGGUCUUUCGUUAACCGAGCAGAGGCAGGCACUUUCUUGCCUUAGUAGAUUAGCUGCUGGUCUUUCGUUUGACCGAGCAGAGGCAGGCCUUUACUUGCCUUAGUAGAUUAGCUGCUGGUCUUUCGUUUGACCGAGCAGAGGCAGGCCUUUACUUGCCUUAGUAGAAUCUUCGUAAAUUUAGCUGCUGGUCUUUCGUGGACCGAGCAGAAGGAGGCACUUGCCUUAGUAGAUUAGCUGCUGGUCUUUCGUUUGACCGAGCAGAGGCAGACCUUUACUUAGUAGAUUAGCUGCUGGUCUUUCGUUUGACCGAGCAGAGGCAGGCCUUUACUUAGUAGAUUAGCUGCUGGUCUUUCGUGGACCGAGCAGAAGGAGGCACUUGCCUUAGUAGAUUAGCUGCUAGUCUUUCGUUUGACCGAGCAGAGGCAGGCCUUUACUUGCCUUAGUAGAUUAGCUGCUGGUCUUUCGUUUGACCGAGCAGAGGCAGGCCUUCACUUGCCUUGGUAAAAUCUUCGUAAAUUUAGCUGCUCCAUGAUCAUUAAAAAAUCACUGCACUCAUAAAUAUGACUUUAUAAUAUUAUUCCCAUGUAAAAUUUGGGAUUGAAUACUUACAAAAGCAUGUCCAAUUCUUAAAUUGAUAAAAUAUCUAUGUAUCUAUUUUAUACAUGAUUGGUUAUGUUAUCAUGUUGUGAAAUCAAGUACUAAUUCUUCACAUUCCCAUAUGACUGCAGAAUUUACUCCUGAUAUUCCAGGAUCGUUGUGGAAUGAAUUCCUUACAUUUUGAGAUCAUCAAUUCCAUAAUGCACUAUCAAUUUAAAGUUACAUGUCUCGACAAGAGAUUUGGGCUCAUGCAUGCAUCAUUGAUGUUAAAUAUAUGUGAUGAUAAAAAGAAUAUUCAGCUAAGAAUAAUUUUUUAACUAAAAAGGGGACGCAUUUGCAAACUGAUCUGAUUAGUUUUAAUGUGCAUAAGAUAGGCAAGUUGCGACAAUAGCCGUAUUACAAUUUGCAAAAAUUGAAUGAUAUAAAAUAAUCAAGGAAGUGGUUCGAGUGCACCUGUAUUUGACCAUUUGAAAUAUGGCUUCUGACCUUUGGUAAAAUUUUUUUUUUUGUGAACUUCGUUCUGCUCUAUUGUUGUGACUGUACUUCCCCUACAGCUUCUGAACUUCCUUGUCAUGAUUAAAUGAGCAAAUUCCUUUAAUACCCGAAUUUUGUCAUUGGGCUCUGGGCAGUGCUUAAUCAAGAAUCAUUCCCAACAAUUUAAUUUGCAGAUUACUUCUGCUUCGGCCAAAUCUAAAUUGGUAGAGACAAUAUGACUUUUUGUAAUGAUCCCCACAGACGGCGCCAAAAUGUUGAUGCUGAAAUCUGCUCGCCCUUUGACCGACCAGAUUCUUUCACCAACGUUUGUGUUAUCUGUUGUUGCUCGUUCACUGGAACUGGAAUCGUCCCCCUUCCUCUCAAUAGACCUGCGCUCACUAAAAACGGAUCAGAGACGCCGGUGGUUUUGCCGACGUAAACCCUCCGAUGCCUAAGUUAGCUCAAGGUGUUUACGGGAAAAUAAUGUGAUUUGGGUUCAAGAAGUUUAUCUGAAAUUCGUAGGACAAUGAUCUGGUUGCAAUUUGGCAGCGUUUUCCCUCUCUCAGUUUUUCUGUCCGUUUCUCCGUUGAGUUCCUUUUCUUUUAUAUCCGCUGUCCCCACCUUUCCGUUUGCCCUUUAUCCCCCCCUUUUUUGGGUAGUGGCAGCCCCUCACGGGACUCUAACCGUUGCAUUGUCGCAAACGUGGGGACUUACGUGUCCUUCAACGGUUCUGGAAAAAGCGUAACGGUUGCAAUUCUGUGUUCUGUGAAAAGCAUAACGACCGCGAUUCUGUGUUCUGGGAAAAGCGUAACGGCCGCGAUUCUGUGUUCUGGGAACAACGUAACGGCCGCGGUUCUGUGGGAUCGUGUUCCCGCUUUCUGGGGGACAGGUAUCGGCUCGGUGUAUACCUCUGGUCGGUACAUUCCCCUAGCAGGGGUUCCCCUCUGGUCGGUUUAUGCUUGUCCCUGUGUUCGGCUCGUACCAUAGGCUGAGGUGAUCCACGCCGGGGUGGAAAUAAUAGCAUGACCGACCUGGUGCUUGUAUUUACUUAACAAUGAAUUCAGCAUGAAGUCCCCUGGUAGCAAGACCAGUAAAAAUGUUACUAAGGCAACAAAAUGCCUGUUUCUGCUCGGUCAACGAGGUCCAACAGCUAAAUUUAUGAAGAUGUUACUAAGGCAACAAAAUGCCUGCUUCAGCUCGGUCAACGAAGACCAGCAGCUAAUUUCUCGAAAGUGUCACUAAGGCAAGUAAGUGCCUGCUUCUGCUUGGUCAACGAGGUCCAGCAGCUAAAUUUAUGAAGAUGUUACUAAGGCAACAAAAUGCCUGCUUCUGCUCGGUCAACGAAGACCAGCAGCUAAAUUCUCGAAAGUUUCGCUAAGGCAUGAAAAUGCCUGUUUCUGCUCGGUCAACAAAAGACCAGCAGCUAAAGUUACGAAAAUUCUACGAAGGCAACAAAGUGCCUGCUUCUGCUCGGUCAACAAAGGACCAGCAGCUAAUUUUUCGUAAAUUUUAUUAAGGCAAAUAAGUGCCUGCUUCUGCUCGGUCAACAAAGGACCAGCAGCUAAUUUUUCGUAAAUUUUAUUAAGGUAAAUAAGUGCCUGCUUCUGCUCGGUCAACAAAGGACCAGCAGCUAAUUUUUCGUAAAUUUUAUUAAGGCAAAUGAGUGUCUGCUUCUGCUCGGUCAACAAAGGACCAGCAGCUAAUUUUUCAUAAAUUUUAUUAAGGCAAAUGAGUGUCUGCUUCUGCUCGGUCAACGAAAGACCAGCAGCUAAUUUUUCGAAAAAUUUUGCUAAAUGCAAGUAAACACCAGACAAGAGAUCCAAUAGAAAGUAUCUGGAAAUCUCAUAAAUGUUCAAUUCUUUAUCAAAGGAAUACAACUCAAGAGUUCAUACAAAAAAAAAAGGGGCCUAAAGAUUAUGAGAGUCAGCGGCUCCAGCAGCUGAAAGAUCAGCGACCUCGGGAGGUAAAGGGUCAGCAAUCUCAGAAGGUGGGAGAUCAGUAUUACCGGGAGGUCCAGGCACGGACCCUUGACCUACUUCGAAAGCACGUCCCCCAAUUUCCUCCUCCUGCACCCUAUCCAAAGGAGCCUCCACCUGAUCCUGCUCACCCUGCUCCUUAUCUCCCUGGCUGGCCCCAGCCAUAUACCUCUCCACCCCAGAUUCCAGCUUGCUCAUGUCGAGCUCGGGGUAUUCUUCCUUGAGUACAGACAUGAUACACUUAUAGCUGAAAGCAACCCCGGAGUUGUACUCAGCAUCCAACCGAUCAUCCACAUCAGCGGAUUUGCCUUUCUCUUCAGUCAGCUGGUCACUCAGGGAUUUGAUCUCUCCCUCAAGGGCGGUCCUCAAAGUAUCCCUUUCACUUUGAGCAACUUGAAGGUCAGACUUUAGGCCACCCAACUCGUCCUCAAGAUUGGAGGAGGUGGACUCAGCAACCGCAACCUUCUCCGCCAGCUCCAACAUCUGCUGAUUCAGUUCGGCCAGCUUCUCCUUGGAACGAUCAGCAGAGUCAGCUUUCUUCUUCAGCUCCUGAUUGUCAGCUUGAAGCUUCCUCUCAUGGCGCGCGGCCCUGGCCUUGUAACACGAAACCAUGGUGGCCAGCCUGAAGGAUACUCUCUGAACAGAAGCAGCCAACUCUGAGAGGUCCAUACUCUCAAUGUCCUUCACCAUCUUGGGCCCCACCGAUCUUUUGUAAUCCUUCUGAUACAAGCUCAGGUAGUCGCCUUGUUCCCGAGAUGGCAGAGGGGAGGAUCGGUCCCCAGACUGGAGGCUGACCUCGGGACUCUUGUCAGAAGUUCUCUCCCCACCACUCUUACGGGGCGGGGGAGGGGGCAGAGCAGGAACAGGAGCCUUGGAUGGGCCUACGCUGGUUUUCUUCGGAGGAGGAGGUGGGUUGCUGGAGCUGCCUGAAGCUCGACCACGCUUUCUGGUCAUAGCACUGAGAAUCUUGUUAUCCAUCCCGGCAGCUAUAUCCACUAAGCCCGAGCCAACCAGACUUGUUGGUGACAGGAGGUCUUGGCAGGUAGACGCGUUCAAUAGAGCCGUUUCCACCUGAAGCAAAGGCCGAUCUUCAAGCCCCCCAAUCAGACCCCACGAUUCUGAAAUAGCACAAAAGGUUAAAGAACCCAAUAAGUAGCAAUUUUAUCAAUAAUAUAGGCAAAAAUGAACGACCUGGGGUGACAAAAUUCGUUGGAAGGUAAAUAUCACCACCCAGCGAGUGAGCUGCUGGACACCAAUUCCCCCCAGCAAAGAAGAAUUUAUUCUUCCAAUUUUUGCACGAGGAGGGGAAGCCGGUGAUUGGUUUCCUCUUCGCAGAGCUCGACAUGAAAUAAUACCAGCCUGCUUCCCUCGGGCUACUCCUCAGCUGAUAUAGAUGCUUCACUUCAACAAGGGAGGGCUCCUCUGAUUCACACCUCUUCCACAACACAUACAUAGCCGAGAGAACCCUCCAUCCAUUGGGAUGUAGCUGACCUGGGGCCAGGUGCAUACCACCCAAUAUCUUAGCAAAAUAACGUUGAAGGGGCAGCCGAGCUCCUAAUUUGAAGCUCUCCAGGUGCAUCGUCACAUACCCCCGCGGAGGCCGACUGGGGACGUCACCUUUUCCUGGAACUACCAGGAGAACCUCUGAAGGAAUGUCGUAAAGGUUCCUCAGCUUGAACAUAUCGGUUUCGGUGGUAGCACAAGCUGUGUAGUCAAUAGGGUAAGAAUCUGCCUCUGCCCUAUGACCAAGAUGCCUUCUUUGAGGAGGUCUGCUCGGUCCGGAGCUGCUCCCCUCACCAUCACCGACUCCUUCAGGAACCCUAACCCCACCAUAGCUGUGGUUCUCACCAGAGCCCGAAGCAGGUCCGCCUCUAUUACCUACAAGCUCUAUUUCGGGGGAGGGAAAGACAACUAAGGGGCGUGGAUACUCAAGGGUAUCCCUCCCAUGGGAAGGACCUACACUACUGGAGGGACCUAAGAAGUCGGUGGGUAUUGGCACGUUGAGGCCUGAACUCUCCGAUUCUUCAUCACUCUCAUCAGCAAUCAACUUUCCUCUCCGGUUUGACAUAUCGGAAUCCCAAAAGAAAAUAGAGAAAACUCGAGUAUAUGGACACAAAGAGGGCAACACAGAACCCAAUCAACAACAACCAGAGGAGAAGUUAAAAGCAAUACCUGGAUUGAACUGUCACUGAUGGCGCGGCCGUGAUAGAGAAAAAAUCCAGCAAGUGGAUACUCCAGACACGAGAAGUGUAAGCAAAGUUCAGAGAGGGGGUUAAGUAACGACGGAGAGACGAGUAACAAAACGAUGACGAUGUGAGUCUGGGGAUUUGAAACGAAAAGGGGGAAACGAAGGCAUUUAAAGUGAUGGAGACGCCAGCUCACUCACCGUACAUCGAGGACAGAUAACCCGUCGUUUCAAAUUUCAAAUACGAAGAGUCUGAAGAUGCCACGUCACUAACCGUUACAAAAGGCUAGGGUAGAUGUAAGCCCAGAUAUGCAAUGGGCGCGUGUUCAUUUAGGCCCAUGCUCAGGUCGGAAUCUCCUCAGAAGAAAAAUGAUAUCUCGGAUCCGUCCCAUUAGACAGAAGACCAGAGGAAAAACCCCAGAAUGGAUAAGAUCCGACUAUCAGUUUCUACUCUUGACUCAUUUCACUCGCAAGACCAGAAACUGGGGGACUGGUGUUAAGUAAAUACAAGCACCAGGUCGGUCAUGCUAUUAUUUCCACCCCGGCGUGGAUCACCUCAGCCUAUGGUACGAGCCGAACACAGGGACAAGCAUAAACCGACCAGAGGGGAACCCCUGCUAGGGGAAUGUACCGACCAGAGGUAUACACCGAGCCGAUACCUGUCCCCCAGAAAGCGGGAACACGAUCCCACAGAACCGCGGCCGUUACGCUGUUCCCAGAACACAGAAUCGCGGCCGUUACGCUUUUCCCAGAACACAGAAUCGCGGCCGUUACGCUUUUCACAGAACACAGAAUUGCAACCGUUACGCUUUUCCCAGAACCGUUGAAGGACACGUAAGUCCCCACGUUUACGACAAUGCAACGGUUAGAGUCCCGUGAGGGGCUGCCACUACCCGGAAAAGGGGGGGAUAAAGGGCAAACGGAAAGGUGGGGACAGCGGAUAUAAAAGGGGAGGAACUCAACGGAGAAAGGGACAGAAAAACUAAGAGAGGGAAAACGCUGCCAAAUUGCAACCAGAUCAUUGUCCUACGAAUUUCAGAUAAACUUCUUGAACCCAAAUCACAUUGUUUUCCCGUAAACACCUUGAGCUAACUUAGGCAUCGGAGGGUUUACGCCGGCGAAACCACCGGCGUCUCUGAUCCGUUUUUAGUGAGCGCAGGUCUAUUGAGAGGAAGGGGGACGAUUCCAGUUCCAGUGAACGAGCAACAACAGAUAACACAAACGUUGGUGAAAGAAUCUGGUCGGUCAAAGGGCGAGCAGAUUUCAGCAUCAACAUCUAUGAUCUUAGGGAUUGAAGUUUAUGUAAAUUAGGGUUUAUUUGCUUUAUAAGAGGUGUAAAAAUUCUCAACAACUGAUAGGAGUGCAUGGUUUAAGAAUUUAUGAUUUUCUAUUAAGAUAUGUAAUAACCCUUUCUUAAUUUUCAAUUGUCCUUUUCGAGUAUAUGUCAAUUUGGAUUAUUAGUCCACAUAUACAUAAUGUAUAAAGAAAGUUACUGGCAUAGAAAUUUUUUGCACCAAAAAAAAAAAAAAAAAUUCCAAGAUGUUUUUGACUGUUGGCGGCACAAUACAUAAAGGUGAAAUUGGGUUAUCGUUUGGAGUUUUUUCAUGAGACACCCUAUGGUUUGUUUAGUGUAUGUUUUUGGCCAAAGUUUAGAAUUUUGUUUCAUUUAAGUCCAAUUGAAUUUGCAACGGCCAUCACAUGCUGUCUUAAAGCCGAAAUUUAGGAGCAAUUGCAUGUGAAAUUUCAGUGUAGUCCCUGAUAUUCUAUUUUAUUAAAUUAAAGAUAUGAUUAAUUGGAUUUAGUAUGAUAAAGCCGCCGACUUUAUGUGCAUCAAGCCUUAUAAGUUUUGUUCUCAUAAUUUUGAAUGCUUCCGCUCAUUAAUUAAUGAUCUCCGAAAUUUCUUAAUGUUCCAAUUUUAAUGUUUGAUAUUUGAGUUGAUGUUUGUGGUUUUAUUUACUUUAUUAAAGAAAUUACUUUGUUAUAAAUGUUCAAUUUGACAUUCAUAUUAUGAUAAUUUGUUAGUUACUAAAGUAGCCAAAUUAGAAAGUUUUCAUAGAUGUCAAAUUAAAUUCAAUUUCAAGUUCUCAUAAUUAUUGUGAUGCGUAUUAUUUAAUGACAUGAUGAUCUUGUUGUAUGAAUAUAUUGAAAUUCACAGAUUAUAAAAUAUUUAGGAAUUGCUCAAAAGUUGAUUAAUUAAAUUUAUAAUAUAUGAUCAUGAUUGGGGUAAUUAGUAUGCUUGUUUAGAUAUGUUUAGUAUAUCCAAAGAUAGCAAGCAUGUCUAGUUUAUGUAUAGUUGAUUACUAAUUAUGUGAAAUUACAGUUAAGCAUCAAUUAUGUUUAUUGAAGUGUAUUGUUGUAUCACCAAAUAAAUUAAGCUUCAUAAUUUUAUGUUAGUAAAUAUUAAUAAAUUAACAUAGGUAACAUUUAAUAAUUUAAAUUAGCUGUAGAAAAUUUUAAAAUAUUUUAUUGAUAAUAAAAAAAUUAGCGAUUAUUAUAUCAUGAAUUAAUUGAUAUGUAAAUUAUUUAUUUAUCAAAAUUAUUUUUCAUUUAAUUAAAUAUUAAUUGAGGUUUAAUUAUUAGUUAUCGAUAAAAAUUAACACGGUAUUGUCUUUUAUGGUCCUGACCCCCAUCUCUAAAUUAGAAGCAAUUCUCAAACCCGUCCCCAUCUCUAAGGAAAGUUUCGUCUUCAGCAUAAUAACUAUAUAAUAUCAUAAUGCAUUGGUGUGCAUUAACCAUGCUCCAGGUUGAUUUGGAAAGUCAUGAUUCUGCUUCCAUUUCAAUUUAGACUCCUUGGUUAUAAGCCAAAUGAUUUAUAAGUAAUAGCCAGUAGAAGUUCUUUUCAAAAUGGAAAUAAAUUGUCCUACUGGGAGAGUCCACAUAUGGUAUCUAAUUUGUGGUGUUAUUAUUUCAAUUGUAAGUUUCCCUAAUUCUGCCCAAUGUACAGAUUCAGAAAGUUAUAUUUGGCGAGUUCUUUUUUUUUUUUCUUUUUCAUUUUUAAAGGCUUUGGAUACAACGGCAAGAGAUAGGGAAAAAUAACAAAGAAAGAGUCCAAACUCCACAUUAUGCUAACAUUUAAAUUUCCAUUUAUACUUUGCUCCACUCAUUCUAAUGUUUACUGGCUAAUUGUAGUUUAUGGUGUAGCAUCCAGAAAAGAUGACUCACAAAAUUUAUUCUUUUGGACCACUAAGUAGCUUAAACACACACACACACAAACACAUGGACGUAUGAAUGUGUGUGUACGUAUAUGUAUAUAUAUAUAUAUGUAUGUGUGUAUAUAUAGUCCUUUUUUAAUAUGGACACCUCUUUUUUUUUUUUUUUUACAUAGACACACUAUGUAUUAAGACAUAUGGUUUAAUAAAAUUAAAUUUUAAUAGUAUUAAACUAUACAAUUUUAUCGUGUAUUAAAAAUUAAAUUUAUUAAGGUGCACGGUUAAACUGCGUGUCAAGACAAUCCCGCGCUAAUCCAAGUGAGAAAAUAGAGAGAGCUUUUGGUGCUCUAUUUCAUAACUUUUAUUUAAUCAAAAUAUCUUGGUUCGGGUACGAGGCCCAUACCCGAUCCCAAUUCAUCCCAAUUCUGUUUUUGAGGUUUUUUGGGGCCCAUACCCGAUCCCAAUUCAUCGCGAGCCAGCACAUGAGUCCUGCUCGCGGAUUACAAAAGUAAAUAUUGUGGAUAAUGGCAAGAUAAAAAUUGUGGUGGGUACGUAACGCGAAACAAAUAAGAUUAUAAUUAAAUUAAACGUGAGAAGUUACUUUUCUAGCAAAAGCUUAAUCCAACGCCUCCAUUACUUCUUUUUAUGGAUAUAUUCUUAAUUAUUUUUCGUUAUUUUAUUUCCUGUUCAUCAAGUUUGCGAUGUUUACAACAAUUAUUCAUUUGAAAAGUUAUCCAAUGAUGUCAAUACGUGAAAAUUGAGAAUAUGUAUAGCGAAAAAGGUUUUCUUCCUCCUCCUGUAUUGAUUCAAAUUAAAAAAAUUUUAUAACGGAUUUAAUGUGGUUUAAAAGUUCAAUUUUAUAUAACAUUUUAAUGACAUAAAUGGAACAAAUCAAUCACAUAAUCGAACAAAAUGAUAAGAAUCUUCUUGAUAUAUGUGCAAGAUGAAUUAUAUAAUCUUGAUUUUGGAAAAUGUGGCCAGCACUGCAAAAAUGAAGAUUAAUUAACCUUGGAUGACAAUGAUUAAUACCCGUCCAUUUCUCCUAAGCUCUGUUUCUAACUUUGAUGCGCACGGGACUUGAAAGCUUCAUCUUCCUCUAGCUUCCUUUCGUGAAACGUACUAACAAAUUAAGAAAUCAUCCAAUAUCUUUAGUACAAAUCCAAAUAGUCUCAUUUUGACUUUGAGCAAGCUUUUUAAUUCCACACUCAGAGAUAAAAUUUUGUGAAUUCACAUUAUUUAACAAAAUAAUUAACAAAUUAAUUGUGAUUAUGGUUGACGAUCAUGUUGAUAAGCAUCAUAAACAAAAUGAUUGUUGUAGAGGCCGAAAUUCCAAAAGUUUCGUUGCAUAUUUAGUGAAAUGAUGCAAGGACGAAGUAUCACUUGGCUGUAAGAAUUAGUUACCCAACAAUUUGUGGAGUUUGUUUUAGGUAAAAUAAAUAAAUAAAUAAAAAAUAGAGAGCAUAAUUAAGCCAACAUGGAUAGAGUAACUUAAGCAAUAUAUUGCACACAAUGAUUAUUUUUAUUAACUUCCUUUUUCAAGAAGACACGGUACACAAAAGUAAAUAAAUAAAAAAAUCUCUUAUACAACUCAAGAGAUUUUAUAAGUUGAACUAAGCCAAACAAAGACACUCACACAAUUGAUAGAUAAUGAUAACCCAUCAUUUUAUUUAAUUAAUAUAAUACGGAAAGAGUAACUUGCACUUAACCAGUGUAGUAAGGAUUUCUUCCGUAUUGAGGGACAAUAAAGAGAUCCAGAUUGUCGUUCAUCCUCUCAUCAUUAACAAUACUUAUCAGAGAUAUUGGAUAACCCUCAGACCACUCGACCUUCCCUAAAAAUUCACAACAACAAUUGUAUUCAUUAAUACAUAUAUUAAAAUAAAAAUUAUAAAUGACAUUCAACUGAACAUGGCCUAAGAACCUAGAUAAGGAGCUUCCAUAUUCUUCAAAUUAGAAAAGAUAUAUUCUAACUUAUGGUGAACCGUAAUCGAAAUUGAAGUUACUUUUGUUUCUGGUUUGAUAAUAUGUUGCUGGUGAUUCUGAGUCUUCGUAUAGUACAGUGAUGUAUGCAAUGCAGCCCCUUCAAUAGUAAAGAGGAAGCUUGAACAACUGGUAUUUUACUGGUUGUACAUUUAAUAAAUUUAAAAAAAUUAUUUUUAAUGCAGAAAAAAUAAAAUAAAACGGAAAAAAUUAAGGAAAUUUUGUAAAUAUUUAACACAAACAAUAUUUGAGAGAAAAAAAUAUUUUUAAUUCAACAAAGGUUAAAAAAAUUAAAAUAAGCAUGUCUCGACUCUUUUGUUUUAAUGUCAAUAUAUUAGGUGACAUUCCAAGUUAAUUUCACAUAUACCUAAUUUUGAUUAAACUUUCUCACUAAUUGGUUUGCUUAUCUCCACUUUCCGAUCCACUAGUUUUAUGUUUAAUAUUCCCACUAAACUCGUUAAAUACUAAUAUUUUGGGUCAAAUUCGAAUUAAAUUUAUUUCUCGUUAGACAAGUAUCAAAAUUCCGUUAAACUUUCUCCACAUUUGGUUCACGUGUUUCAACGAUUAUUCUACUAGUUUUUCAUUUAAUAUUUCAACUAGUUUAUCAAGAUUCCAAUUAUAUGGGUGAGAUAUUGAUAUCACUUUUUUUGGUUUGAUUAGUUCUAAAUUUUGGUAAUGUUUUUCCAUCUAUAGGUUCACAUGUUUCAACUUAUUGGUCCACUAAUUUUAUGUUUGAUAUUUCUACUAAAUUUGUCAAGUACCAAUAUUUAUUGUUAGCUUCCAAGUAAUUAACAUUCUUCGUUGGAUAAGUUCCAAGUUUUGGUUGUUCUUUCUCUCUUAAUGGUUCACGUGUUUCCUCUAAUUUUUCCCUAAUUUUGCGUUGAAAAUUGCCAUUAAUUGGUUGAGAUUCCAAUUACUAAGGUUAGGUACUAGGUUUGUUUUCUAUAACUUUAUUUUUGGUUUUGUAGGUCUCUAAUUUUGGUUGUGCUUUCCCCAUUUUUGGUUGACGUAUUUCAAUUGUAUUCAAUUGUAAUUCCACAGGUUUUGUGUUCGUUAUUCCAACUAACUUGGUAAAAUUCUAAUUAUAUGGGUUAAAUAUCAAUAUUAAUUUUGCUUGGUUUGAUUAGUCUCAAGUUUUGGUUAUAUUUUUAUCUUUUGGUUCACAUGUUUCAACUUAUUGGUCCACUGGUUUUGCGUUUCAUAUUCCUAUAAAGUUCAUUAGGUACCAGUAUCAUGGGUUAGAUUCCAAGUAAAUAUCAUUUUUUGUUAAAUGAGUUUCUAAUUUUCGUCAAACUUUCUCUCUUAAUGGUUCACGUGUUUCAUCUAAUUUUUUCCCUAAUGUUGUGUUAAAUAUUCCCAUUAACUGGUUGAGAUUCCCAUUACUGAGGUUAGGUACCAAGUUUGUUUUCUAUAACUUUAUUUUUGGUUUUGUAGUUAUCUAAUUUUGGUUGUGCUUUCUCUAUUUUUUGUUGACGUAUUUCAAUUAUAAUUCCACAAGUUUUGCGUUCGUUAUUCCAACUUAUUCCACAUGUUUUGCGUUCGUUAUUAGAAUAAAAGCAACAGAUUUCAUCAAAAUUUAAGAAUGAUUACUAGUGCUUUCAUGCUCGUGGAGGUGAGAAUGGGAGACGCUUGUUGUCUUAAGUGACUAUUCUUACCCCACUAAAUUUAAUGAAUUUAAUCAUUCCUUCUCUAUAUGGUGUUUCCACCUCUAACAAUAAUUUUCUUAAUAUUAAAAUUGUCAAUAAUAAUAAUUACAAUUAUUAUAACAAAUAGUAAUAAUGAUAAUAAUUGAUUGAGGAUAAAUUAAUAAUUUAUAAUAACUCAUUCUAAUUUAUGUUCACAAAGUAAACAUAUUAAUAGCGAUAUAGAAUAUUCCAAUUGUGUUUCAUUCAUCCAACAAAUAUCAUAUUUUGUUUGUUAUUCUUCAUUUUUAUUGUAACCCAUUCUAAUUCUAUUUUUUUUUAAUUUUUUUAAAUUUCAAUUAUUUAUUAGUGAACACAUAAAAAAUUUAAUAAAAAUCAAAUUUCAGAUUAGAAAGAGCAUGCAAGGUAGACUUUUGUAGGGCUUGCAAAUCAUAUUGUAGGUAUUUGGAAAUUCACAAAAAGUAAAUAAUGUUAUGUACAGACAUAAGUUCUCGUUUAUAACGUUUUGCUGUAUUUCACUGACACUUUGUUAUAUAAGGUGAUAAUGCCAUGUUUGGAUGCUAGGAUUAAGUAUGGGAUUGGACUAAUUUUGGGAUUAAAUAUUUAUCCAAUGUUUGUCAAGCUUAGUUGGAUUGGAUUAAGGGGGUAGUAAUUUAAAUUUAAUCCUAAAAUCAUGGGAUUAAUAAUCCUAAUUUACGCAUGGGUUUAGUUGGGAUAAAAUUAAUGAAAAAAGUUGUCCAUUUAUGAGAUUUUUAUUUAUAUCAUUUUUUUAUUUGCACCUAAUAUUAAUUAAUUAAUUAAUUUUUAUUAUGAUUUACUUAAAACUUAUUUUUAUUUAUUAUCUAUGAUCUAAUUAAAUUAAUAUCUUUACUUGUAUUAACUCUAGAGAUUAAAUUUUCACCACUUAUAUAUUUAGUAAUUUAUCAAUAAAAUUAAAUGUUUAAUUAUUUAUUUCGCAAACACACCAAUAUUACAUAAUUUCCCUAUUAUUGCCAUCGGUUCCCAAACAUCCAAGAGCUGGUUGGCAACAAGAGAAAAAAUAGGGGUGACAUAACGACGACUAUGUAAUCGUGGCCAAUAAAUUGUUUCACAGUACCUAAUUAUAGCAACGAUUAAAUGCAACCUGAAAUCUGCUGUUGAAGUCAUAGUUAUGGAAAAUUUUACAAGCUUGAAAUAAGACCAAAAAAUUAUAAAGAGUAAUGUUAAAUAUCCCAAUUAAAAUUAUGCCACUAUUCAAUCACAAAUAUAGGAUAGGUGACUAUAAUUUUUCUAUAAGUAAUGCUUUGGUUCUUUUAAUAGUGUGAUGAGUAAACGUUAAUUUUUUAUUUUAACUCAUGAUCGUUAAGAGAAAUUAAAUUUGGGGUGUGUUUUUCAAAUAAUCUGACCCUUUAAAAAUAUAUAUCUCAUCCUUCUCCCCGUUCCACAUCAAAAACCACUUUUUCCAAUUUUCUCCCACAGGAUGCAGGAAUGAAGAAUGCAUUGAAGGAGAAAUUACCUAUCCAAACAUCCAUACAUGGAAAUCAUCAACACAAACCACAAAAUUAAGCUAUCUUAUGAAAAAUGUCCAUAAUGCAUAAUCAAAACAUAACAAGUAUUGACAAAUUUGAAAACAAAAUACAUAAUAAUCAUAAUUUCUGGGCAUAAAACCAUGGGAUAAUCACUGAGGAGGUGGCGGAGAUGAAGAUGAGGAUGGCGGCGAAAUCCCGAGAGUGCGGCUGAUGAGCUGCUGGUCAUCUAGAAUCUGGUGCUGCUGUGAAAAAAGACGCUGCUGCUCAGAAUAGAAGUGAUAGUGGAACGCUGCAAACCGUGUCUGAAGCUCGUUCUGUUGUAUAGAUAUGGAACAGAUUAAAACUAUCCAUUUAUAUGGGUAAUGAGUAACUACCUUAUCUUUUUAAUAAUUAAAAGAAAAUUAUUCCUUUAAUUAUUGGUAGAAUAUAUUUUCCAAUUCACUAUAAAAAAUAAAUACUCCUAGAGUGAAGAAUAUAAGUAUAAAUUGAAAUACAAAUUUGUUUUCACUUAAAGUGUUUUCUCAAAUUUUUUCCCAUAAGAAACUCAAAAAUGUAUUAAUGAAUAAGUUGUAAAACAGAAAGUGGACAAGCCGUCCGCUUAAAAACAAAGCCUAGCACUAUUUGUGCCAUACGAAAGUGUACCCAAUCACCCUAAAGUGUUUUCCAACUUUUUCUCGUAUUUUUUUUAAGAAUACUUAAUAGAUUAAAUAUUGUAAUAUAAAAACUGAAGACGAAAACAAACAUGCAUGAAAGUUCCAAUAAGGUUGCUGAUGCCUUAUCUCAAGUACAUGCGGAUCAAUUUUCCGACUCCAUAAAUUCUCAAGCUGAGUUCUACUCUAUAAUGCAAAUAAUAUUUUGUUUUUAAUUCAAUUUAGCACCCUACAAGAAGAGAUUACCUUAUCGCUUCCAAUCCCUCCUUUAGAUCUAAGCCACUUCAUGAACUUCUUGAUCCUUGAUUCGUUCCAGAAUGUGAUAGGAAGUAUAUUCCUAUCAAGCUGAAUGUUGUCAUAUGCAACAUUAUGGAGAUAAAAGAUCUGCAUGAGCAACUUAUAAUUAAGAAGAAUAAUAUUAUUCAUGGUAAGCAUAUGCUCAGCUUUAGUUGCAGAAACUAUGUCACCUGUAGGAAGUGCAAACAACCUCCAAUGUAUGCUGCUUGUUGUUUCCACUAUUUCAUUGUCACCAGAAUGUGAGUUUGAAUUACCCAUCCUUGUAUCUCUCUUUUUGUACCUUGCCUUUUGUUCGGGAGGAAUUUCUGUGUAGGUUUCCCCAAUAUGUUUCCGUAACUGUCAAAAAGGUAAUGAAUAUGUCUUAAAACAUAAAAAAACCCGCAAAAUAAUAUCUGUACAUGCUACAUUUAUUUAAUAUACUAAUCCCAAUUGUAAUGGAAAAAUAUGAAUUUUCACUUCUCAAACGCUUAACUUCUUCAUUGCUGUAAAAGCAUAACAUCUAAUUACUGUUAUCUGAUAUGGGCGUGUUUAUUUUCCGAUAGGUAAAUCACAACGACUACUUCCAAGUAAGAGACAAAUCCAUAAGUUGAAGACGUUGGAACUGCAACCUAACCAUCUGCUUUUAGAAUAGGAGCACUUUUUUCUGUAAGCCCCCUGGUAGUUGUUUACGCUUUCGUUGGUGACUGUCCAAGAAAAAAUUUAAAUAAUUAAGUGAAGGAUAAUUAUUCCAUCAAUAUGUAUUAAAUUAAAAAAAAAGAGUUCCCCAACAUUCUUAUCCGGCUAAUUUUUAUAUUAAAUUAAAAAAUAUUUAUUAACUUUAACUUAAAAACAAAUUUAACCUAACUCUCACAUUCACACGCACUCACAACACUUUACCAGCAGCCACAACCCACAAAUCCCUAACACCCAAAUCCCCCCAAUUCCGUAGGAUGUCGCCGUCUGGCUCACGGCCUCGCCUAAGCCUCGUGUCCAAGCCUCGAUCAGAGUCGGUUGCUGUCGUUGCGCGCUGCACGCCUCGAUCUGAGUCGGUCGCUGCCGCUGCACGCUCGAUCUAAGUGAGUUGCUGCCGCUACACGCUCGAUCUGAGUCAGUUGCUGUCGAAUCCUCGCCAUCGAAGAAGCCUCUUGCCGUCGAAUCCUCACCAUCUGAGAAGCCUCGUCUAAGCACUUUAAUUAAAAUGGUCCUGGCAAGCCUUGUUGAAUCCUUUGGCCUUUGUUGAUUCAAUUUAGUUUAAUUUUGAAUAAAUUUCUUUGCUGUUUCGUUUCAUGAUACGACCUCAAAUGAAUAUUUGUCAGUAUCACGAGGUUUCCACCUUUCGAGCAGGUGUGAGCUCCACAAGAACAGAGAGAAAAUAAUAGAGAUAAGAAAGAAAGAAACUUUUGUGUAUUAUCCUCAUGUCCAGCUCACGCCUUUCCACUUUACAUAUAUCCUUUCCAUUCUACCACUUUUUGUGUAACUAACCAAUUGCAAUAAUAAAACAAAAUAAUAGAAAUCACAGUUGUCCUCAUGGAAUAAUUCUCCCGAAUAUUCCCCUAGGUGAUAUAGUCCUUGAGAUAUUUUGGAGUUUUGCGAACAUGAGCUGGCCGUUGCAAUGUUUGCUCCACUUCCUGCAUUUCAACUACAGGGCCAUCUUCAAGCUCCCUUACUUUAAUGGGCCAGGAUGUAUCAUUUCAUCACUUUAAUUAAAUGCAUUAAUUUUCAAUAUAAUGUAAAUGUUUAAUAGGUUUUGGGAUUAGGUUUUAAUUUGGAAAAUUGUUGAAUUUUUAAAUUAAAAAUUUAAAUCAAGUCUUGGUGAAACCUGUUGUCAUAUGCUGAUUAACAUCGCUAGUCUCUGAAAUAAUUUGUUGAUUCAAAAUUUAAAUUGUGAGUUCAAAUUUGAUGCAGAAUGGGCAACCAGCCUACUGCAAACAAAUCUUCUGGAACAGUUCAGAUGAAGGGACAACCAAUCCAGCAAAACAGCAACUGUUGUUGUUAGCCGAGCAUGUUAUUUUACUACUACAUGUAAUCCCCCAUAGAGUGCUUGAAAAUGUGUUAUCUUCAACCCACUGUAAUAGCUUGUGUUGUAACAAAAUUCAGCCCAGCCUAACAAGCUUGACCAUGAUUGUGGUUUGUCCUGAGUAAAGGCUCUUAAGUACUGUUCGAGGCCACGAUUCACUACCUCUAUUUGGCCAUCAGUUUGAGGGUGAUAAGCAGUACUGUGCCGCAAUGUAGUGCCACUUAACUCAAAUAGUUUCUGCCAAAAAUUACUCAUGAAUAUAGGAUCUCGAUAUGAUAUUAUUGAGCUUGGAAACCCAUGUAACUUGACUACCAAAUCAGCAAAAAGAUUGGCUGUUUUGCUGGCUGUGAACGGAGAUGGCAAUGCACCAAAGUGGGCUGAUUUCGUUAAGCGAUCCACUACCACCAAGAUUACCUCGAAGCCUUUAGAAGUUGGCAAGCCUGUAAUAAAAUCCAUAGUCAAAUCAUCCCAAACAAGUGAAGGAACAGGUAAAGGCUGAAGUAAUCCAGCAAGUGCUUGAGUAGAAUUUUUAAUUUGCUGACAUGUAAGACAAGCAGCAAUGUAGUUCUCAACAUCAAAGCGCAUUUUCGGCCAGAAAAAAGUAAAAGAAAGCCGAACUAGGGUGCGUUUCACGCCUGCAUGCCCUGCCAUGGGGGAGUCAUGGAAUUCUUUAAGAAGCGCGCUCUUUAAUUUGGAGUGAGGACUGACGUAGUAUCGAUGGUAGUAAAGUAAUAGUCCCUCACGAAUCGAGAAGGCUGAAGAAAGUUCUCCCGCUGCAAACUUGUUAUGAAGUAACAACAGAUCAGGUAAGGAUGAAUUGUCCUCAUGCAAAGUGGUUAGGAUAUCCACGGUUGGCUCGGAGAUUAUAGAGAAGAACUCAGCUUGAGAAUUUAUGGAGUCGGAAAAUUGAUCCGCAUGUACUUGAGAUAAGGCAUCAGCAACCUUAUUGGAACUUCCCGGCUUAUACUCAAUUCAAAAAUGAAAACUCAACAAUUUCCUGACGUAAGCUUGUUGUUCAGGAGUUUGAAUUACCUGCUGAAACAACUCUUUAAUGCUUUUAUGAUCGGUUCUGAUGAUGAAAAAUCGACCGAGUAAGUAUUGGCGCCAUUUUUGUAGAGCAGCAACAAUAACGUGCAGUUCUUUGAUAUAAGCCGAGGCAACCCGCAAUCGAGGACCCAACUUUUGACUAAAAUAAGAAAUGGGAUGACCUUGUUGCAUCAAUACUGCUCCAAUUCCAAUAUUGGAAGCAUCCAUCUCUAGAACAAAUUCAAGCUCAAAAUCGGGUAAAUGCAAUACCAGGGCAGCCACCAUUGCAUUUUUUAAAGUCAUAAAGGCAUCCGAAGCUGCUGGAGACCAAUGCAAUGCCUCUUUACACAACAAAUCUGUCAAUGGGGCUGCAAUUGAAGCAUAACCUCGGAUAAAUCGGCGAUAAUAGCCUGUGAGCCCUAGAAAGCCCCGUAGUUGCUUAACAGUCUGCGGCAAUGGCCAUUCCACCAUGGCUGUAAUUCUUUUAGGGUCUGCCUUUACUCCUCCAGUAGUCACUAUAUGGCCCAAGUAAUCAAUAGCUUCUUGGCAAAACAGACACUUCGACAAUUUGACAUAAAACUGAUGUUCUUGCAAACGAAACAAAACAUGUUCCAAGUGAUUGACAUGAGCAGUCAAUGAAGAACUAUAAACCAAAAUGUCAUCGAAAAAAAUAAUAAAAAAUUUGCGUAAGUAAGAUGCAAAUAGUUGAUUCAUAGUUGCUUGAAAUGUCGAGGGGGCAUUAGUUAAACCGAAUGGCAUGACCAGAAAUUCGUAAUGCCCCUUAUGAGUACGAAAUGUUGUUUUAUAAGUAUCUCGCUUAUGAACUCGGAUCUGGUGCUAACCAGCUCUCAAAUCCAGCUUGCUGAAAAUCCAUGCUCUUCCUAGCUCAUCAAAUAAUUCAUCAAUUGUGGGAAUAGGAAAUUUAUCCGGCACUGUGACUGCAUUCAAGGCUCGGUAAUUGACACAAAACCUGUAUGUGCCAUCCUUUUUCUUGACCAACAAAACGGGAGAGGAGAAAGGGUUGUGGCUUGGCUUUAUUAUCCCCUGUUCUAAAUUUUCCUUGACUAGUUUUUCCAUUUCUGUUUUUUGAAAAUGAGGAUAUCUAUAGGGCCUCACAUUCACUGGCUUUGAAGUAGGCAGGAGGUGGAUUUUAUGGUCAAUGAGUCUAUGAGGAGGUAGACCCGUAGGUGGUGAAAAUAAAGUUUUAUAUUGUUGAAGGAGAAUGGUGAUUUGUUCGGGUAACUGGGUGGGAAGGUGAAGUCCCGAUAGUGAGAAAUUUGUAUCGGAAUCAAGUGUGUCAUUGAUAAUGGGAUGCAGCUCAAAUAAUGAAUGCACGACAUCUGUAGAUAACAAGGCAUGAAAUUGAUGGAAGGAAAUCAUAUUAGGGGUUUGGAUGGGGUCACCUCGUAAAAUGACUGGAUUGCUCUCCUAACAAAAUUCCAUAGUCAUUGCACGGUAGUCUGUAGAUAUUUUACCAAGAUGUUGAAGCCACUAGAUUCCCAGGACAGCAUCGGGACCUUCAAUUGGCAAUAUAUAGAAAUACAACUUGAAAGUGUAACCCUGUAUCACUAGUGGCACUUGAAGACAUUGAAAACGGCAAAUUAAGAAGUCGCCAUUACCAAUAUAAACCCGAAAAGCAGGGAUAGAUUGAAUUUUCAGGCCAAGUCAUUCUGCCCAUUGUGGUUUGAUGAAGUUGUGUGUACUGCCACUAUCUAUUAAAACAUGUAAGUGUUGGCGGCCAAUUUCUCCUAUUACUCUCAAGGAACGUAGGUUAGAUUGCCCAGCUAGGGCAUUUAAGCUGGAUAUAUCAACUGUCACAACUUUCUCUGUUUGUUCAAGCAAAGGAAACUCCUCCGAUGGUUCACUGUCAUCAUCAUCUGUGCCUAACAACAAGAGAAAUUUACUACGGCAAUGAUGGUUUGCACUAUAUUUCUGGUCGCAAUUGUAACACAACCCCUUUUCUCUUUUUUCUUUCAAUUCCACCGGGAAGAGACGACGGAUGAGGAGGGCUGGAGUGGGUAAAAGUGGUGGUAGUGGUAUUGGUUUUGGGGUAGGUAAAAGUGGCGGUUGGGAUGAUGGUUUUGGAGUAGCAAAACUGGCAUGUGGAUAAGUGGAAGGAAAUUUGUUGUGGACAUGGUGAGUGAGAGCAUGGGUGGUUUGUUGUGGUUGAGGAGUAACAGCGUAGAGCAGGGGUGGUUUGUUGUGGUUGAGGAGUAACAGCGUUCCAUUUUGUCCAAGGACGGCCUGAAAUUUUUGACUCCUCAGAUUUAGCUUCAUAUGCUCGUGCUAGAGCAAAGGCUUCCAUGAGGGACGUGGGUCUGCCAAACAACAACUCUUGCCGAAUGUCAGGUUUUAAGCCAGUGAUAAAGAAACUUAUCAGUAACGGCUCGAAAAUGCCCGUGACUUUAUUCAUAAACUCUUCAAAGGCAGAUUGAAACUCUGCGACUGUAGAUGUUUGUGUGAGCUUGGACAAAUUGCCCUGAUGAUCUUCAUACAUAGAAGCACCAAACGUUGUUUGAGAUUGAUUAAAAAACUUUGCCAAGUGCUCAAUAGAUUGUUGGCUUUCAUCGACUGAAACCAUACAGCAGCUUUUCCUUCCAUGUGAAAAGAAACAAUACGUAACCGUAGAUGAUCCGGGGUGCCAUGAAAAUCAAAAAAUUCAUUGAUUUGAAAAUCCCAUCCAUUUGGAUCAAUGCCAUCAAACUUUGGAACCUCCAUUUUCAUGGAGCGUAACAGAGGUGAAUUAUCUGUACUACUAACAAGAGUAGUGGACGGUGUUGGGAAAGCCGUCGACGAUGUCGGAACCGUAGUCGAAGAUGACGGUGUUGACGCCAGAGGAUGUGAUGAACCUCCUGAAACUCCGAUAGAACUACUGAUUUGAGACCGUAGCUCCUCAAAACGAGAAUCAACUGUGGACAUAUAUUUUUGGAGGUUUUGAUGAACAACCAGCGUGUGGCUUUCAAGAAGUGUUUGCAUCUUAGAAAUAAUCUCAGGAUCCGUUGUGGUCUCUUGGUUGGUCAUUGUUGCAGAGAAAUAGGGCGUAGAUGACAGAGAAUGACAAGGAGAAGAAAAAGACAAUGAAAGCACCAGUUGAUAUGACCUCAAAUGAAUAUUUGUCGGUAUCACGAGGUUUCCACCUUUCGAGCAGGUGUGAGCUCCACAAGAGCAGAGAGAAAAUAAUAGAGAUAAGAAAGAAAGAAACUUUUGUGUAUUAUCCUCAUGUCCAGCUCACGCCUUUCCACUUUACAUAUAUCCUUUCCAUUCUACCACUUUUUGUGUAACUAACCAAUUGCAAUAAUAAACAAAAUAACAGAAAUCACAACUGUCCUCAUGGAAUAAUUCUCCUGAAUAUUCCCCUAGGUGAUAUAGUCCUUGAGAUAUUUUGGAGUUUUGCGAACACGAGCUGGCUGUUGCAAUGUUUGCUCCACUUCCUGCAUUUCAACUACAGGGCCAUCUUCAAGCUCCCUUACUUUAAUGGGUCAGGAUGUAUCAUUUCAUCACUUUAAUUAAAUGCAUUAAUUUUCAAUAUAAUGUAAAUGUUUAAUAGGUUUUGGGAUUAGGUUUUAAUUUGGAAAAUUGUUGAAUUUUUAAAUUAAAAAUUUAAAUCAAAUCUUGGUGAAACCUAUUGUCAUAUGCUGAUUAACAUAGCUAGUCUCUGAAAUAAUUUGUUGAUUCAAAAUUUAAAUUAUGAGUUCAAAUUUAAUGCAGAAUGGGCAACCAGCCUACUGCAAACAAAUCUUUUGGAACAGUUCAGAUGAAGGGACAGCCAAUCCAGCAAAUUUGUUCUCGUUUAUUGAAAUGACCCUCUUGUCGCUUAUCUAUGACUUGGAAGUCCGGUCAUAUCAGAUGGGUAAAGUUGCCGAAACGGCAUCAUUUUGGGUGAAAUAUCAUAUUUAUGCAACACUUGAUGAUAUUUUUAUGCAACAAAAAAAUGUUUGUGGUAUCCUUUUCGCAUUGUGAAGCGCAUGGUCGGAUGAGAGCAGUCUGGAUUCUGGCAUCACAAGCGAAUGCUUUGAUUUGCUUAGUUUGUUUUUUGUUUCUGAUAUUUUCUUGACAUUGGGUGGGAUAUUGUUUCUCUUUUGGGUUUCCCUUUUUUUGUUUUUUUUUUGUUACGGAAUUUGGAGAUAGUGUACAUGUAUGAAGAUGACGUAAUAAAGUUGUUUUGGUAAAUUUCCUUGGUCGGUUUACUUCACUAACCAUUAAUGCGCAAAACUCCUAAUGACCCUAAAAAAUCCCGUUCAUAAUUAAAGAAUUUCAAUUUUAUAUGUACAAAAAUAAAUAACUCUCAAAUAAAUUAUUUGAUAAUCCCAAAAACAGCAAUUCACUCUAAUAAAUCUGGUAGCAAAUAUAUGGUUUAUAUUGCAAGUCUUUUCGAGACUAAUUCAAAGAGAAAAUACAAAGGUCAUAUAAUUGACCUUUGCCUGUCAUAAAGAAUUCUAAAUAAAUUCAUAUACGCAUCAUAGCUAAUUACAACCUUAAUACUUUAUUUGGUUUUUGUUAAUUUUCUGUAGAGUUGUGUUGUGCGUAAAAGUUUUGUUAAAUGUAAUCGGUAGGUGAAGAGAAUUUUUAGAAGCAUACAUCAAAGUAAUGAUCAAUAUAAAUAUUGAUUGUCUCAAGUUAGAUUCCACAAAGAUGAAAUAAUACUAGGCUAGUAAAUUCAAUCAUAAUAAUUUGACUUCCAUUAUAUUAAUUAUGUCCAAUCAUGCUACUUUAAUAAAGAACGCUCGACCAUUUAUAUGUAUACAACAUACGAAAUUAAUUACAAAACGAUCUUUGACAAAGUCUGACCGGUCAACUAUCCGUCAAAUUCUGUAUUGUGUUACCGUUGAACUCUCAUGUCAAAUAUGGAUAGACAGUGCUUUGGCUAACAGUGAGAUAUAUGCGAGCAUAAGAGCUUCGUUCUCUAUUUUAAUGGCGUUUCUCUUUGUGGUUGUUGGACAAACUGUAAUGUGAAUUUCUAUCUAAUGGGUAUCCUAAUGCUUUUAGUUAGUUUGGGAUUGUUGAUUUAUAUAUGACGUUCAGUAUCCAAAAUUCAGAUGAUGAUAACCUUCAGUACUUUUUUUGUCAUAUUUCCUUUCGUGUUGGUGUUAGUAUCUUAAUUUUGUACCCAAUGUUAAGGACAAUAUAUACCUAAUUUGAAACUUCUAUAAUUUUACAUAUAUAGAUGCAAAUUCAUUUUUAAGAGUGCAUUUAGGACCCGUUUGGGGCAGCUGUACUGCCACCGCGCAGCUGCUCCCCAGGCCAAUUUUAGGGAAAUAUUCCUCCAGAAUUGGCCUGGGGAGCAGCUGCGCGGUGGCAGCGUAGCUGCCCUAAACGGGUCUUUAAUCAAGCAAUCCAGGCAUUUAUACUGAGUAAUUGGUUCAAUAUUAAUACAAAAUUAUUUAAAGUAACAUGUGGCAUAUUCUAAUUCCAGUGAGCUUCCAACUCAAAUUCCCAAUUUACAAGAAACGUUUUCAAUUUUCUCCAGAACAUUCUACAAAACGUUUCUUUUAGUCUCUACGCUGUGCUAGAGUUUUCUCUAAGUUUUUUUUCCAAAGACUUCUAAAGAACUAUCAAGAUACCGAGCUAUAAUCCAAUCUAAGCGUAUAUAUCUCUCUCUAUUUCACAUCCCUCCAUUUCACCAGAAGAUCAACAAACACUUAGCUUCGAAACAAACACUCUAAAAAAGCUAGCUUAGCUACGCAGAUGGCGAAAUCAGGAAUUCUUGCAAUGACAAUCUCGUUUCUUGAUAUGGCAGCAACAUUGAUAAUCAUGGCAUCACAAGCAAACGCUCUGAUGCCGUACACAUGAUCACCUUUCUUUGACGUGAUGUUUGCAAUAACAGAAGAUCCUUUCAAGGUUCUUGAACAGACCCCUCUAACAAUCCCAAAAGGAGUUGAUCAUCAUAAAACUCUAGCCCUGGCGAGAGGAGACUAGAUGGAGCACCAACAGCACACGUGAUCACGAUCGACAUUCUAGGGAUGAAGAAAAAUGAAGUGAAGAUUGAAGUUGAAGAGAACAGGGUACUGAGAGUGAGUGGGGAGAGGAAGAGUGAUGAUUAUUAUAAGGAGGGAGUUGAAGGAGAGAAAUGGCACAGAGCUGAGAGAACAUUUGGCAAGUUUUGGAGGCAGUUUAGGAUGCCUAUGAGUGCUGACUUGGAACAUGUUAAGGUUCAUUUGAAAAAUGGUGUUCUGAGGAUCACAGUGCCAAAGCUUGCUGAGGAGAAGAGGAGCCGAGGAGGCAACCUAAGGUUAUUAGCAUUAAUGAAGAGCCUGUAGGUAAUUUUUCAGGUGAAGAUAUUAAGGCCACCAAGGCUCAAAGGUGAUUGAUUAAAGAAAGAAGUGAUUGCUUCGCUUGAUGUGCUAUUUGUUUAUGAUCUUUUCUUAGUUUUGUUGUGGGAUAUUUCUCUCUGGACAUUCUGUUUAUUGUAUUUUGAUGGGUUUUUGAAGAUGGCUUGUAUGUAUUAACAACAAGAAAGUGUUUUUUUUUUUAUAAAUCCGGGUCCUAAAUUUGUAAAAGAAAUUAAUACGCUUGGUUUAUUGUUAAUAAAAAAAAAAAGAAAAAGCCUUUUUCUUUGGCAUAUAUUAUGCAUUUUAAGAAAAAAAAUUCACACUCCAAUUCAUAAAGAUAUUCUUUUUCUGUCAUAUUAAUGUGUCAGUUUUGAUGAAUCUAAAUAUUCAAUAACUAAUAAAUUAUAUUUAUAAGUAUUAAAUAUUAAUAGCGAUGGCACAUAAAUAAUUAAUUCAAGAACUUGCCCAUAGUGCAUUAAUUUAAAGAGUAUAAGUAACAUUGCAAUACAGUCCAGCCCUUACGUGUUUAAUUAGCAAUUGAAAAUUACUUUAUAUUGUACAACACCAUUAAAAGAACAUUAUAACACUGUUGCUGAUGGGCAGCUGGUAAUUCUUUUGGUGAAGAUAUUAAGGCUGUUAAAGCUGAAAUGUAAUCAUAGAAAUAUAAUGUAUUCCCUUAGUUUACUUUUUGUUUUUUAUGCUUAGAUUGCUUUUUGUUUUUGAGAUUUUAUUGGCUUAGUCGUGGGAUAUUGUUUUCUCUUCUAAUUUUCUGUUUUUUGUCGUUAUGAGAUUUAAUGAUGGUGUGUAUGUACGAAAAUUAUGUAAUUUCAAUAAAUCAUGGUCGGUUUACUAUUAAUUGAUCAAAUUAAAUUUAUUCAAAUUACUCUGAUCAAAAUAAUUUCAAUUCCAUGAUAUAUAUGCACGUGUGCGCACACAAACAAAAUGUAAUUAACUUUUAAAUAUAAAAUAUUUAAAAUAAUCACCGUACUAACAAUUCACAAGUUAGAUUAUACAUAAAUAGACGAAAUAAUACUAAUCUAGCGAUUCCAAUCAUAAUAAUUUGAUUUUCAUUUAUAUUAAUUAUGUCGAACCAUGCUAUUUUAAUAAAGAACAUUUGAGAAUAUAUAUAUCCAACAGGUAAAAUUUCAGAACAAUAUUUGCCAAAUUCUGAUGAAGAGAAUAUACACGCACACACAUAUAACCGUACAACAGAAGGAUAAAUAAAAGAAAAUGAAGUUUCAACGGCUGAAUAAUUUUAUUGUUUAAUUUAAAAAAUUCAAAAACCCAUUAUAUACAUGAUAAAGACUCACCGACGCCGAACCAUAUUAAUUUAAAUUAGUUUUCAACUGAGAUUUGAAUUUUGAAAUUACAUACACAAACACGCCCAAUUUAAAAAAAGAAAGUCCUAAUUAUAAACAAUUCAAAUCUAUAGCAACAUAAGGUAUAUGGGUUAACAAGUCCCAAUAUUCUCCUCCAUCCUUUCUGCACUUCUCUGCUAUCAACGGACAUUCCUCGAUCUCUAAUUGCAAAAGGGAGGAAGGCAGGCCCUUCUCCGGAAAGUAUUUGAGCUUGUGACAAUUAUAGAGUUCCAAUGAAGUGAGGUUUUGAAGAUCAACAAUUGAAGAAGAUAGGCGUUCCAGAUUUGGAAAAUCUUCAAUCCUCAGUGAUGUUAGAGAGGCAGGAAGAGGAAGCGCGGUCCCUAAUCUUUUGUCCUCUAGUGGAAAUGACACCAUGUCGUCAUCGCAUCCGCUGAUUUUAAGAUGUCGCAGAGAGGAGAAUCUGUGAAAUCCCCGGCCCCGCUCAAUCAUUGACUUCCAAAUCUCCAUAUUACCCCAAAUACGAAGUGACUGAAGGUUGGUGGGAAGGUCAUCUUCUUCAAGGCUUGGAAGCUCACCUCCUAUUGUUAAUCCUUGAAGAGAGGUCAGAUUGUGCAAUCCCUUGGGUAAGGCCUCUAGUCUCUUACAAUCGUAUAUCUUCAGCCUCUUGAGUUUUGCACAAGGCAAUCCCCCACAACUCCUAAUACUAAUCUCUCGAAGCUGGCGGAGAUUACGUAAACCACUCGGUAAAAUUUUCAGAUUUCCACAAUUAGCAAUCCCGAUUUCUUCAAGAGAUGAGUUGUUGUCCAACCUUUCUGCUAUUGACUCCAGCUUUGAACAUUUAUAAACAUAAAGGGACUUAAGAGACGGAGGUAGAUUGCCAACUUCAAGGGACUCAAGCAUGGCAGGUAACUCGUUUUUUGAAUAUAUACAUGUCAAAGAUGGACAACGGCUAAUUUCUAACUUCUCAAUAAGAGAUGAGUUGUACCUUCCGCUGCUGCUGCUACUCUGGAUGACCUCUUCCACUGUCAAAGUCCUUAUAUUAUCGCAACGCCAGAUCGUCAACUUCUUAAGGCUCGAUGGUAGCUGGACAGCAGCAAUAUAUGUCAACGAACGGCAACCCUCAAUAUACAAGAUCUCGAGAGACGAAUUGGUGUCGCACAUCCAUGCCUCUGGUAACGAUUUCAGUGCAUCACAUUCUCUAAUCUGAAUUUUCUUCAACUUGGAAGGCAGAGCAACCUCAGGAAAGGAAACAAGGGAACUGCAGCCGUAGAAUUCUAUCUCUCUCAAGGAACUGAGGCUGAACGAUGAUUGUGGCAGCUUCACAAGGCCUUCGCAAUAAGUCAAUCUUAGAUAUUCAAGUCUGCAUGACAACUCGCACAGCUGCUGUUGUUGGUCUUUCUCUUCCUCCGCCACCAAGGAUUGAAGUUUGGGACAGCUUGUAAUCGUCAGUCUUUUGAGAGAGCAAAUGUCUUGCAGUAAUUCGUUAUGACUCUUCCAUAUAUAUGUUUCAUUUUUAAUAUUUUUUAUCCACAAUUCUUCCAGUUUUGGUAUUCGCGGCCUCAAUGGCCCUGCGAGAAACACUUGAUUUGAUGUAUCUCUACAAACCACUGAAUUCUGUGACCCGAGAUGAUCAGUUGCACUUCUCCACACAACCUUUUUACAUCCACCAAUAUGCAAGUUGCAAACAGCUGGAAGACUCGUAACUGAAACUGACAAUUCUUCACAUCCUUCAAUUACAAGCAUCUCCAAUGCAGGAAGGUGUUCUGGAAAUGUUCCUUGCAGCUUAGAACAACUUACAAUAUGAAGCUCUCUCAAUUUAGGAAACCCUUUAACUCCCUGACCAGAGCUAAGAGGAAUCCAAUCUUCCCAUUCUUGCAUGUCUUCAAAAUAAAGAGUUUCCAAGCAUGGAAAAGGAAUCGGAGAAUCAUUCCCAUAGAACUCUGAACCCAAACUCUUUACUCUACUCAUUCCACGCACUGCAAGAUGCUUUAGAGAAGGUAGUUGCCCGACUGACGGCAGGGUAGUACACACGUCACAAUCUUUAAAUUUUAAGGUCGCUAAAUUUGAGAAUGAGGAAUCUCCCAACCAAGUUGGAAAUUCUUUACCUCCAUAGCCACCGAUAUAAAAUUGUUCCAGAUUUUCAUGAGGUUUUAGCAUGUCGAGCACAUCCUUUUCAGUUUCUGCCUCCCUUGAAGACAAACCAUUGGUACUCCGUGUCCAUCGAAACUUUAACACUUUAAGAUUCUUCUUUCCAUCCAAUUGAGCCUCCUUCGCAUCACCAAUGUCUUUUACGUUCUCCAAUUUUGAAAUGUUAAGCGUCCCACGAAGAUGCGUCAACAAUUUUAGCUCUCGUAUCCCGGAACUACUGUCUUUUCCCACAACAAAAUUACACAGCGUCUGAAGGCAAGUCAACUUAACAAUUCCUAGUGGCAUCUCCUCCAAUGAAUCUGUCUUUGAAUUAUUGAGAUGAUGCAAUUUGAUGAGAUUUCCCAUGUCUGCACACAACUUCUUCAGUCGCCGACAGCCCUCCAACAGAAGGGUGUGCAAAUUGUAAAGCGUGUUGACUGAUUCAGGCAGAGUUCUAAUCUCAGUUUCAGAUAGGUUGAGGUACCUUAAAUACCUCAAAUCACCAAUUGAAUCCGGUAGCUCAGAGAUUUGAUAUCCAUGCAGUGAGAAGACCCUCAACCGUUGGAGUUUGAACAACUUAGGAAGAAUGCUACGAGCCAAGUAUCCACGCGAACUAUUUAUCAACAUUACUGGUAAAAAGGUUCGCAAAUGUUGGAUAUCGUACAAAUCCUCAAACCUUUUACCUCCAUCAAAAUAUUCAGGAAUGUAUGACAGAUGACGAAGAUUUUUGGAAAAACUUUGUUGCUUGUUAACCUCUGAGGUAUACUCCAUUGUGAAGUAUAUUUCCCCCGCAGCCCAUUGAGCAAGGUCGCUGAUAAGAUCGUGCAUCACAAAUCGUGAUGCAUCGUUGCUUGAUUGCUGGAAAAAAGAUCUUGAGUGCAGCUCCUUAAAGAUCUUACGACUGAAAUCGUCACAAGAAUUCCCACUCCCUUUGUGAUCCAAGAAAUCCGAAGCACACCAUAAUAAAAUUAUCUCCUCCUCUUCAAAUUCAUAAUCCUUUGGAAACAAUGAGCAGUAUGCAAAGCAUUGCCUCAAAGUUGGAGGAAGAUAAUAAUAGCUCACUGCAAGGGCUGGUAUAAUGCCACAUCUCUCUUCUGGUAAUUCCCAUAUCUUGCUACUGAGCACAUCUUCCCACUCACUUCUGUCAUGAUUCCCACGUAAAAGUCCUCCAAGUGUUUGUGCUGCCAAGGGCAAGCCAUCGCAUUUGGUCACUAUCUUCUUGCCGAUUUCCUCCAGUGACUUAUGUGAACUGAUAUCUCUUGUCCCCAAUGAAUGUUCAACGAAUACAGCUAGACAAUCAUUAUCUGACAACUUCUUUAGUUGAUAAGUCGGAACAGUACCCAUAAUUUUAGCAACCUCUUGAUUGCGAGUAGUGACAAUAAUUUUACUUCCUGGUGCGCCAACUUCAAAUGGACGUCUGAGUUGAUCCCAAUCAUCGUAAUUCCGGUUCCACACGUCAUCUAAAACAAGCAAAAAUUUCUUUCCAGAUAGUUGCUUAUUCAGUUUCCCUUGAAGUGAAUUCAAGUUGAGAUUAUCUACGUUCUGGUCAGUAACAAUGGAUGUUAAGAUUGUUUUUGUUAGCCUGAUAACGUCGAAAUCAUCAGAGACACAAGUCCAUGCCUUGAGAUCAAAAUGAUCCAGCACUUGCUUAUCAUUGUAGACAAGUUGAGCAAGAGUGGUUUUGCCCAGCCCGCCCAUACCUACAAUAGGUAUAACAGAGAAUCCACCAUCGUUGCUUAAAUCAUCCCUCAACAGCAGUUCAAUAACAUCCUUCUUUUCGAUUUCCCUGCCAUAUACUUUGGCUUCCUUCACCAAAGAGGUUGUCUCUCGCCUUUUCCUGUCUUUUGUGGUCCUCCCACCCGAACUUACAUUCAAACCCAGCGAGUCCUUCUGUGUUACAAUAUCUUGAAAUCUGCCAUUGAUCUCUUUGAUUUUGGACAUCAUGGCGUAAUCGAACUGAAUCGAUUGUGGAGUAAAAGUGGUGCAGCAAGUAGGAAUGAGCUUCCGAAACUUACUUGUUCUUGUACGACUGCUACUGGGUUGAUCGUGAGCCGCAGCUGGAUCUCCAUUUCCAAGCAGCAACUUCCUCCGGAAAGCCUCAGUUUGAAACUCAUCCAGCAAGUCUUCAACAUCAAAAGCCAAGUUCUGAAGCUCGCCAAGCCAGAACUUUACAGACUGAUCAGUCUUCUUCUCCUCAGCAUCAGCAAGCACCGCCUUGAUUAUCACCAACAUAUUCUUCCACUUCUUUAGGUCGGCUUGGAUUUGCUCUUGGCUUGCAAACAGCCGAAUCCCCUCUGAAGCUAACUUAUUGACCAGCAAAUCAACGGACGCCGUUAGGAUUGCCUCUCCGAUGAAUGACAUAUUUUUUUUCUUUUUCUUUUUCUUUUUUUUUUGGUUUUGCAAAGAAAGAAAGGAGCAGAAUUAUGGGUUAUGGAAAGCAGAAUGAGAAAAUGGAACAGGUGAGAAAAUGGAUAAUUAAGCAGAAUGAGUUUGUGAUUGUGAAGGGUCUGGCCCAGCAAGCUUAGUAGAAAUCACGCGUUGAUACUUUAUUGACCAAUGACUAAUAAUUUGGCAAUUCACUCAUCACCACCACUUGGUAAGCAAAAUGAAAAUGCUUAGUAAUUAAGUGUCAAGGGUCAAGCAAAAUACGACGUAAAAUGUGUCAAGGGUCUCCCCACUUGUUGUUCCUUGCAGCUUAGAAAAGAAGAACAGAGCCCACCACCCAUUAAUAUUUAGCAAUUCACCAAUCAUCACCACUUGUUACGAAACCAUCUCAUAAACCAAGUUCAAUCAAAACUCCUAAAACGUUUCUUUUUAGAAAUAUUUUACUUUAUUCAUCUAAUAUGUUAUCUAACAAAUAGACACAAUUGAAAUCACUCUAAAGUGAAGAUGAAAGGGGAAAAAAAUAACCUUCCAACCACCAGUAAUUUAGCAAGCUUCACUUUAUUCCACCAAAGUGUAAAUAAAGCCAGCCCCCACCACCAUCAAUAAUUUUGCAAGCUUCACAGGCUUGUUGUCUUCUCCUUGACGAACUGGACAUGAGUGGACCAAGAAUCAAUGACAGAAUUUUAAAAAUAAUAAUAUGAGAAAAACCUAAACAUUUUCGACUUAGAGUAGAACCGUAAUUAAUGCUAAAAUCUACUCAGCUAACAUUUUCAAAAUAUUGUUCUUUAUGAUUUUCAAAACCGUGAUUAAGUUUUAUCUCAAAUGUUUGAAGAGAGUCUAUCAGUUCUUCUACGCUAAGAAUCUCAAAAUUCUUACUUUUUCUUCAAACGUUGAAUAUUGAAAAAAAAAAGUUGAAUAUGAAAGAAAAUAGAAUGCAUCCAUCUUCGCUGUAGAAGUCUUCUACUUAUAAAAGUAAGUUAGAAUAAACGAUUUUAAUCUCUCUUUUUAUUCCUGUAAGUGCACUACAUUUUUUUUUUAAUCUCAAUGCGAAAAUUUUAGAUAAAACAAAUUCGACUCAUUUUUUAAAGGUAUAUAUUUAGUAGGUUACUAACAUAACUAACAAAACGUGAUUAUUACACUAAAUAAAAUAAAAGACAGUACUAUCACCAAUAAUUUAGCAAGUUUCGCAUGCACGUGUUUCUAGAAAUACUAUAUGGAAUCAAACAACGGUGAUACAAAGAGAAAAGUGGAAAUCCUCUGAUUGUAUUUUUUUUUUCUUUUUCAAAAGAAAUGGUGGGGUUGGUUUGUUUGCAAAGUUAUUAGCGUGGGUCUAUUUGUUUUUGUUUUAACUUUAUUAAUCAAUAAGCAAACAUGUAAUGAUUUGUAUAUAUCACUAGCAUCACAUUAUUGGGAGGUAUUGCGCUUAGUAUUCAUAAUGUUUGUAAGAUGAAUUUGUAAGACUUAUUAAUUUUGAUGAAAAUGUAUCGGUAUUAAGAUAUUAUUUAAUUCAUUAAGUUAACUUGAGGUAUUAAUAUUCACUGAUUGUGGUGCUGAUUAAUUUACUUAACUUGUCACUAUUUACAAUUAAGAAUGAGGUUCAAUCAAUUUAUUGGGAAAAAAAAUAAAGAUUUGAUUUUAAUUCUUAGGAUUUGAUUUCGCUCUCUUUCGCUUUUUUACGUUGCUAAAGAGGCAGUAAAAAGCUUGCUGAAUGUCAUCAAAUGCUUGUAUCUCAUCUCACAAAUUGACAAUAUUUGUUUGGUAUUUCAUCUCAACGGAUGCAGUAAGAAUUGCCUCUCCGAUGACUGACAUUUUUUUUUCUUUUUUCCGGCAAAGAACGAAACAGAAUUUUGAGUUUCGAAAAGCAAAAUGAGAAAAUUGAGCAAUUCACCAAUCGGUCAAGCAAAAUGUGCGUAACAAAUCUUCCGCUUGUUGUUUAGUCCAGUAAAGUGAGAAUAAAAACAGAGCCCACCACCCAUUAAUAAUUGAGCAAUUCACCAAUCACCAGUCGCCACCACUCGUUACCAUGAAUAUAAUAAAUUGCAUCUUGAUAUUUGCAGCGUCCAGCAACAUUGACCCAGUGUCCGGGUAAAUGCUGAAUAACGAGGAAAAUGGAAUGUAUCCGCUACGAACCUUCGCUUUAAAGUCUUCAAACUCAUAAACCAAGUUAAAUCAAAACGUUUAUCUCUCUCUCUCUUUUUGCCAUAUAAUUACUUUAUUUAUUGAAUUAAUUUCCAUGCUAAAAGGAAGACUUAAAACUGCACUACAAUUUUUUAUAAUCACAAUGGUAAUUUCUACUAUCAUGUUAUUUUAAUGUCGUGCUAAAAUAAAUUAUUAUAAAGUUUUUUUUAUGAACACUCUUUUCAUUUAUAAAUUUAUAAAUUUUUAAUAUUUUUCUCACUCUUUUAGUCUUAAUAUUUGUAUUUCUCUCUUCAAACUUUCUUUAUUAUUUAAUUUUUAAAGAAAAAUAUAAAAAAAAAGUAAGAAAAAUAUUAUACUUAAAAAAUAGUGAAUAUUUUAUGGGUCUAAUACAAGCCAGUAUUGUUUUUGACAAUGAAAGAGCACGCGAAAAAUCUCACUCAUAGAAAACUUUGUGAAAGGCAUUUGAAUGUGUGGCCACAUUUUCCGAACGAAACGAUAAGGUUUUAGCCUUCUAAUUGCAAUUAGUUUGUCUUGUAACUAAAUUAUUGCCGACAAACACCAUCAUGCUGACAAACCGUGCAUGCACGUCCUCUACUUGUGUAAAAUUCCCAUAUUUCCCAUUACUUCCCGUACUUUAUGCAUUAUUGUUUUGUAUGUCUUUUUGGUGUUUACGGUGUAGUUAGGGAUGGUAGCGGGUAGGGUCUGGUACGGGUUUGACAUCACCAAACCCGCAUCUACAAAAAAUUUUAAUUACGUAAUUCAAAUUAUAAAUUUAUAACUGUUGCCUAAAAAAAACCACAUAAAAUACUUAAUUCUAGAUUUUAUCAAUGUAAAUGAGAAAUGAAAAUAUCAACAUUAAAACAAAUACACAAAAUAUAUCAAUUUAACACGAAUUCUCAAAUUCAAUUAGCAAAUAAAUAAGUCAAUCACAGCUCGAAGUGCUUUCAAUUUAAAAAAAAAAAAAAGAAAGAGAAAAAAACAAAGAACUACAAAUCAAAGUAGCACCCAGACCUAUUUCAUAGGCUCAUUCGACACUAAGAUCUUAGAAUUAAGAUCUUCAAUUCAUUCAUUACCACUAGCACCCAUUCAAAGUGGUUUUUCUAAGCAAAAUAUAAAGUACAAAAUUACAAUAAGCAUAUGAUACUCCAUGCUUUAAGUUAAAGGUCCUUAUAUAAUUUUAUGAAUAAUGUUUUAGUGAAAUUUUAUGAUUAAAGUUAAAAAUACACAAAUAUUAAAAUAAGAAUGUUGGACACCUACGCAAUUAUUUGCCAAAUUUUUUCUCUAUAAAAAUUCACUUGCAACUUGCAGCAGGUUUAAAUUUAUAAUAUCAAACUUGAUUGUAGCUCGCAAAAUUUUUAGAUUUGCAAUCAUUUUACCACCCUAAGUGUAGUUAGUAUUGUAUAUCGUGUGUUUCCAAUUGGCUCUUAUAAAAAGCCUAGAAGUUGUUUGAAUAAUGAGGGAGACAAAUAUUUCCCAAACAUAUUCUCUUUUUCAAAUUUUUUUCUUUUCUCUAUUAUUGUAACUUCAAAUCCUUAAAAAUUACAUAUUACAGACAUGAACACAAUGUUUUGACAUAGUGGCUUUUGGCUUGUCCAGAGAAAUUUAGGAUAGAUUUUGAUGUACUAAGGCUCUGUUUACUAUUGAGAUUUUGGAACUUUUGAGCCACACUUGAAAUUUGUUUAAUUCUAAUAGAGUUGUAGCCUUCGAUAUGUGCUUGGUAUUAAUCAAGUGUUAUGUUUACAGCAGUUAAAGGCAUAUUGAAUCAAAGUCCACUUUUGAUUGAGAUUUUAAAGUAGGUUUUUAAUUUGAUAGCCACUCAAGUUCAAAUAUUGGAACCACAGUGCACCUUUCACUUGCUAGGCUUUAACCAAACAGACGACGUUAUACAAACUUCUAUCCAAUAAGGCAAUGCAAACAAAAGCAAGUGAAUUAAAAAUAAAUAAUUUCUCAUUAAUUUGCAACAAGUAUUAAUAAAGUGCAUGAGAAAAUAUGUCUUUUCUUAAAUGAAAAUAAAUGUGUUAAUUAGUCAAUUUAAAUGGUACGAUGUUUUGAAAUGAUAGAGCGAUAUGGAGUUUAAAUCUUACUCUUGACGUAAUAUUUAAUAACGAAUUUGAAGAACAAUUAAAAAUUAAAAGAAAAGAAAAAAAUGCUUUCUUUUUUAACAAUGGUAAUUUGUUCAGAUGAUGAAAAUUCUUAGAGUGGUAUAAUAAGUAUUUUUGAGUGUUGCCAUCGCCAAUAAUAUUUAAUUUCCUUUAUAUAGUUAUAUCUCAAGUAACAUUUAAACAAAAGCAAGUUGGAAAUUAAAAAAAAAAAUGAACCAUUGAGAGAAUGAAAAACAAACAAAAAAAAAGUUAAAAAAUUGUAUCUCAAUAAAUUUACUUGAGAGCUACUAUACUGAUAUGUGAAGAGAAAACACAAAGAAUAAUGAUGUAUCUCAAUUAAUAGGACAAUUUUUGUAUUUUUCGUUUAUUCAAGAAUCACGAAACUUCAUUUAAACUUGUUAUUUCAUUGAUAAUAUAUUAACAUUGAACAAUGUAGGGGACAUUCCUUUCCAAUUAUGCCCAUAUAUUAACUAAAGGCCACCAAAAAGUUCAGGGAUACUAUAGUAAUUUAAGUCAACAAUUACUAUGCUUGAAAUCAGCCAAUCAAACUCACUUUAGAAUAAAUUGAGAAAUCAAAAUCACAUUCUCCAAUUCUACGAUUUCAAUUCAUCUUCUUUCUUCAACUGAAGAAUUGGUUGUAUCUCGUUUAGAUAAAUAUAAAAUAUAAAUGACAAGGAGACUAGAAAAGUAAAAUCAAAAGAAGAGCAAGAGUUUUGUUGAAAAUGACUCUUUUUCAUCAUUGUGCCGGAGUGAAUGUAUCUACAUAUAAACUAAAGAAGCACGUUUGUUUGUAUUAGCUUUUUUAUUGUAUUUUUAAUAAUAAGUCAUUUUUCAAUGAACUUAUAUCAAUUUUUAUGAAAAUAAUAGGUGUUAGUUAGUUGAUUCAAAUGGCAAAACCUCUUGGGAUAGAGCUUGUAAUUUAUUGGCUCAUGAAUUGUCUAAAUUGACACUAACGAAGCCAAAUUACUGUGAUUGGUUAAAAAAGCUCCUGCUCAGCUUCAACUUUAUUAUUCUAUGAUGUUUGUUAAUAAAUAACAAUUUUAUUGAAAAAAAAAAGACCCCUUGAACUUAUACAAAAGAUUUGGGAUCUGAAUCUCACUCGAAUUUAGCUUGAGGUUGGCAUUGUUAGCAUAAUAUUUGAAGAAUUGAAGAUAGAUUUUUUUAAAUUAAAAAUCAAAAGAUAUAUAUAUAUAUAUAUUGGUUCACACUAGUUAGUUUUAACUCAUAGUGAGAUUUAAACAAAAGUGGAAUAAUAAAUCUUAACAUCCUGACUCAUGGAUAACAUCUAGAUAAGAUAGUAAAAUCUAUUAUGUCCAAAAUAAAAGGUAUGCAGUUUGAAUUUCGCUCACAUAGGUAGUAAGAGAAUCAAAUUAUUGUUAGAUUAAAUUAAUUAAAAAAAUUAUCUGAUAUCCAAAACAGCGUAUCAACAAAAUUGAAAUAAAAGAAAAUUGAAGAGAAAAACCAUUGAGAGAACGAAAAAUUAACACAAGAUAAAUUGGAUAACUAAUUGUAUCAGUGUGCGCUAACUUCACUUAUUAAAACUUGGUUAUUUCAUUUUCAUUGAUAAUCAUUUUGACAACGAUUUUUCUUUCCAGCUAUGCCCAUGAACUAAUAAGAGAACUGCCGAAAGGGUUCGGGGAUAAUAUGGUAAUUUAAAUUAACAUUUCCUGUGCUUCAAAUCACACUUCACAACAACAGAGAAAUCAAACUCACGGUUUCUCUCAUUUUUAAUUUAUUAUAUAAAGAUAAAUAUAUAAAAUUAAAUGGCGAGAAGACCGGACGAGGAAUACGAUUACUUGUUCAAAGUGGUAUUAAUCUAAAAACAAUAAUAUUAAAUAAAACACCUGGGAGUCGUAAUGGAAAGAAGAAUACAAUAUAUGAAACUUAUAAUGUUAUUUUUACUAUAUUAUAUUGAUACUUUAUUUUGUUAAUCAUAUAAGUCAAUCAGUAAUUAUUUAAUCAUUGGAAUUAAAACUAAUAUAUUAAUUAAAAUUCAAAAUCUAUUAUAAAAAUAGUAAAUAUUAAUAUAAAGAGAUGGACCUAUUACAAAAUACAUUCACCAAAAGUUCUAUUAUAUUUAAAAUUCUCAUUCACAAAAAAAAAAAAUAAUAGUUGAAUACAUGUACAAAAAAAGGGGAUAAAUAAAAAAUAAUAAUAAUAAAUAAUAAAAGAAUAGUUUAUAUAAUAAAAAAUAAAUUUAUUGAAUAGGGAUGUUAAUAAUAAAGAAUAAUAGCCUAUCAAACUCACAUUCUCCGAUUCUACAAUUGAAUCUUUUUCAUCAUUUUGUUGGAGUGAAUGUAUCUACAUAUAUUGGGGACCAUAAUGGAAACCGGUAGAACCUACAAGGGUUAAAAUCAAAACAACGAACGAUAUCUCAAGGUCGCCGAAACGUAAAUAAUUAAUCUUAUCUUUCAAUUGAUUUUUGUGGAGCCAGAGACAAUUAAACCCGAACAGCAAAUAGCCAUAAAUGAUAGGACAAUUAAAUUGGAACUCUUCACAGACCCACGAUUUAAUAUCUUUAGAUUGUAACGGUUUAACCCAAAAAAAAAAAAUAGUAAAAUAUUUCUUAAAAAAAUGAAAAAAAAAAUGUUGAAAAGAAGAACAAAAUUCUGGUCCACGUGUCAUUUCAAAAUAGGUUGCUGGCAUAAACAACCGGCCCCAUCCCGGACAGAUGUUAUUUGAGUGGUUGGUGCGCGUUUCCACUUUUUUGUUUUAGAUGCAACGACUUAUGUACUAUAUAUACAUCUCUCUCGUAUGAAUAAUGUAUAUAUAAAAUUUGCAUACAUUAUUCAUAUGAGAGAGAUGUAUCUUAUAUACAUAUAAGAUAGGAGGAUUCAUGAAUAUAAUGUUAUAUAUAUAUAUAUGGAUUCGGCUAUGGUACCACAGUGGUACCGUGCCACUUCUUUUGUUUUUUAUGGCUGUGUUAUUGUAAAUUUUCAUAUAACCCCUUUCAUUCAUUUUUAUUUACACUUUGUUUCACAAGUAUUAAGUUAAUUUCUCCCAAAUCCGUGAAUCCUUCAACGGUCGAUCAACGGCAAAUCAGCUCCUCCAGUAGCUGUCGCUGGUCGUAAAAGACAGAGGGAAUUGUGGGGAACAAAACUCAGGUGGUGGCGUCACCGGAAACCAACAAAAUCGUGGUGAAUUGAUCUGGCUUUUCACGGCUUCGAUCUGCAGCUUUUCGAACACUUUCCGGCGACAAGGAUGGCAUGGAGAUGACCGGCAUUGCAUGAGCUUCCGAUCUGUACCAACCUUGGCUGGUGGAGUGGCCGGAAACGGAAACGGCAUGCGGGUCGGGUUUGCGGGUUUGGUUUGACAUGGAGAUGACCGGCGUCGCACGAUCUUUCGAUCGGUACCAACCUUGGUUGGUGGAGUGGCCGGAAAUGAAAACAGAAUCCGGAUUGGGUUUACGAGUUCGGGUUGAUCCAAUUCUUUUCCUUGUUAAUUAUUUAAUCUAAAAAUUAUAAAGAGUGGGGUAUUGUGAUAUAGGUAUAAUAUAGAAUAAAAAUUUAUAAAUAAUAAAUAAUACAAGGUGCUAAUUAAAAUAUUUAUAUGGAUGUAGUAGAUAUUAACUUAAUAUUUGUAAAGUAAAGCUUAAAUAAAAAUGAGUGAAGGGGUUAUAACACAAAAUUUACAAUAACACAGCCAUAAAAAACAAAAUAAGUGGCACGGUACCACAAUGGUACCGUAGCCGGAUCCUAUAUAUAUAUAUAUAUAUAGAGGUAAAUGUAAUCCCUAUCUUACAUGCAUGUAAAAUAUAUUUCCCUCAUAUGAACAAUAUAUGUGUGGAAUUCACGUACUGUUUAUGUAAGAGAGAUAUAUCUUACAUACAUGUAAGAUAUGAGGAUCCAUGAAUCUAAUGUUAUUAGUUUAAAUAAUGGGUGCAACUCAUGUUUUUGAAACAUUAAGAUCUUUAGCCAUUCUCUUAUUAUCCCGUGGUUAUUUAAGUUAAAAGAGACAGUAAAAAAACAACGUCAUAUUUUAAUUACUUACACUAAAUAAAUUACUCACACUGAUGCCGCGACUGCCGCUUGCUUUUUUUCUUUUUUUUGCCCUUUUGAUUUUGACUUUUGCUUUUACUUUUUGACUUUUGCUUUUCGUUUAUAAUAAUAAUAAUAAUAACUACUUUUUAAUUUAAUAUAAUAUUAAAUAAUAUUUUUAUUUUUAAUUUUACAUUAUAAUUAUUAAUAUAUAAUUUAUUAUUUAAUAUUAUUAUAUUAUGUUUUUUAUUUUUACAUUAUAAUUUAUAAAUAAAUUUAUAAUUUAUUAUAACUAAUAAUAAAUAUUUAAAUUUGAAUAAAUUUAAAUAAUAUUAAUUUAAAAUUAAUAAUAAUAUAAAAUAUUAAUACAAUUUAAAUAUAAUAUAAUAUUUAAUUUGAAUUAAUCACAAAAAAUUAAUACAAUACAGUGUAGCACCAAACAUUGUACAUUAUUAUUAUAAUACAGUACUAAUACAAUGCAACAUAAUAUAAUACACCAACAUUAAAAUAAUACAAUCUAAUAUAAUAUAAUACAGUGUGCGAAAUGCACCGACAUGGUAUUACUUUGUUUGUCUUGUUAUUUACAAUUAUUUAAUCUGUAGACCCACUCAUGCUCCUUCUAUGUAACAUAGAUACAAUUUGAGGAAGAUUAUCAAUUUUUUUCUGAUUAAAAAUAAUAUAUACUACUUAUUUUUUAUUGUUUUUAUAAUGUUCAACAAUCCGCUUGAGAUAAAAAAAAUUAAAUGAAAAGGAGGAGUAAAUAGAUGAUUUACUUGAUGUUGUAUCUUAGAAAUAUAAAAUAUAUUUAUUUAUUAUUAAAAAUAUUUAAAAAUAAUAAAGAGUACAUAAAAAGUAUCUUAUCCUCAACAACAAGAUCAGACGACGUCAAUUCAGCAAAAUGACUUGAAUAACUUGAAAGUCUAGCAGCCGUCACCUCUAGGCGCACACAUGGCAACGUGCGUGGCUUUGGCAAGAGGUCUCCCAAAAGGACGAUUAAGAAAAGAUUGCAGGACAAAUCAUGAAAAUAGUAGUACAGAUAUGCAAUGGCUAAAUUUCCUCUAUUAAGUCCAUCGCAAUCAAGUCUUAGAAAUCACACCCCUGUAUUAAUUUCCAGAAAUAUGUUUGUUCCAUAUUCAUCGUGCACGUAUAUAUUGUAUGUAUUGGGAAUAGAAAGAGUAUGUAAAAAUUCUUCAUUCAUGGAUUAAAACUUAAUUUAUGUACGAGGGUUAAGUGUAGUGUUUUUAAAUUUAAAAAGGACAAGUGUCAAUCCACUGAGGCUUGCUUCAAUGGCUAGAGCCACACUCCCUCACAAAGUGGUUCGAUCUCCCACAAAUACAUUAUAGAGGUUUAAUUUAAAUUUUUUUCUUAAAUUUUGAGUGAAGACAGUCUUUCUUCCAGAAAUAGAAUUUUUCUGAGAGUUUGACGCCCCUCGAAUAUUUGAGAUGAUUAAAAUUUGAGCGGUGCUAUAUAAAAUAUAAAGUAAACUAAUCUAAAUAAUUGUAUAAUUAUAAAUAUAAUGAACAAUAGUCUCAUACAAAAAAAUGACAAGUGUAGUAAGUCCAUUUAAAUUAACUUAUAUUUGAGGGGAAAAUCUCUGUAUAUCAUAGUAUAUAUUAUAUAUCCAGUCGUGGGACCCAUACAUGGUUCCAUGUAAUUCGCACAGUUGAACUGGAGACACUGAUUAGUUCGUUGUCUAUUUACCAACUUAUGUACAACUAAGUAAUUUCAUGCACCAUUUGCGCCUUAUCUAUCCAGCCUGCUUGCAUUGCAUUAACUAAACAUACAAUGAAAUUAACCCUUGUAAUUUCGGCCUUUGCCAUAGUCGUUUUGUUUAUUAGGUUUAUGUUUAUCAACAUGAUAUAUUGUCAACCAUAAUCACAAUCAGGUUGUUAAUUAUUUUUAAAUAAUGUGAAGGAACAAGAUUUUGGUCUUUGAGUGUGGAGUUAAAAAUAUCUCACCUCAAUAUACGGUGUUGUGCUCUCAUCAUCGUAAUAUUAUUUGUUAAAAGUAUGUCAAAGAGGAAAGCAGAUUCAAACAUUACUUCAAUUUUCUUUAAGAGCAUAAAAAAAUCGUUAAUAGGCUACUGUUAUUUGUUAGUACGAUUUCACAAAAGGAAGCUAGAGGAAGAUGAAGCUUUCAAGUCAUGUAUGCAUCAAAGGAAGAAACAGAGCUAACGAGAUAUGGACAAUUUUAAAUUUGUCAGCAUUUUGUCAGUUCUGGCCAUAUUUUGAAAGAUUAGCACCCUAAUUUUCUUUUAAAGCUCCUUUUCUGUCGAAAUCUAUUUCAAUUUCCAAAAUAUCUUUUUUCAUUUUUUUAGUUUCUUUCUGAUUCCAAAAAAAAAAAAAAUCAGUUUCUUAAACAACUCCAACUACAAAUAUUUUUUUUUACAAAUUUUUGAAUUAUUAAAUCAUAUGUGUGUGUAUAAAUUGAAUAGAAUUAAAAGUGGACUCAAAUAGCUAUUAUGUAAUUUUUUUAUAAUUAAAGAAAAGUUUAGAAUGCAAAAGUGUGUGUGGGAAAACAAAAAAUAUAAAUUGCCUUUGAUAUAAUUAUAUAAAACGGGUAGGUUUUAUAAGAAUUUUUUAGAGGAGUGCCAAUAUUUCAACUCUUUUUCAAAUAAAGUGAUGUCCUGGAAUAAAAUCACUACUCUAUCAUUGCUAUUAGUUUGUCUUGUAUUUCAAUAAUUGCCGACAAGUAUUAAUUGUGAAUAUUAUUAUUUUAAAAAUAUUAUUAUUAUUAUCGUCGUUAUUCUUAACAGCAAUGACUAGAAUUAUAAUAAGAACAAUAACGUUAAUACAAUAAUAUAACAACAUAAUAAUAUUUUAAUUGAGAGGAUAAGAAUGAAAUUAUGAAAUUUAGGUUGGGUAAAAACGAUGAGUAUGAAGAAAUUAAAUUACCAUUUUUUAAGCUAAACAGUUCAUAAAUUCCACAUAUUUCAUACUUAUUUCUCUUAUAUUUUAACAAGUAAACAUUAUCAAUCGUUUAAUAUUUUAAUUAAUAAACACGGCAUUAACUACGGAACUAAAAGAUCCCAAAAAAAAAAAAAAAACACAGAAAGGCGUGUAUGUAUUGCUUGUGACAAAUCUCACCCAUGGAAAACUUUGUGAAAGGCAUUUGAAUGUGUGGCCACAUUAGCCUGAUGAUUGCAAUUAGUUUGUCUUUUAAUUAAAUUAUUGCCGACAAACACUAACACGACCCACGUCCGCUACUUGUGUUAAUGUGUGUAUAAAUAUCCGCAGCAUAUUAUCAAACCUGAUGCGUGAUCCUCUUUAACUUUUGGUUAGGGUUCAUCAGACGUUAGAAGACAUCUUUUCUAAUUUGAAGAAGAUGGAAACUCCUUAUCCAUGUUCUUAGGCCAUGUUCAAUUGAAUCUCAUUUAUAAUUUUUAUUUUAAUAUUAUGUAUUUAUGAAUACAAUUAUUGUUAUGACUUUUUUAGGUAAGAAUGGAUGGUCUGAGGGUAACCCAAUAACUAUGUACAGUAUUAUUAAUGAUGAGAGCGUGAAUGACAAUUUGGAUUUUUUUCUCGUCCCUCAAUACGGAAGAAAUCUUGACCAUAGCGGUUAAGUGCUAUGUAACUCUUUCGUAUUAUGUUUAAUUAAUAGUAAAAUGAUGGGUUAUUAUUACCUGUCAAUUACGUGAGUGUCUUUGUUUGGUUUAGUUCAACUUAUAUAAUCUCUUGAGAUAUACAAGAGAUUUUCUUUAUUUACUUUCAUGUACCGCGUCUUCUUGUAAAAAGAAAUUAAUAAAAAAAAUAUCAUUGUGUGCAAUGUAUUGACUAAGUUAGUGUAUUCAUGUUAGCUUAAUUGUGCUCUCUCUUCUUGGUUAAAACAAACUCCACAUAUUGUUGGUUAGCUAAUUCUUGCAGCUAGCAAGUGAUCCUUUUCUUUCCCCUACUGCUGUAGCAUCAAAUCCUUACCAUUACAUAUCAAGUGGUAUUCGAGCCGUCAAAUGAUCCAUGGAAACGCGCAACAAAUCAAAUGCUGAAUUUUGCGAAGAGAUUCACGAAAUCCUUGCUGUACAUGAGUCUAGUUUAUUUCAAACUACGCGUGCAAUGUUCCCGUUAUUGUUUAGUAUGUCUUUUGUUGUUUGCAAUGUAGUUAGGGAUGUUAGCGGGUAGGAUUUGGUACGGGUUUGAUAUUACCAAAAGCUGCAUUUGUAAAAAAAUUUUAAUUAUCAAAUUCAUUGUGGGUUUUAUUUAUUCUUUUAACAAAGCCCAUCAGCUGUGGGUUUAAAUGGUACCUGAUGGAUAUUUUGUGAGUUCCCACGUAUAAAAUCACACUUGCAACAAAACCUAAAAACUUAAAUUACGUAAUUCAAAUUAUAAAUUUAUAAUCAUAGUCUAAAAAACCACAUAAAAUACUUAAUUCUAGAUUUUAUCAAUGUAAAUGAGAAAUGAAAGUUUUAAUAUUAAAAUAAAUACACAAAAUAUAUCAAUUUAACACAAAUUUUCAAAAUUAAUUAUCAAAUACGUAAGUCUAUCGCAACUCAAAGUGCUUUCAAUUGAAAACGAAAAAGAGAAAGAGAAAAAAAACAAAGAACUACAAAUCAAAGUAGCACCCAUGACCCAUUUUGCAGUCUCAUUCAAUACCACUAGCACCCAUCCAACACGAUUUUUCUAAACAAAGUAUAAAGUACAAAAUUACAAUAAGCAUAUCAUACUCCAUGCUUUAAGUUAAAGAUCCUAAUAUAUUUUUAUGAAUAAUUUUUUAAUGAAAUUUUAUGAUUAAAAUUAAAAAUACAAACAUUCAAAUAAGAAUGUCGGACACUUGCGUAACUAUUUACCAAAUUUUUUCUCUAUAAAAAUCGACCUGCAACUUUCAAUAGGUUUAAAUUUAUAAUAUCAAACCUAAUUGCAGCUCGCAAAAAUUAUCCGUUGCGGCCAAGACUUUGGAUUUGCGAUGAUUUUGCCACCCUAAGUGUAGUUAGUAUUGUAUAUCAUGUGGCUCUUAUAAAAAGCCUAGAAGUUGUUUAAAUAACGGGGGAGACACAUAUCUCCCAAAGAUUUUCUCUUUUUCAAAUUAUUAUUUUUUCUCUAUUAUUGUAACUUCGAAUCCUUAUAAAUUACAGAUUGGAGACAUGAACACAAUGUUUUGACAUAGUAGACUUUUGGCUUGUCCAGAGUAAUUUAGGAUAGAUUUUUACGCACUAAGGCUCUAUUUACUAUUGAAGUUUUAGANNNNNNNNNNNNNNNNNNNNNNNNNNNNNNNNNNNNNNNNNNNNNNNNNNNNNNNNNNNNNNNNNNNNNNNNNNNNNNNNNNNNNNNNNNNNNNNNNNNNUAAAUAUAUAAUCCCAAGAAAACCAGUAAUAAUAAUGGAAUCCUCCGUAAACAAAUAAUUAAAUAAUAGCAAAUAAUAAGUGGACAAAGCUAAGUUCCAGAGAUGAUAUAGGAAAUUCUCCCGCACGACACGGCAGAAACAAACUUUCCCUUUCAUUUUCUUUUCUCUUUCUCGCUCUCCAAACAGAGCAAAAGGACCGUGGCAAGAUUCUUCACUUCCAUCCAAAAUCAUGAGCAACGAAUAGUGAGCCUCCCUGUUUCCUUCCUUUUUUUGAUAUUAACCUUGUUAACAUAUACUCAUUUUAAUUUGACAAUACUUCAACUUUUUUUAUUUUUUUGCCUUUUCAUUUUUUUUGUUGAAGCAAUUAUCUGUUCAAGCUGUUGCUCAUCGGAGACUCGUCCGUCGGAAAGUCUUGCCUGCUGCUCCUAUUUGCUGUCUGUUGACUUUUCCUUUCCCUUCUUAUUUUCUUUUUUUAUAUUAAUUACUUUCUAUUUUAGCUUUUUGUUCUCUGAAUUUGUGUUAUUAAAAUGAUAAUUUAGAUGAUAAAUAAUUGUUAUUCUUGUAAAUUUCGGUUUUCAUUACGUUAAUUGUUAGUUUUUAGGUUUAUUAAUGUAAUUUUUUUUUUCAAUUUUUCAGGAUGAUUCUUAUGUCAUAGCUACAUCAGUACCAUUGGAGUUGAUUUUGUGAGUCUCUCUUCUAUAUAUAUGUAUAUAUGUGUAUAAGUUAUAAUAUGAGUCUAUGUACGUGUAUGUAUGUAUGUGUAUGCAUAUGGGGAAAGAAAUGUUGGCAGACUUCAGCAUUUUACUCUUUUUUUUUUUUUUUUGGCAGAAAAUAAGAACUGUGGAGCUGGAUGGGAAGACGAUCAAACUGCAGAUUGUGAGUCAAAAUUUCCUUUUAUCUUGUAUUGAGAGAAAUUCGAUUUGUCUUAUUUAGUGAAGGUUAUUUUCAAGAACCUUGUCUUAUUUUCUUUGUUUGAAGAGUGGUAUGUUGAAAUGAGUGUAUUUGUCUUAUAAACAUCAUUUAGGUAAUGUCUUAUGUUUGAUUGUUUUUAAUCUGUUUAGUGGGACACUGCUGGACAGGAGCGUUUCAGGACUAUAACUAGCAGUUAUUACCGAGGAGCCCAUGGAAUCAUAGUAAGGAGCCUUCCCGUUCUUGGUUUAAAUCAGAAAGUUUGUGAUUUACAUGUGACAUCUUAACAGCAUUGUAUGUGUUUAUUAACUUAUUUUUCAUCUUUCAUUAAGCAGUACAUUUUCCAAUAAAUCUGUAUACAAGAUGAUGUAGUCCAAGAAUGGGAGCCAUAAUAUGAUGCAAAUUGUCUAAUAAAUUCUUAUGACAUAUGAUGUUGUCGGAAGUAAAAGUCUUGCAAUGCUGUAUUCUCUUUUAAGAAAGAAUAAGUGGUAAUUUUGUUUUUCCAAUUUUUUAAUUGAGCAACUGUAUGAGAUUAAUUAAAUGUGUUGGGAUUUCAACAGAUUGUCUAUGAUGUAACUGGGAUGGAGAGCUUCAAUAAUGUCAAGCAGUGGUUGAAUGAGAUUGACAGAUACGCAAAUGACAGUGUAUGCAAGCUUCUAGUUGGGAACAAAUGCGAUUUAGUUGUGAACAAGGUUGUGGACACACAGACAGCCAAGGUAUAUUCAUGACUUUUGUCGCCUGAACUUUGAAUAUAAUUUUAAACUCUUCUCAAGUGCAUUUGCUUGGUAAGUUUCUGCAUACCCAGGACACUCAAACUUUGGACAGUCUGUAUCUCGAGUUGGAAUCUUUUCUGUCAAUACGACUUGUUAAAAUAAGGGUUAUUAUUGUUUGAAUCAUUCAAGAAUUGCAAUAAAUCUAAAGUCCAUAAAAAAUAUGAUUCCAUCAUUUUACUAUUAUAUCUAGACAAAAUCCAUUAUUUUACUACAUUUCAUUGGCACCGAUAGUUGACCUGUUGGCUGACUGAUAAAAUAUCAAUUUUGCACUUUAUAUUAAUUAUUUUUUGGUUAAAAAAUAACACACAAAGUAUUACAAUAUUAUAAAUUCAAAAUAUAAAGUAGUUAAAAAUAAUUCCUAUUAGCCUAUGAAUAUAAUAUUUGAUACCUCUAUUUGUGUAAUUUUUUUCCAAUGGUGAAAUUGUUAUUUUUUUUGUACUAACGGAAAUGUAGUAAAAUCAUAAGUUUUGUAAAGAUAUAGUAGUAAAAUGAUAGACUAAAAUACUUCUUGUAGUUGUUUGAUAUAUUGUAAUUCUUAAAGUAGUCAAUUGAUAAUAUCCCCUAAAAUAAAUGUUCGUAAUAUGUUCUCAUUUUAAUGCAACUGAUUGUUUAAUAAAAUUGUAUUUCUUUGUUAAUCUUUUAUCAUGUGCAUGCUCAGUGAGAAUUUGACUUACUAGAACACAAGUUUGACUUUUCAUUUAAAUGUCUCUUGUAUCAUAUCCUUCAAUGUUGAGUGUGAUUCCAAUAAAAUUGAGUAGGGAGAUCCUUAAAUACCUUUUCCUUUUUUCCAAGGGCCUGCCAAAUUGCUCUAAGUGGCUCUACCCUUUAUCAAUGAAUAAUGAAAAUAAAAUUUUUAUUAAAGCAUUUUGUUCCUUAAAUGGUGACUAAUAGUACCCCUUUUUUUGGAGAGGAAAGCCAAACAUGCCCAAAGAGAAUCAUUUACUUUCCUCUAAUGUAUUUUCUAAUUCGUUUUGAGCCUUGAAUGUCUGUUUUGGUGCGUAUUCUCAUUCCAUGUCGAAUCUUAUCCAUAUGGACAACCCCACUUACAAAAAAGUCUAAUGAAUCUAUUGAAGUUCAUAUGAGGUUUGUGCUUUAGAUUUAGACCUCUCUCUCUCUCUCUCUCUCUCUCCACUUACAUGUCUUUCACUUACCUGUUUGCAUGCACGCCCAUGCACACACUUUCAAGAUAAUACACGGUCACUCGUACUUGUGUUUUGGUUGAAUUACUGGCUGCUAACCUCUGUAAUUCAGUUUGAAACUUGCCACCCUUAGUGCUUCACUCAAAUGGUUGGUUAGGGUGAGAUCUGUAUCGUUUUCCUGGUCUCUUUCCAAGGUUAUCUAAAGGGAUUUGGCAGUCUGAUUCUUUAGGGAAUAUCAUUGCAUAAGAUAUCUAUUGUUUGUUAAUGAAUAAUUUCUAUUUAACUAGUUAUCUAUAUAAAUUGGUAAAUUUUAACUGCAUAAUUUGCAUGCAAUAAGAUUUUAUAAGAAUCUUGUUUUCAACUCAUGACUUAGACUAAUGUGAUAUGUUGAGCAUUAAGCUACAAGAUCUGAACAUCAAAGUGCUUCACAAUGUUAAGGAGAAAGCAUCUUUUUCUGCUUCUUCAUGUGAUUUAAAGUUUCCAAGGUACUUAUUCUAUAAAAUAUCUUUCAAGACUUUGGAAAUGCUUUUAUGUAUGACUGAGAGAAACUUGUUGGGUUGGUUUUUAGCAACAGACGGAGUUAUGGACUUUGUGUUGACUUGUUAAUGAUUAAGACAGUACAUCGGCUGAUCUAUUGGCAUCAAGCAGCAGAUGCAGAAAUUAUGGGUGGCAUGUCAUUGUAUCCAAAUAAUGUACUACAUUGAUUUUUCUGACUUUCUGUUGGUCUCCGAGUGAAAUGCAGGCAUUUGCAGAUGAACUGGGGAUUCCUUUCCUG
Molecule: long non-coding RNA, 135025 nt
Filed under: Citrus x clementina
Lineage: Eukaryota; Viridiplantae; Streptophyta; Magnoliopsida; Sapindales; Rutaceae
Description: Citrus clementina (C. clementina) long non-coding RNA (CCLE_LNC002305)
Source: RNAcentral